CCUAUUCGUCGAGCCCGACAAGAACGAGGACAACUAUGGCGACUGCGACAAGCUGGCCAAAACUUUCCUACAAGAGCUCAGCACCUUCAAGAUUCCGCUCCUCAAGAGCAAAGCGGUUGUGGAUGCGAAUCUGAGAGAGAAGCACAAUUUCGACGAGUUGAGGGAGGAGAUUAAUCGGCACAUAGUGCAAGAGCAGACCGAAUUGAAUUGCUGAAGAAGCAGCUUGAGGAGAGUAAAAUCGAAAGAAGACAUAAGGAGGAGUGUGCGGCGAUCAGGAAAUGAUCGCUACACAACCGCCUCGGUCCUAAACGCUCAAAAUCAUAUCCGAUUUAGAGAAAGAUAUUGCCACUUUGGACGCAGAGAACACGGCAAGUUCAAGGAUGCUGGAGCUCCGAAAGAAGCAGUUUGCUCUGCUCUUGCAUGUGGUAUGCGGCUCUGUUCCAUUCCCCAAUUUUCGAUUAUGUUUCUUGCGUUAAGCAGUAGAAACCUUUUGAAAUUAGAUUUAAUUUUGGUUGUAUUUGAUGUUUUUGCAGGUGGAUGAGUUGCAGAACACCAUAGAGGAAGAGCAGAAGAGUUUGAUUGAGGAGAAAGAGCACAAACACGGAAUGUAGGAUGCAAGUGGGGCCUCGGAACCCAUGCAUGUUGAUUACAGUAUGCAUCUCUUGGAUUUGCAAUUGUAAGAUUGUGUUUUCACGAAUGGGUUUCUGUCUAUGCAUGAUCUCUUGUGAUUUACAGAAACAGGAAUGUAGAGUGGUGCUCUGCAGUUGCAAUAUGUCAGCGAUAUUUUGAAUUUCUUAAUUUUGUGCAACUUGUAGAUUUUCUUGCGUACUGCUUCACCAAGUUCACAUGAUGGGUAGAACUUUGCCAGAACUUCUUUCUGGAUCAAUUUCAAUGUUGUUAAUUGUAUAAGCCUAAUGCUUGUGUACAGUGCAUUUGAGUGUAAUAUUACAGUUUGCAUCCAGAUAAAUAUUGAGAAGUCGGAAAUGCAUACUUUUUUUGUUUUGCCUUGAAUAAUCUAUUAAAAAAUGAAAUUGAAAAUGCUAGAAAAUAUAAAUAAAUAAAAUUAAUUUAAUUUAAUAAAAUGGGAACUAGAAAUUUUUUACCUCGUCGUCAAGAUUUUAACCGCUUUAAACAUUUGUCCACUGCCCUCCGGCUUCAAUGGAAGAGGCCAUAUGUAUUUUUACACAAAUGAAAUUUAGUAGUAGAAACUUUGGUAUGGAAAGUGAAUAAUAUUAGAAGGAGAAGAAUUUGUAUGAAGAUUUGGUGUGGAAAUUGAAUAAUAUUGGUAGGUAUUUAUAGAAAAAAAAAAUAGAAUUUUUUUGUAUUUUUUCCCCAUUUUUUUCAAAUUUUUUGAACAAAAUCAAAGGCAGCCAUUGGAUUGGAAGAUAAAAAACAAUCGGACAACUCUGGACAAGCCACAUGGCUUUUAGCCGUUGACGGAAAUCAAGGCUGACGUCAGCCUGGAGUCAACGCCUGGAAUGUCUAUUUUUAUUUUUAUUUUUUCCCGUUGGCGCGUGCACCAUACACGCCAACGGUAAAAAAAAAAUUUAAAUCCAGGCGUUGACGCUAGGUUGGCGUCAACAGCCCCUAGGCACGAGCUCAAGCUCAUUUUGCGUGGGCUUGCCCGAUUUACUGGGACCCAUCUCCUACCCGGGCCACACCUGCGCGUUGCAAGCUCGAAAUGGGGCUUGGGCUCCCUCUUGCCCAGGCCAAACCCUUGCUGUGGAAGUGCCCUUAUAACCCUUUCAAUGCGUUAGUGUGUUAAGCGUUACCUAAUAUGUAUAACAAAUUUAGUAAACAGAAAAAUCAUUUCACAGUAAUCUGUCAAAGAAUUUGAGCUUAAGAGUUGGAUGUAUUAAUUGCUUUACAUUUCAGCUUCGACUAUUCGAAUAAGAACUUUAUCUACAGUGAUUUUGUAAUCUAGCUAUAUAUUUCUUAGUAUGAAAUCUAGCUUUAUCUACAGUGAUGAUUAAAAAAAAAGUAUAUUUAAUUAUAUACCCAUUUUUAAUACUGGUGAUAUAAAUAAACUCUACACCAUUUAAUUUCUAUAAACAAACUAAAUAAAAUCUCAAAAAAUGACAGUUGGCCUUAUGAAUUUAAUUUUUAUUGUUAAAUUACUUUGAUGCCCUAUUGAGUGUUUUGAGUUUUUUUUUUAUGAGGUUUUUGGAUUGGGCUUGUUUUAAGAAAUUGAUGGUAGUUUUGUAAUUUGUAGGAAGUUUGAAGCCUAUUUGUUAUAUUGUAAAUGGGUUUUGGGUGUAUUUCUAAAGUCCAUUUCAUAUAUAUAUAUAUAUAUAUUAAUAAUUUGGGCCUCUAUAUUGGGUAUAAUAGUGAAUCUUCCUUAAAAAAUACACCCAAAAAAAAACCUAUCUAUAAUAAUUUAGGGGUCGUUUGGUACGGCGGACUGUCAUGGACUGGACUAAAUCCUGAGAUUGUCUUGGAUUAGCUCGGAUUGGCCUAAGCUGGAUUAAGUACUGGCCUACGUUUGGUGAUGCGUCGGAUUAAGAAGAUGGAUUGUAAAAAUAGUGAAAACCUAUAUUUGGUACUGUGUUGGACUAAAAAAAUUAUUUAAAUAUUUAAAAUUAAUUUGGGAUUUUGACCUAAAACUAAAUAAAUACUACAAAGAAACCAAUGAGAUAUGUAUAGUUUAUUAUAUUAAAAAAAAUUUAAAAUAUUUUUUAAAGACAAACUAUCUUUAUCUUUUAUCUUUUAUCUUUUUUCUAUUUUUUCUUUCUUUCUUCCUUUUCUCUCCUUCUCUUUUCUUCUUCCUUCCCAGCCCUGUUUCUUUUUUCUCUUUUCUUUCUCCCUCCCGAUCUCUCUCUGGUUCUCUCUCUUUUUUUCUCCAAUAUUGACACAACAUUGGUAUCCUUUUUUUUUUUUUUUUUUUUUUUUUUAAUAUUCCCCUCCCAAACCCUUCUCUGCUUCCCUCUCAUUUUCUCUCUAUUCUUCCCCCUUCUUCCCCUCGCCCCCUCUUCCUUUUUUGUUGUUGUUGUUACAGAGGGGGUAAACGCCCCAAAACAAAAACAAUUAAAUAUGACAAGGGGAGGUUUGGCAGGACCUUGAGCAUCAACAUCUAAAAUGGCUCUAAGGAAGGCAGGAGUUUCUUCAAAAACAUCGAGGCCAUGAUUAAACUUGUGAUUGGCAGCCAAGGUCUCUUGUUCCCUUUGAAGUCACAGAUCCUCAUCUUCUUCAAAGUCACAAAUCUCCAUUUGGUUUCACUGAGCCACGGUCAAUGGUUGGUAAUUUUUCGAAAGGUUCAAUUGGGUUGUGGUUCCAUUGAGUUUGAUUUGGUGGUGGUUGAUUCAAGUGGUUGAGUUUGAAUUGGUGGUGGUUGGUUGGUGUGACUGGGUUUAUGGUGGUGAUAAUUCUAGGUGAAGAAGAAGAAGAAAUUGAUUCUUGAAGCUUGGAUAUGGAUUUGGUCUUGCAAUUGGAUUAGUCGGACUUGCGCAUCAAAAUAGCACGCUCGCUAUUUUGCGAACUGCAUUUCAGCCUCUCUGUAUAAGGAGAGCGAGUGAGGAGGUUUUUUAACUGUUGGACUCCACAAUCCCAUUUAACUUAGUCCCCCAUUUUACCAAACAUGGGUUUCAAGGCUUAUUUAGCAUAAUUCAGUCUAGUGAGGCAUACCAAACACACUCUUAGAGUCUAAUUAUUAAGAUUUCCUUCUUUUUCAGUCUAGCUGUUCUCAUGUUUUUGAAGAGAUGAAAAAUUACGUCAUAUGCGUCGGAGAUGAAUAACUUUCCUUCAAGCAAUCGUCACAAAUAAUGCUUGCCCUCGAGUUCUACAUAUCAGUUGGAUGAAAUUCACUUCACAAAUAAUGCAUUGUUAUCUGUUUCUCAGUUAUGCAAAGACUACAACUGAGUCUAAUGUGUAUAUGCAGGGCAAGGCAACAAACAAGUACACUAGUUAUUUACCAAGGAAAAAGUAGCUGAGGGUUAUAUCCCACAUGAUUGGUUGUUGAAAUAUUUGCUCCCACAUGAUGCUGAUGGAGAAAUUAUAGAAUGAUACAGUAUCACCACGUUAGCUGGUGAUACUUUCAUUCAUAUUGACAUGUGUCUUUUUUCCCUCCAUUAAUUAAAUUAUUUUCCAGCUAGACAUUAGGUUUCAAUUUUACCCUUGAAACAAAAUUAAUUCAAAAAAAGAAAGAAGACGACCGCAGACCUUGGCUGCUUUGCCUCUACCUCCUUGUUGCUGCCCCUCCCUUUCUUUUCCUUCAUAUAUAUAUAUAUAUAUAUAUAUAUAUAUAUAUAUAUCUCUCUCUAAAUCACUUUAUUUAAUAGUUGGCUUUUAUCAUCACAUUCCAUGGGUCCAAAACCUUAUCUCUGCGAAUCAAGAAUUUCUUGGGGUCUUUUAGGUUAAGUUUGCUUUGCAAAACUUUCUGAAUGCAUGUAUCUGAUCAUCUCUUGUCAAGGCAUUGCGGGAUUGAGAGCAAAGUUGGAUAAAGAGAACUCGGAUAUGGAGGUUUUGAGGGAAAUGAAAGCAAUCUAGAUAAGGAGAUUGAAGGAUUGGGGAAAGGAAUACAAACAGGGAGGGAGGGUGCUGUAGAGAGGGACUGUGAACUGGACGGAGGUGGGAGGGACGACGUAGCGGAGGGGGCUGCGAACUGGACAGAGGUGGGAGGCUGUGACACAAUUUUUUUUCUUUUUUAAUUUUGAUGUAGGGUAAAAUUAGAACCCAAUGUCUAGCUGAAAAAGCAGUAUAAAUUUUCUUUUAAAAAAUACAUGUGGCAAAUUCUAAAUAGAAGUAUCACCCUCUGAUGUGGUGAUACUGUACCAUUCUCUUUAGUUGCCACGACCACCAACCAAAAACACAAUCGGCACCGCCUCCAUGUCGCCUCUAAAGCAUAGAUCAGACCCACGCCACUGCCUCAGCUACCGACAAACAUCUCCCUCAGCCUCUUCACGUAGCUUGAACUCUCUCUGUUCGACGCCACUACCGUUCACGACCUCCACCUAAACCUGAACCUCCAGAUUUAUAACUCAUCUCCUCCAAAGAUCUAUCAUAUGUACUGGCAGUGGCAGACCUGUGCAGGUGCAAGGAGGUGCACCUGCACCUCCGGUCGCUAGAGAAGUUCAUUACAAGAGCUGGAAUUGCACCUCUGCUUCAGAAAUGAGAUGCACAGAACCUGUUCAACGAAAUGCCCAAACCACCUGGGCUGGGACAUUUUAUCGCUGCGCGCUUGUUUUUUUUUUAAACACAGCCUGGCCAAAACGAUGUCGUUUUGGACCAGGCUUUAAAAGAGGCGCUGAUGUGUUUUUAUUUAUUUUAUAUUUAUUUUAAUCAUGGCCAAAACGACGUCGUUUUGGACCAGGAUUUUGAUAAAUAAAAAAAACGUAAAAAUAUAAGGAAACUGUUGUGCUGCUGGGCCAUUUUAUUGGGCUUUUUAAUUUAUAUUAUUCCUUACUUAAUUGGGUUUCCAUUUUUUAUAAUUCCUUACUUAAUUGGAUUUUAAGUGAGAUUUAUCUUUAUUCAAUUGGGUUUUGGGAAUUCCUUAUUUAAUUGGGUUUCCAUUUUUUAUAAUUCCUUACUUAAUUGGGUUUUAAGUGAGAGUUAUCUUUAUUCAAUUGGGUUUUGGGAAUUCCUUAUUUAAUUGGGAUUGGAAUUCUCUAUAUAAAGGACCAAUUUAUUCAAUUGUGUAUACAUCACAAGAAUCCUACGUCUUUUCUUCUUCUUGAGUAACGGAACAGUACUUUCAGAGAAAGAGUAUAAAUCCUCCUUCAAAUAAUCCGAGUAGUUCAAAUCCUCCCUCAAAUAAUCCAAAUAGUUCCAACCCUCCUUCAAAUAAUCCAGCUAGUUCAAAUCAACCUUCAAAUAAUCCGCCUACUUCACAUCCUCCCUUGAAUUAUUCGGGUAGUCCAAAACAUUCACAAGUCACUGAGUUGGAUGAAAUAUUGGCUAAUCUUCCUACAUACCCUGGACUUAGACCUCCAAUGAAUUAUUAUAAUCCCAAUGUUCGAGAACAAAUUCGAAGAGCCUAUCUGCAAAAGGGUCCUUGUCAGCCUAAAAGCCAAAACGACAUGCCUCAAACACUUAUGAGGGAGAGUAAUCGACGCUUUCUUGUGAAAUGGUUUGAUUCAUUUGUUUGGUUAGAGUAUAGUAAAGAGAAAGAUGCUGCAUUUUGUUUUCAUUGUUAUCUUUUUAAAUGCGACUUUGAUAAACAAGGAAAGGCUGGAAGCGAUGUCUUCACUGAGAAAGGGUUUAAACAUUGGAGGAAGGGUUUAAAAAUUGGAGGCUCGUAUUAAUUAUCGCACUCUAUUAAUUGCCGCACUUGAUUGCACUAGAUAUUCAUUGCGACAAGGUCUUCCUUUUCGUGGCCAUGAUGAAAGCGAAACAUCUAGCAAUAAGGGUAAUUAUGUGGAGCUUUUGCAAUUUCUUGCCGAUCAUGAUGAGAAAGUUCGUGCCGUUGUGUUUGAAAACGCUCCAAGGAAUCUCAAGUAUAUUGCUCCUACAAUUCAAAAAGAUCUUAUCAAUUCUUGUGCCGCUGAAACCAUUGAUGCAAUUAUUAGUGAUAUGGACUAGAUAUUCAUUGCGACAAGGUCUUCCUUUUCGUGGCCAUGAUGAAAGCGAAACAUCUAGCAAUAAGGGUAAUUAUGUGGAGCUUUUGCAAUUUCUUGCCGAUGAUGAUGAGAAAGUUCGUGCCGUUGUGUUUGAAAACGCUCCAAGGAAUCUCAAGUAUAUUGCUCCUACAAUUCAAAAAGAUCUUAUCAAUUCUUGUGCCGCUGAAACCAUUGAUGCAAUUAUUAGUGAUAUGGACGAUGCAUUCUUUUCUAUAUUGGUAGAUGAAUCACGUGAUGUUUCAAUAAGAGAGCAAAUGGCAGUGGUGUUGCGUUAUGUGAACAAAAAAGGGCAAGUAAUUGUAAGGUUUGUGGGUGUCUGAUACAACUAAUAGCAAAUUGAAAGAGGCAAUUGAGCAGUUGAAUUCUUCAACAAAUUUGAGCAUGUCCAGGCUACGAGGACAGGGGUAUGAUGACGCUAGUAAAGGUGAGCUCAAUGGUCUUAAAACACAGAUUUUGAGAGAAUAUCCUCAAGCAUAUUAUGCCCGUUGUUUUGCACAUCAACUACAACUAGCUCUUGUAGCCGUGGCAAAUGGAAAUGAAAACAUUGCUACUUUCUUCACAACAGCUAAUAGUGUCGUUAAUAUUAUUGGAGCACUGUGUCAGCGUCGUGAUGCACUUAGAGAGCAACAACAACAAGAUAUUAUGGAAACUCUUGAAAUUGAUGGUCUUGAAAUGGGGCGAGGGUUAAAUCAAGAGACUACUCUCAAACGUCCUUGUGAUACACGUUGGAACUCACAUUAUGAUACUUUACUUAGUAUUAAUAUUAUGUUUCAUCCCGUGGUGACUUUGUGUUUUACUUAUAUUUGAUGAGAUUUAUAUUGGGAAUCACAAAUGAUUUGUUAAAAGCAUUACAAAAGAAAGAUCAAGAUAUUGUGAAUGCGAUGAUAUUGGUCCAAAGAUGUAAGCAAAAGCUACAAUCCAUGAGGGAUGAUGACUUUGAUGAUUUGCUCAGGGAAGUAUCAAUAUUUUGUGGUAAAAAUGAUAUUGACGCUCCUAACAUGGAUGAUUUAUUUGUACCACAAGGGAGAUCAAGACGUAAAGCUCAGAAAAUCACAAACCGCCAGUAUUAUCGUGUGGACUUAUUUCUUACUAUCAUUGAUAAGCAACUAGUGGAAUUGAAUAAUCGCUUCACUGAGAUAAAUACUGAAUUGCUUCUUUGUAUGACAUGUUUGAGUCCGGCUUAUAAUUUUGCAGCUUUUGACAAACAGAAAAUACUUCGUUUUGCUAAAUUUUACCCUCAAGAAUUUAAUGACCGAGACCUCAUGAAGCUUGAAGAUUAACUUGGGCUUUAUAUUGUUGAUAUGCAGAGCAUCACAGAGUUUUCAUCAUUGAACGGAAUUACUGAUCUGGCAGAAAAAUUGGUGAAUACAGGAAGGAGUAGAAUAUACAACUAUGUGUAUUUACUUCUUACAUUGGCUUUAGUUUUACCCAUUGCAACAGCUUCGGUUAAGAGAGCUUUUUCAGCUAUGAAUAUUGUGAAAACACCAUUGUGUAACAAAAUAGGGAAUCAAUGGUUGAGUGAUAGCUUGGUUGUUUACAUUGAGAAAGAUGUUUUUUCUUGUAUUAGUAAUGCAAAUAUAAUGUGACGUUUUCAUGAUAUGAAACCUCGUCGGCAAUAAUUGUAGGUUAAUUGUAAUGUUAUUAUUUUAAUUAAUUAUGAAUAAUAUUAGUAUUGUUUAAAUUAUAAGGAUGUUUAGUUGUCUUUUUUUUUGGGGGUUUUGAGCUCUUAUCUUUUAAAUAUUGCACCUCCGAUGAAAAAUUCCUUGAUCCACCGCUGUGUACUGGUAAACCCCACCACCAUCUCAUCUCUCCUCUCAUUCUACCAUUCUGAUUUCAUUGGGUUUCAUAACUUAUCCUUUAUAAUUAUAUAUUUUGUCUAAUUUUUUAUUUGGUAGCUGAGAGGUCGAAUGUGGCUUCUUCUUUACUCUUCCAGAAUUUCCUUUUAAUUCUUCCAAUUUUCUAUAUGAUUUUGGAAGUUUUUGAAAUUAAUGGAUGGAUUUGCUGUUUUAUGCAGAGAACAUGUUGGAACAAAUGCCUGAGAAGAAGCCUUUACUAAAACAUCCCACACAUAUUACAAAAUAGGUUUCCAAUUUUUAAUACCAAACAAAUUUUCAAGUUCUCAAAAAAGUCAGAAUAAAACUCCAACUCAAAGAUGCAGAUUCAAUUCCAAUUUUUGAAAAUGGUUUUCUAAUUGCCAGCCAAACGAGGCCUUCGUGUUUUUGUUGUUUCUUAAAGACAUUGUGGUGGGUUUUCGUUUUCUGGAUUUAUUUUUAUUUUUAUUUUUUUGCUAUGAUAAGAACAGGGUGAGGGAACAAAAAUGUUAGUUUGAUCAUUUUUACACUAUUUUGUUCCACUUUUGAGCCUUCUUUUCAUGUUUUUGUUGUUGUUUUUUAUUUUCUCGAAAAAUAAAAUAUUUGAAUUCUGUGUUUUGGUCCAAGAACGUUUUAUGAAUUAAUUUUUGUUGUUGUUGAAAAUUUAAGACCAUUGAGCACGAUUUCAAAAUUGUGCUUUUGCGGAAGCUGUAAAAACGUCUAAUCAACUUGUCAGAAUAAAAGCAAGUAUAGAGACAUUUAAAAUGUUGGUGCACUGUGGCUAUUGAUAAUAAACACAAAUAUUUGUGCCUUUAAGCUCAAAGAGCACAAAAACAAAUAGUCUCUUAUGAGCAAUUUUUUUUUGGUAGUGAUAUAGAGAGAGGGGGAAUUGAACUUAAAAUCUUGAAUGCGGGGAUUAAUACUCUUAAAUAAGAUAAAAUGGUCAACGGUAUCUAGCCCAGUGAAAAGGAACAUAAUGUUUCAAAUUUCAUUUUGCUUCCAAACUAGUGGUUUCAUGAACAUGAUUGCUUAAUAUCAUCAACCAACCAUAUUUGUACAGAUUUUGAAAGAAAUUAUGUUUUAUUUUUUAUUUUUGAUAUAAGCACCUAGUGGAGAUGGACUUGAUUUUGCAGACUAAUAGUCUCAAGUUUGAAACUUGACACAUUGACAGUGUGUGUACGUGAAAAACCCUCUACCCCCAAUAUCGCUUUAAUGUAAAAUAAAAUAAAAGACAAAAUGAUAUAAUGAUUGUCCUUAACAUAAAUAUAUAGGGUACGUACAUAUAAUUUGCAUAUUUGGUUUUUUUCUUCUUAAGACUUAUUCUCAACCAAUGGAUUUAAAUGAGAUGAUCCAAAGGCCAAAUUUGUGGUCUAACUUGGUAUAUGUUUGUACCCAAAAAAUAAAGGGUGGUGUUAAAAAAAUCAUAAAAUUAGCACUUAUGAUUUAAGUACACCCUAAUGUUUUAAAUCAAAAAUAUAAAAUUAAUUAAGUACACUUUAAUUACCAAAAAUACCAUGGUGUACCCUAAUACACUCCAUCACACAAAGAAAAAAUCAAAAGCAAGAAACAAAGAAAAAUAAAAAUAAAAGCAAUCGUUUACUCUUUAAAUUCAAAGCAUAAUCUGGCAGAGGCAGUAAAAGAUCCCAAGGAAAAUAGGAAGAAAAAAUUUCAAUAUCACUUAGAUAUAGGAUCAUUCGCGUGUUAAAAGGAAAUUCCCAAAAAAAUAUACACAUGGGAAGAAAUAAACGAAGAACGGAGGAGGACAUGAACUGUACGCAAUUUCAAAGUCAAAAUAUUGAAAACAAAUUGUAAAAACUCCAAGGUUAUUUGACUUUUGUCUUAACCCAAAAGGGAUUGACGAAUGUUAAUCAAACCCAGUUGGGCAAAGCUCAUAAUUUGCGUCUUGUUCUGAAGGCUCUUUUUAACUCUUUUACCAGAAGACCCCAAAGGAAGGUUGUUGUGGAAUUGUAAAGAGAAAAAAAAGUCUUUAACUAACCAAUGAAAACAGGAUGUGAUAAAAGGAAUUAAAGUUAGUGCUAGACUUUAAUCUUAACAAAGUCUUCUCUGAUGUAUACUUCCCCUACUGCUUGAGUUUAACAUAUUAUUUAUUUAAGGACGGUGAGUUGUGAUUAAGGAAAUUUAAAAUUAUUUAAAUCAAUAUGCUAAACGACACUAACAAAAAAUUAAUCAAACUUAUCAAAUCAUCAGCCUUUCAAAUAAACAAAAGAAUGUCAUGGCACCAUUUUCUCCAACUCCAACUACUUCCUCUGUCUUUUUCUUUAAGUAUCAUCUUCUUUUGCAUUAGUUAAUGACAAAGGCAUCUUUUCCUCGCAACACACCAUGAUGAAACAUUGCUGAAGUCUUUGUCUUUGCCUCCCUGAAACCUCUCUGUGUUGAUUUUUCUUUUCCAUAUUUCAAUUGGUGCCAUUGAAUUACCAUCUUUCUAAUCAUUCUAGUUCUGCGAUCCGGUGCUGAGAAAAGAUUUCUUGGAACCACUUUCAAUUCUGGUAUAGGUAAGCAUGAAGCAACAACUGACACAUAGCUAAUAAGCCUUGACUAAAAAAUGUCGCGUUUCAGAAUUUGCCAUGCACUUUAUUUAUGACAUAUUCAACAACUGACACAUAUUCAUCUGAUGAUUUCUUCUUCUUCUGUUUCUAGGUAUGAUAAAGAUGUUGUCAAAAAAAUUGUUGAUGCCAAGGGAAGAGUAGCUGAGGGUUGUAUCCUAUACCACAAUCUGCCAAGCAAUCUCCACCAGAUUCCUUUACUCCAAAGGCUUACUUGCUAUGUAGCAAGGACACUCUAUUAGGCCGAAGUAUUGAAGUGUCUGACAGAAGGACACUCAGACAAGACUUCGACACUGGUCAACAGUCAAGACACAUUUCGGACAUUGUCAAAAUACUUUCGGACACGGUCAACUGAAGUUUGAUAUCCUAAUUUCAUCAUACCAUAUUUAUUCUUCAUAUCAAACAUAUAUAAAAGGACCAGCUUGAUUAAUCCAAAAUACCUUAAUUUAAAAAAAUCAGUUUUCGAAAUUAUUAAAUGUAACUUUUUGUAAUGUUAAAUCAAACAUUAAAAGAAAUAAAUUUCAUAAAACAUGUGAAAAUUUUGAAAUAUGAAAUUAAAAAAAAGGUUAAAUAUGUGAUUUGGGGAUUGGGUUCUAUUGGGUUGGAGGCAAAGCGGGUUAAGAGUAGCAUUUUGCUGUAAAAGCCCAUUCUAGAUUGAAAACUCAUCCUUGAGUGAAACGGUGCACUUCACUGAAAGGAGGGCAUCGUCUCUGCACUGUCACUCUGCAUUUUAUUGAAAGGAAAGGAGGCAAGCCUGGUGCGACGUAGUCGUUUUUGUACAACUCAGAGGCCGAGAAUUUCCAUCUCAGAUCACGGCGGCUUCAUUUGCCUCCAUUCAAUCAACGUACCCGUAUCCGUAUCUGACGCGUACCGCACACCCGUAUCCGUAUCUGUAUUCGUAUCCGACGCGUAUCGCACCAGUAUCCGAAUCAAAAUCUUCAUUGGUUUGGAGUUGUAAGAUUUGCCAAAUCGCUGGUAUUAAUUGACUGUUAAUUGAAGCAUAUUGCUUGGAACCAAGGUUUAAAAUAUCGAUGAUAUCGGAAAUAUCGGUAGUCCAAAAAUAUGGAAAUUUCGAUGGAAAUAUCGGGAUAUUAUCAAUAUCGAUAAAAAUUGAAUAAAAACCAUAGAAAUUGUAAGAAAAACUUGGAAAUUUUUAUUGAAACUUUGGAGAAUGUUUAUUUAGUCAAUUAUCUAUAAGUUUAUCACAAAAAAUUAGAAGGAAAUGCAUUGCAUGAUGGAUUUAACUAAUUUAAGUUGAUUAUACAGCAAGCGGGCAAACACUGUGAGUGUAAAAAAUAUGUAAUAAUUAAUGAAAAAAUAUUAAACACACCAUAAUCAUUUAUAUAUAAUGAUUUACUACAAUAUUUUACACUUUAUACAUUGCAUGGUAAGAUACCUGAGUGACUUAGCACCACAUAGAGUUCCUAUGAGGUUCAAAUUUUUUCACUAUCUUCAUCAUCUCUAUGUGUAGAGUAAGUGUAUUAUGAAGAGUAGUCAUCAAAUGAUAAAUUCCCAAAAUAGUUUUGCAUGUAAUUGUUAACAUACCACCCAUAUAAAUAUAAAUAUUUUAGCAUAUUAUCACAAAAACAUAAGUAAUAUGGUGUUUAAGGUGUUGGAGGAGUAAAAUGGGAGGGGGUCAUAUCCCUUUUGUGCUUUUUUCUCCCUUUUUUUUUUUUAUAACUUUUUUUUCCCUUCACAUCGAUAUUUUUGAUAUUUUAGCGAUAUUACACCGAUAUUUUGACAAAAUAUUGCUGAAAUGUGAGUGAAAUUAUCAACAUCGAUAUUUUUCCGAUAUUAUCGUCGAUAUUGUCGAUAUUUAUACAAUAUGUACAUAGAUAUGUUCCGAAAUAUCCGUGAUUCGAAAAAACCGAAAUAUCCUCGAUAUUUCGUCGAUAUUAUCGAUAUUUCAGACUAUGCUUGGAACUAGUUUCUAUUUUCCACUGAUGUUCAUUUGUGCAUGUUCCUUCAUGUCUUCAGUAAGUGUACCUGGCAAUGUCAAUAUUACUGUUGGUUAGGUAGCUGUUAAUUUUCUUUUUUCUAAUUAAGGGAAUAACAUUGAUCUUAUAAAAGAAGAAAACUUAUCAAGGUUGUAGGGAUUAAAGUCCGCUAAAAUUUAAGCUGAAAUUCCUUUAGGCUUUGUGCUUUAACUUUUCGACAUGAUAGCAAGUGAUUGACUUGAGAUACCGCCAACUAGGUGCAUUGAAGUUUUAUGAAGUUUUUGAGAAUAAACCAUCAAUCCUCUCAAGCAAUGCUAUUCUGUUGAUAUGAUUUGUGUCUUACUAUUCUUUGAGCAACUUUAUAUUAUGUUUCAUUCUUUAUUAUAUCAAACAAACACACACAAAGUUGCUAGACAUAGAAUGAUAUCAAUGAGACUCACACUUGGGCCUUGAUAUGCACUAGAAACAAACUCCACCAAUACACUUUGUUUCAUUAUAUGUUGCAUGCUACAGUAUGUAUACAGUUUUUAUAAUAUUAAAAUAUUAUAUAUAAAGUAAAAAUAUUUCGAGUCCUGUGCAGUAAUGCCACUUGCACCAUGCCAGGGCCACCUUUGUUUGAAAUCCACGUGUGAAUUGUGACGGGAAAAUUUUCAAAAAAUAGCAGGUGCCAAAAUCAAUAUACUAAACGACACUAACACAAAAUUAAUUAAGCUUAUCUACUUAUCAUCAGCCUUUCAUAUAAACAAAAUAAAGAACAACAUUGGUUUGUGUCAUGGCGCCAUUCUCCAACUCCAACUACUUCCUCUGUCUUCUUCUCUACAUAUCAUCCUCUUCUUCAUUAGUUAGUGUCAAAGACAUCUUUUCCUCGCAACACAACAUGAAGAAACAUUGCUGAAGCCCCUUUCAACACUAUUUUUAUUUUGUUUUUCAGUUUCAUUAUUAUCUUUGUCUUUGCCUUCCUGGCACCUCUCUCUGUGCUGAUUUUUCUUUUCCAUUUUUCAAUUCCUUGAAUUUUCAUCUUUCUAAUCAUUCUUGUUCUGCAAUCCGUGCUGAGAGAAGAUUUCUUGGAACCACUUUCCAAUGGCAUUGAGCAGCCAAAGGGCCUUCACUUCAGCUACUGCAGUUUGUUCAUGGAAAUACGAAGUGUUUUUGAGUUUCAGGGGUGAAGACACUCGCAGGGGUUUUACAGACUAUUUAUACAAACAGUUGGACUGGCGAGGAAUUAGAACUUUCAGGGAUGAUCCAGAUCUUCAAAGAGGGGCAGAUAUCAAUCCGGAGCUUCUGACCGCGAUUGAACAAUCAAGGUUUGCAAUCAUAGUUCUUUCAACAAACUAUGCUUCGUCAAGUUGGUGUUUGCGUGAACUAACCCAUAUUGUUCAGUCCAUGAAAGAGAAGGAGAGAAUUUUCCCAAUCUUUUAUGAUGUGGAUCCCUCUGAUGUACGGCAUCAACGGGGGAGUUUUGGGACAGCCCUCGUUAACCAUGAAAGGAAUUGUGGUGAAGACAGAGAGGAGGUGCUUGAGUGGAGAAAUGCUUUAAAAAAAGUUGCUAAUCUCGCUGGGUGGAAUUCAAAGGAUUAUAGGUAAGCAAGCAUGAAGCAACAACUGACACAUAGCUAAUAAGACCAAAUCUUGAAUAUUGCAUUUCAGUUUUGCCAUGCACUUUAUCUACGAUAUAUUCAUAUAACCUCAUCUGAUGAUUUUUUUCUUCUUCUUUUACUUCUAGGUAUGAUACAGAGCUUAUCACAAAAAUUGUUGAUGCAGUGUGGGAUAAAGUGCAUCACACAUUUUCAUUGUUAGAUUCCUCAGACAUAUUAGUCGGACUUGAUACUAAACUAAAGGAAAUAGAUCUGCAUUUAGAUACAAGCGCAAAUGAUGUGCGCUUUGUGGGGAUAUGGGGGAUGGGCGGAAUGGGUAAGACAACCCUAGCUAGAUUAGUUCAUGAGACAAUUUCUCAUAGUUUUGAAGGUAGCAGCUUUCUUGCAAAUGUCAGAGAGGUUUAUGCAACACAUGGUCUAGUUCCUUUACAGAAACAGCUUCUUUCCAAUAUCUUGGGGGAAACAAAUAUACAAGUUUAUGAUGCUUAUAGUGGAUUUACUAUGAUAAAGAGGUGUCUAUGUAAUAAAAAGGUUCUUCUCAUUCUUGAUGAUGUGGAUCAAUCAGACCAACUGGAAAUGUUGAUCAGAGAAAAAGACUGCUUUGGUUUGGGAAGUAGAAUCAUCAUUACAACUAGAGAUGAACGUUUGUUCGUCGAUCAUGGGAUAGAGAAAGUAUAUAAGGUCAUGCCAUUAACCCAAGACGAAGCUCUUUAUCUCUUUAGUAGGAAGGCCUUUAGAAAAGAUGACCUUGAAGAAGAUUAUCUAGAACUGUCUAAAAAUUUCAUAAACUACGCAGGAGGUCUUCCAUUAGCUCUUAAAACUUUGGGGUCUUUUUUGUAUAAAAGAAGUCGAGAUGAAUGGAAGAGUGCACUAGAUAAACUGAAGCAAGCUCCUGACAGAAAAAUUUUUCAAAUUUUGAAAAUAAGCUAUGAUGGACUAGAGGAGAUGCAGAAGAAAAUUUUUCUUGAUGUUGCAUGUUUCCAUAAGCUUUAUGACAAGGAAGAAGUGAUUGAAAUACUAGACAGUUGUGGUUUUGUUGGCACUCGUAUUGUGAUACAUGUUCUUAUUGAGAAAUCUCUCUUGUCUAUUUCAAACACGCAUCUGUCCAUUCAUGAUUUGAUACAAGAAAUGGCAUGGGAGAUUGUUCGUCAAGAGUCUUUUGACGAGCCAGGUGGUCGCAGUCGCUUGUGGCUUCACAGUGACAUCAUUCAUGUACUCACGAACAAUACGGUAAGAAGUUGCACAAAAAAUAAAAUACCAAAACAUUGGAUAACAUACUAUAAUUCCAUUAAUAACGAUAAGAGAGACUUGAUUAUGACACUAACUUUUCUUUUAUUCCUAUGUACAAGGGAACGGAAGCCAUUGAAAGCAUAGUCCUAUGCUUGCGUGAAUUUGAAGCGGCACACUGGAAUCCUGAAGCAUUCUCUAAGAUGUGUAAACUAAAGUUGCUCAAGAUUAAUAAUUUGAGCCUUUCUUUGGGCCCAAAGUAUCUUCCCAAUUCCUUAAGGUUUCUGGAGUGGAGUUGGUAUCCCUCCAAAUGUCUGCCCCCAAGUUUUCAACCUAAUGAACUUGCUCAACUUAGUCUGCAGCAGAGCAAAAUUGAUCACCUUUGGAAUGGAAUAAAGGUAGACCUUUGUAGAGCUAGUUCUUUUCAAUUUCAAUAAAUUUUGCAAGGUUCUUGGAAGUUAUUAUUAUUAUUUUUUUGUCUGAGUUCUUGGAAGUUAAUUAAUCUACCAUUUUCAUGUUUUGUACAGUACAUGGUGAAGUUGAAAUCUAUUGAUCUUAGUUACUCCCAGAACUUGACAAGGACCCCAGAUUUCACAGGUACACAGAACCUUGAGAGGCUGGUUUUUGAAGGUUGUACUAAUCUUGUUAAGAUUCAUCCAUCCAUUGCCUCUCUCAAAAGACUAAGAGUUUUGAAUUUUAAAAACUGUAAAAGCAUUAAGAGUCUCCCAAGCGAAGUAGAACUGGAAUCUCUUGAAACAUUUGAUCUUUCUGGGUGCUCAAAAGUGAAAAAGAUUCCAGAAUUUGUGGGAGAAAUGAAGAAUUUUUCGAAGCUUUCUUUAAGCUUCACUGCUGUUGAGCAAAUGCCCUCAUCAAAUAUACAUUCCAUGGCGAGUUUGAAGGAGAUUGAUAUGAGUGGAAUUUCUAUGAGAGAUCCCCCAUCUUCCCUGGUUCCAGUGAAAAAUAUCGAACUGCCUAGAUCAUGGCAUUCUUUCUUCAGUUUUGGCUUACUUCCAAGAAAGGAUCCCCACCCUGUGAGUCUGGUGUUAGCUUCCUUAAAAGAUUUACGCUUUUUGAAGUGUCUAAAUCUGAAUGACUGCAAUCUUUGUGAAGGAGCAAUACCUGAAGAUAUUGGUUUAUUGUCCUCUUUAGAAAGAUUAAAUCUUGGUGGAAACCAUUUUGUUAGCCUUCCUGAAGGCAUCAGUGGGCUUUCUAAGCUUAGGAGCUUCACACUGAAGAAUUGCAAAAGGCUUCAAAUAUUGCCAAGCCUUCCAUCAAACGGACCACGAUGUUUUUCUGUAAGCACUGAUAAUUGUACAUCCUUGAAAAUAUUCCCAUAUCCACCACCGAUGUGCAAUGGUGGAAGUCACACUUGGAUUAGUUCUUUCAAUUGCUUCAGUUUGAUUGACCAUCAAGGUUCCAGUUCCAUAAUAUUUUUAACGCUGAAGAAAUUCCUUCAGGUACUUCUCCCUCUCUCCCUCCUUCCCUCUUUAGUUGUGUAGUACUAUUUAUAUCCUUCCUUUGGUGCAGGAAAUUCCUCGUUCUUUGAGCAUCUUCGGUAUUGUAAUUCCUGGAAGUGAAAUUCCUGAGUGGUUCAAUAAUCAAAAUGUGGGAGACUCUGUAAUUGAGACACUACCUUCUCAAGAUUCUAAUAGCAAGUGGGUGGGGUUUGCUUUUUGUGCUCUAUUUUUACCUGCUCAAGAAAUUUCAGCUACUGGUACGAGACAUUAUUUAAUCGAUUUUCGUUGCCUUUAUGAUUUAAACACCCUUGCGGGCCCGGUUUAUGUUAUGGGCACAGACGACGUAGUGUUGUCCGAUCACCUUUGGUUGUUCCUCCUGUCUAGGCACCAUUUCUUUAGGGAACCAAGCGGGAGACAUGGGGCCUAUUGGAGGGAGAAAUGCCGCGAUCAUAAGAUUCGGUUUCAUUUCGAAGCAAGAUCUAGUCAAGGAGAGAAGACAUGGGUGAAGGUGAAGAAGUGUGGAGUCCGCGCACUGUACGAACAAGACGCGGAAGAGCUCAACCGAACAAUGAAACAAUAUUCCAACAGAAAGGAUUCUUUUUAUGAGGACGUUACAGAUUGUGAUUUUGACAAAUCAGACAAGGUACAAGGUGUCAUCACUAAGCGAACACGUGAACAGUACUGUAAUGAGACAGGACCAAGCGGUGUUGGUCGCUUGGGCAAAGAAUCACUCUGCAAAAGAAUGAAAGAAGACUAACUGUCCAGUGCCUCAAAGGAGGAGUUGAAAGGUUGGUAUUGCUAAACUCUUCCCAUAUUAUCAUAUAAUUCAUGGUUUCGCUUCAGUUUUUAUCCUAUUAGGUUGGACGAGAGUACUUCUCCUGUUACGUUAUAUUCAAAUUCAAUUGAAAUGCAUGUAUGCAGGAUGCGUUGUAUUAGUGUAGUGUUGUAAAUCUUGUUUUGUUGUACCAAUCACUCUGGAAGUAGAAUAAGUUUUGACAGUCUUUUUGCUUUUUGCAAUCAGAUCCAAAUUUUGUUAGGGGAGGAGAAUUCUGUCAUCCGGAAGCCUAACGGGCGCAUUUUACCGACUGAUGCGUUUAAACAUGGUUGGGAGACAUAUAUUUAUACUUAAAUGGUUUCUUUCUUAGGCUAAAUUCCGAAUGCUGUAAUAAAUUCAGUAGGUUAAUUAGUGAAGCCCUAUUUGAGACAUUGACAUUAUCUGGCGCGUGGACAAGUCAAUCAACUCCAAAAUGACCUCUGCUGUAAUUCAACUACUUCAUUUUUCCUUAUGCGAAAAGCUUUUAUUUGUGUUUUUUUUUUCAGGAAUCUGUUAUAAUGAUGCUCAUAUAUAUAAUUUGCAUAUUUGGUGUAUUUUUUUUUUCUUUUCUUCUUAAGACUUAUUCUCAACCAGUGAAUUUAAAUGAGUGUUGCUAAACGAACCCUAAAAUUAACUGAGUAUACCCUAUGAUCUAAGUGCACUCUAAUAUUUAAAUUAAAUUAUAAAAUUAACUCAGUACACCCUAUUUAACUACCAAAAACACCCAUGGUACACUCUAAUACACUCUAUCACAUAACACCUAACUCAUUCAUGAGUCCAAUUUUACUGUUACCAAAUGCCAUGUGCCGACAUGUUUCCCUUCUAUUUUUUUGACAUGUGGUAAACCACUUAACAACACUUAAAACUUGUGAAAUCGACCUCCCAUCAUCCCCCCACCCAGCCAACCCCAUCCUUCCUCCUCCGACUUAAGCCCUCUCGCAUCCAACCCAACCCUACCACCACCGUCCUUCUCUCUCUCUCUCUCUCUCUCUCUCUCUCUCUCUCUCUCUCUCUCUCUCUCUCUCUNNNNNNNNNNNNNNNNNNNNNNNNNNNNNNNNNNNNNNNNNNNNNNNNNNNNNNNNNNNNNNNNNNNNNNNNNNNNNNNNNNNNNNNNNNNNNNNNNNNNUCCACCCUUCCCCUGCUUAUCCCCAGCCAACCCAAACCCGACGAGCAUAAGAUUCUAAUAAGCCCGUAAUAUCGUGUUGGAACCCAUCUCCUUUCAACUAGUGGAAGAAGGAAAAUUCCAAAGUGGGUUUGUUUCUUAGACUGUUGAGGUUGCUAUCAACCCCAAAGGUAUCUAAUUAAGAAGAAAUAGGUUGUAUUGGAGUUGUUGGAAGUUGGUGUUUAUGGUGCAAACAGCAACAUGAUUGUCAUUAGAUUCAUCAGAGGGUGAAGAGCUGGAGUUCUAGUGGGCAAGUGUAAGAGCCGUUUGGGAAUAUGCUCACUUGAAACCACCAACACCGUAGAUGAACAUCAAAUGAUUAUUGUUUUGGGUGGGUUGAAUGCAUUAACCAAGUCUAAUGGCCGAACGCCACAUACACAUGGAAGAUUCUGACUCAUUGCAAAAAAUUUAGAGCAAAUAAGAUAAUUUGGAUGAGAGAGAGAGAGAGGGAGGGACGGUGGUGGUGGGGUUGAGUUGGAUUCAUAGCGUUCAACGUCGCUCCAUCAAAUAUUAGGGUUGAAUAUGGUGAGUAAGGUGUACUUUCUAAAAUUACAUUUGCUUCACAAUUCAAUAUAUCCUUUUUAGUCAUUUUAUAUUAGGGUAAAUUAGUAAUUCAAUAAAUAGUUUGAUAGUAGGGUGUACUAAAUUAAUUUUAGGGUUCGUUUAGCAUCACUCAUUUAAAUUGGCCAAAAUUGUGGUCCUGCUUGGUAUAUGUUUGUACCCCAAAAAAUAAAAAUCUUGGAUUUAGAUUCUUGGUGGGUUUAAAUAGUGCGUAGGUAUUGCAUAUAAUUUAAUCUGCUAAACAAAUACAAUGCCUCUGAGUAUUUUUUUCUCCCAAAAAACACUCUUAGAGCCUUUUCCACUUUGAGGGAGGAGGAAGCCAUUGUUCUUCCCCCCUCUCCCCUCUUGUCUUCCUCCUUUCACAUCUUCCCCCAUUUUCAGAGAUAAAGAGUUUUCCCUAUUUGUCUUAGUUUUGUUAUGAUUUUCAUCCAACCAUUAUAGGCGGCUGUGGCUCAGCGUCGGAUCUUCACCUGCAUUUCCGCAUUGGAUCUCCACCACCAUCUUUUUUUCAAUUUCUUUAUGUUUGGAAUAAGUUGCAGAGACUCUUUGGGUUCUCUGUGUAGUUUUCACCUCUCCUUUUGUGAGGGUUUUUCAUCUCUCCUUUGUGAGAGCUUUUCAUCUCUUAUUUGUGAGAGUUUUAUUUGUAUUGUUAUUGGUUUUUUCAAGCUUUAUCUUUUUUUUAUUAUUCUAAGUUUGCAAUCUUAGUUGGAAUGCCCAUGCCAGAGUUUUUUCGAUCCUGCCUGAUCGUUAGUGGAGACACACCAGAUUAUCUUAAUUUUGAUAUUAGACCGCUCCGUUAUUGUAAUGGCCACAAUCGGGAGCUGGGUAUGUGGUUCUCAUUCUUUUCCCCACCUCCAUGCUAGUAAUAUUCGAACUGGCGAUUCCCCAUCCUUGCCUACGUCCCAUUACAAAAAUACUAAUAAAAAAUAAUAUUAAAUGUGGAAAAAAGUCAUAAACUAUUGGUGGGAGUCAUGGUACAGAAACAAUAUAUUCAUAUGAAAAAUAAAUAAAUAAAUAAAUAAAGCCGAAAACAUCCCAAAAAUUUCCCAAUUAGAUUCAACAUAUAUACAGGGAGAAUAACUAUCUUGCAAGAUGGAGCUGCAAUCUGGAUUUGGGCAUUUGCUUUUCUGAAAAUACCUCACUGGAGUCUCUCAUGCCCGUCAGAUUCCCCUUGAUAAAGCUUAGUUGUUCUUUGGGGUUUAACCCCCCAUUAAUUAUAUUUGUUUAAAAAAAAAAAAUUUCCCAAUUACUAUCCCAUUACCUAAAGCUGCAAAGACCUUAACCAGUUGACGAUCCCAACUGUAGAAGAGAUGCCACUGUUAGCAAAUCACGUAAGUGUCCCAAGCCAAUAAAAUGUCGACAGCUGGUAACUAAUUUUACUUCCAAUUUUAAAUAUUAAAAAAAUGUUCUGCACCCAUUUCCGCGUCCCUCUCUCUCAUCCAUUAAUCUCUCUUUCUUCAUUUUAGUCACUCCUCCAAGGAAAACUUCCUGUCACAGGAUGCCACUGUUAACAAACCAUGUAAAUAUCCCUAGCCAAUAAAAUGUCGACAGCUAGCAACUAAUUGUACUUUCAAUUUUAAAUAUUAAAAACAAAAUGUUCUGAACCUUAGUCACUCCUCCUCCAUCAUCAUCCACACCCCCCUGCAUUCCUCUUUUUCUCUUCAAUCAGUAAUCCUUCAUAACCCACACUUGGUAUUGAUCUCUCAGUUUUAAUUUUAGUGAAGUAUAUUUAUUGGAGAAAUCUGGAAAUUUUGAAAAUGGUGGAGUUGAGAAAUAUUGGGUUGGCUUCGACUUUGUGGAGGAACAGUAUACGUUUUGGGGAAGAAAAACUUUCUCCGGCGUCACUCUCUCCUCCAGAUCUGAGGAAUCUCUUUCCUCCUUUUUUCUUCAAAUUUUAUUGUAUCUAUUGGGCAGUUUUGGAAAAUUUGGAAUGGUGAAGCUGAGAGAGCUUGGGUUCUGUCUGUCAGGGAACAGUGAAGGUGCGGUUUUGGGGAGUCAAAUCGCACCAUGUAUUGAUUUCUUCUCCAGAUCUAAGGAAUCUCUCCUGCCAUUCCAUUAUCACAAAGUAUCAUCUUCUCUCAACAACCCCUCAUAUUCAAGCUCUUCCACAACUCACUUCAACAACCCAAGUAUCUCGCUUAUAGAGAAUAUAUAUAUAUAUAUAUAUAUAUACUUCUCCGAAAUUCAUAUAAAAUAUACUCUCGAUACCCAAAUAUGCCAAACCCACAAUAUAUUGUCAAAACGCUAUACAAACAUCAAAUUAAACUCAUGAAUAUAAUAUAUUCAAUAAACCAUUAAAAACAUUAUGCAUAAAUCUUUCAUCAAUAAAACCAUGCAUAUGAUUGAAAACAAAGUCCACUCACAAAUAUUCUGACGCUACCUGACUACGAGAGGGUCCGGUCUACUGAGUACGUGCAGUCGGAACACCUAUUUCGAGAUACGAAUCCUUAAUUAAUAUAAAAUUAUGUCGAAGCGGAAAUCACAAUUAAAUACUUAAAUCCCCAAAUUCCCAGUACGUGUACGUUGAAGGAGGUAUCCUAAAGUCCGAUUACAGGUUUAGGAAUCGUUCACGAUUGUACAGUUAUUGUUAAUUCACAAACUUUACAUUAUUGAAUCGGAACAUCCGGGGUACCGAUUCAUAAUCUGUGAAGUCCUACACGGUCCUAGGAAUACCUAGAACAACAUAUUUUAAUUAGGAAAAGAUCUAACAGUCAGAACCUAUCGAACCCGAAUAACGCACAAUAUGCGAAAAUCCGUUCGAUAGACAAACGACGCCCGAAUUGAGAUCCGCGAAAUCCUAUGCACUCAUGACAGCCUAAGUAUCUCAUCGGGUGAAAUUACAACUUCACCAGCCUCGCCCAUGGGCCGUCACACGCAUCGGCAGCACUUGGGUGUGUAGAGUAAAUUCCGGUGACGGAAAAACUCCACACCCGAGCUCACCCUUCCUAUCCUAGCUUCUACUCAAGGUCAAGAUCACUUCAUUCAGCUACGGGGAGGUCCAAUUCGGACGGCAACUGGUCAGAAUUUCACUUUGAAAUCCGGCCAAAACCUAGGUUUUCAAAUCGAUUUUCUAAACAACAAAUCGAUCCAAACCUAUACAUCAGUCAGCUAGAACUCGAAAAAUGGAUGAGAAACCACACCUUAUUCACCGGGUUUGGGUGGCGGAGACGGCGGCGCGACGACUGAAAAUCUCCACUUCGAACUAGUCGAGAUCAUGGCCAUAAUUCGUGGUUUCCGACGGGGAAAGCUAGCGGGUCUUGACCGGGACGUCGAGGGGAGUCGAUCAGGAUCGGUGGCGCGCCUAGCCGUGGCCGGUGCUGGGAGAAUCGUAGAGAGAGAGAAUCGGCGUCGAGGAGAGAGAGAGAUUGAGGAGAGAGAGAGAGAGAGAGAGAGAGAGAGAGAAAACUGAUCGCGCGAGGAGAGAGGGAAUUGAGGUGAAAAAUCUGAUUUUUACCAAACUUUUUGAAAUAAUUACAGUUUUGCCACUGAUAAUGUUUUGAUCGCCAAAUCUUCGUUACAACUCCGAUUCAAGCCUAUCGCGUGUCUACGAAUUCGUCUCAGUACAACCUACCCAAAAACACCAGUCGUUGUCACAAAAUUCUUCCGGAUAAGAAAAUGACCAAUUUACCCCUACCCCAAGGGUAAAUUCGUAAUUUCACUUUAAAUCAAUUAAAAUAGACAUUAAAUUUGGAGUCGGGGUGUUACAUGUCUUAUGAGCAAUUUUUUUUGGUAUGAUAUGGAGAGAGGGGGAAUUGAACUUAAAAUCUUGGAUGCGGGGAUUAAUACUCUUAAAUAAGAUAAAAUGGUCAACGAUAUCUAGCCCAGUGAAAAAGGACAUAAUGUUGCAAAUUUCAUUUUGCUUCCAAACUAAUGGUUUCAUGAACAUGAGCUUCAUAUCAUCAACCAACCAUAUUUGUACAGAUUUUGAAUAUAUAUAUAUACACACACACACCCCCGCGUACUUAUAAUUUGCAUAUUUGGUUUUUUUCUUCUUAAGACUUAUUCUCAACCAACGGAUUUAAAUGAGAUGAUCCAAAGGCCAAAAUUGUGGUCUAACUUGGUAUAUGUUUGUACCCAAAAAAUAAAGGGUGGUGUUAAAAAAAAUCAUAAAAUUAGUACUUAUGAUUUAAGUACACCCUAAUAUUUUAAAUCAAAAAUGUAUAAUUAAUUAAAUACACUUUAAUUACCAAAAAUACCAUGGUGUACCCUAAUACACCCCAUCACACAAAGAAAAAGUUAAAAGCAAGAAACAAAGAAAAAUAAAAAUAAAAGCAAUCGUUUACUCUUUAAAUUCAAAGCAUAAUCUGGCAGAGGCAGUAAAAGAUCCCAAGGAAAAUAGGAAGAAAAAAUUUCAAUAUCACUUAGAUAUAGGAUCAUUCGCGUGUUAAAAGGAAAUUCCCAAAAAAAUAUACACAUGGGAAGAAAUAAACGAAGAACGGAGGAGGACAUGAACUGUACGCAAUUUCAAAGUCAAAAUAUUGAAAACAAAGUGUAAAAACUCCAAGGUGUUGUAAAAUAACUGGGAUAUGUGCGAAUAUUGAGCUGCACGUAAAGUAGAUGAGACACAGCAUUUAACGAGGUUCGGCUAUGCCUACGUCCUCGGAGAGCAGCAACAGUAACUUUUCACUAUAUAAAAUAAUAUGGCUACAACUUUAGUGUUUACAACAUGUGUGGCUCACUGAAUUUUCUCUCUACGAGAAUUUCUCUCUGCUCUCUCUUUCCUCUUUCUUCCUUCUCUUCCUCUUGUCUCUUUCCUUUUUCUCUCUUUCCUCUUUUCUCUUUUUCCUCUUCUUUGUUUCCUCUUCUCUCUUUCCUCUCUUCUCUCUUUCCUCUUCUUUGUUUCUUUCCGUUUUUUCUUUCUUCUCUUUGCAGGCAGGAGGAUUGCCUAUUUAUAGGCAUGAUAAAUGGCACCCGUGAUGUUUCUAUCCAAUCAUCUUCACUAUUCACUAUUCACCCGUGAAUAAACUCAUGCACUAAAGUCUACAAACAAAUAGUAAGUGGGCUCCACUACUUUAUACUUUACAACACUCCCCCUUGGAGACCACAUGUCCCUAGAUUGGUUGCCUCAUUAAAAUCUUGCUUGGAGAAAACCUAGUAAGGUAGAGAACUGAUGGAAGGAAGAAAGAAGAGUACAACAAUCUGUAUAGCAUACUUCUGGAUGCUCCCCCUGAUUAAUAUCUCCCCCUGAUGUCUUCAUGACUAUCUUUUGGAGUGAGAAUCUUUCGGAGUGAGUGGAGGAUGUAGCCAUUAACAAUUCUCGUAGUUGAGUAAGUAAAUAUAUUUCCAGUGAGCUAUCUCUAUGUAAAUCAUAGAAAUUUUCAGAGUCCGCGUUUCUAACAAAACUUGGGCUAUUUGUAAGUUCACUUGAAAGAAUAUGCCCGUACAUGGUGUUAUGCGGAGAUAGCAUCAAAUAUACCUCACAUCAUUCCAAAAUGAUGGUGAUGGAGUUGAGCCCUAUCUGAAAAAUAUGAUGUCCGGUCGAAUAUACUUCCGAAAAAUCAUUAAAGUGUCUAACGGAUAAUCCUCAUAAAAAUGCUUCAAUACUUUAUUAGUAUAAGCAAGAAUCUCGUUGGCAUAAUGCUCGAUCCUUAAGUCGAGACAAAUAUUUCUUGAACUCUUGAGAAGCUUUAAUAUGUUGCAAACACAUUAUAAUCAAUAUACUCACUGAUGUAAUUUAUGUACAUUAAUAUUGAGUACAAAUUUUGUGCUUCAGGCACAUGUCAUUCAGGGACUUGCUUCAUGCAAUUUCAAUCCUUUCAAGGAUUUUGUUUAAAGGGAUUAAACUUUAUGACACAUUAUAUAGCUUUAACCCAGCUAUUUAUACAUCUUUAGGGAAUCACUUCAGGUGAUAUGCUCUGUGCAUUUAAUAACCUUUAAAGAUAACAUGUUGGUCUCCGUAAAUGUGCAAUAAAGGGGCACAAUUAAAUCUAUAAAUAUGGAGAAAACCCAACAUUCCUUGUUUCUGCCAGAAACAUUGUGUCAUACAAAGUAGGUAUAUUUCCUUUUAUUCCGAACACCCAAGUAUAACUUUUAAUAUUAACAUCUUUUGGGGUUCGUACUGUGGGUUUGUUCUUUCACGUUCAUUCUCAUCUAUAAUGGAAUUGCCUCAUUCCAUUUUGGCUAAUGAUAUUGUCGACUUUUAAUAAUUGAACGUGGUUCCAAUCAACACGGCCCAUUGAUGAUUUGAGUAGCUACUCCAAAAUCAAAAUUUGUCAUUCAUCAAUUUAUGAUCCCACCAUUCUCAUUUGCUUGCGCAUACAUCAAUUAUAAGCAUUUCUUUGCUUUUGGGUACCCAAGCCACUGCAGGGGGCUUUUAUUAUGUGAGAAUGUGGAUUAUAACCUCCAAUGGAGCGUUAUUUUAUAGUAUGGCGUGGAUAAUCUCCAUUUAGGGAGUUGGAACAUUUAGAAUCCAUAUAUCUAUCAUGCUGCAGGCAUGCCACAGAUUAAUACAUACAUGUCAAUUAAUUUAUGGGACUUUAACCCAUACAAUUUGCUAUGCAUUAGGCGUGCACAAUAUCAAUAUUGACAUGUCAAAGGAUUGUCCUUUCGGGACUUCAAUCCACAUCAUUUGCUACGCAACAGGCGUGCAUCAUAUUGAUCACUGCUAUACCCAUAUUCUGUUCUUAUGGGACUUUAAUCUGUGCAGUGUAUUAUCAAUGUAUCCAACUUGCAAUCUGUAAAAUUUGCGUUAAUAAUUCAUGGAUACAUACAAGCCAUUCUUUUGGAACGGACUUAUCUCUCCAUUUGGUUACCUUUCAAGAUAAAAUAUCAAAUAGGUAUAUAAGCAUAAAAUAACACAAGUAUUGCUUACAUCCUUAGGUGGGAGAAACUUUUCUCAAGUAUCAUUCAAGCUCAUAUCGGCCCAGUAAAUAUAAUGUAGCGCUUGAUGAUCUAGUUAUAUCCUGCAAGAGCAAAAAUCACAACUCUUUUGCCUCUGUCAAAACAAAUAACCCUCAUAGUUAGGAUUACUUCAUGGAUUCAUUUUUCAGAUGUUCAUUCUAAAGAAAUAAAAUCUCUUAUUAACAGAGAGUUAUAAAAAGAGAAAAAAUGCAAAAAUAAUGUGAUAUUGAUUGCAAGAGAAGGUAAGCAAUCAGGGAAGGAAGCUAGUGGGAGCAGACAAUAAGCUCUCAUAUCUCCUAGUCUAGAAGGACUUCCGGAGAUUAGAGCAUAAGAUCGCCUUCACAGUUUCCUGAUGUAGCGGAAACGUGAUCAGGGAUAGUCUUGCUUCCUGAAUGGAUGAUCAGAGAUAGUCUUGCUUCUCAGGCAUAUUGAGUGCUCACUGAUAAGAAAAAUAAGUAGAUAUCGCAUCACUAGGUAUGGAGUAAACUGGAUGUCUUAUGCAAAGAAAAUUUCGUUAGUAACACAUUUAUACACAAAUACAAUGAAUAGAUAGAACCGGUGAAUUUCAAAUUAACCAUUGGAAAAUUGCGAGAUUCUCGGGAUACUUUUGAAAAAGUAGCUCCGUGAAAUCCGUAAAGCAAGAUCGGCUUUGACGAAAAUAAUACUUGAAAACGCCGAAAGUGCCGACAGGCAUUAUUAGAGGCUACGUGAAGUUUUGGACUCUGGGAAAGAAAAAGAUAAUAUGGGGAUUCGAGAAGAUAUUGAAAUCUUGAAGAUAUUGCCAUAUUUUCGUCUAUAGAUAUUGCCUUUGCAAAACUUGAUUGGAGCAAUUGCGUUUCAACUUAACUUCCUUCAUUUUCUGAAACUUUAGUUUUCCUAAGGCUUUCUUCGAAACCUUCUUAAAAAUGGCUUCCUCUUCUUCCUGCCCAAAUUAUUUCAAUUUAAAUGAUGCUCCCACAACAACUAGUGACGCCAAAGUUUGGCGUCCAUCCUUUGUAUCCCAAAAUCGUCAUCUCACAGUUAAUGAUUCUGUGAUGAUGAAUGAUGCUACUGCUGUCAUAGUAGCUAGGAAUUUCAUUACUCCAAUGGAUGAAAUGCUGUUAACAGGGAGGUCUGAGGAAGAGGCUAUUGAUGACUCAAUGGCUUUUAGCAUUCAGAGUGCUGCUUCUGUUUCUAACAUGGCUGAUCGUUUGCGUGCCAGAGCAAACGAGGUUGAGAGGCUAACAACUGAAAAUUCGUCUCUUCAAAGAAUGCUUUAUGAGUCUCAACAGGAGGUUGAGAAACUUAAAGGAGAGAAUAAUUCCUUGUUGAAACUGGUGAGUUCGUACUCUGUUGAUACACUGAGAAGGCUAGACAUGCUGCAGGUCUCAAAUGAAAGAAUUUUGGGAGACCACGAGAAGCUCAUGGCUAAGCUUAAGAGGCGCUGUCCUCUUCCUUCAGAGGCUUCCAGAACAUAAUGUAAUUUUAUAGAUUUUACAGGGCCUGCACCUUCAUUGCAGGUGGAAAAAAUCUAUCUGUUAUAUGCUCCUUUCCUAUUAUAAUAAUUGCGCAUAUUCUUAAACUUACACCUGUGGUUUUUACGUCUUUUCAAAAUGACGGUUUGGAACCUUGUGCCUUAUAGAUUCAAAUAACCACAUCGACUCUCCCAAAUUUCAUAUUUUAACGUAUGAAAUUUUUGGCAUGGGCUAAACACAAACUCAGAAUUUAUUUGCCCUUUUCAAAUGGACAUGAAAUAUGAAUUGAGUAAAAGCCACGAUAAUAUCGCAAUAUAGUGGUGAAGAGCAUUAACUACUAUAUACCCACAACUUCAAGUUCAGGAUCUCUCAUAUAUUUGGAUCCAUGGGCUUCCGGCCCAGAUAUAACAAAAUAUGUGGGGAGCCUCAAUUCAUUAUUUGAGGUUUAUAUUAAUAUUAUCCAUUUCGCGGUGUAUUCUUAACAAUCGGAAUUCACAAAAUAUAUUUCUUCCUUGAGGUGUUGAUUAUAACAAAAUCGAACUUUAUUAAAUUCAUCAUCUUCUUAUGCCAAAGAAAUAUGUGGCAUACCACAAUUUGCAAUAAUACCUCAAGGGUUGUCCAUUUAAUUGUUGGAACUUCAGGUUCUCAACACUGUUAGAUUUUGAACCUCAAGCCAAAAUCACAUAUUCUUAUGGUAUGGACAUUUUUACAAUUUUCUGUACAUAUUUCUGGACUUCAAGCCCUUACAUAAUUGUCCAUAUCUUGAGGAACUUCUGGCAUCUCAUUUAAUUGCUCAUCCAUGAGUUUAAGGAACUGCAGGUUCCCUUUUUGAAUAGUGAUGGUUUACCCAAAAUGAUUAAUAUUUAUGUAUACGUCACUAUUCAUAUAUCCGGUACUAUUCAUCAAGUCAUGAAUACGUAUCUAUUCAUGUGUGCAGUACAUUUGCCAGUACAGUUAUCAUCCAUGUGUACGGCAUUAUGAACCAAUACGGUACUGUUACAUCAUUAAGGAACCCCAGGUCCUUAUUUACAUGUCGGGGAUCAAGGACCCUCAAGUCCAAUCACAUGUUUACAAAUAUAGUACCGGAGAGACUGCCAGCUCUCAUAUUAACAUCAUCAUCAAGGAUCUUCAAGUCCUGAUGUAAUUGUAUGAUGAGGAUCAAGGAACUUCUGGUCCUGAUCUGCAUACUGUAAAAACUCAUCAUACAGCACAAUUAAUCCAUGAAAUAAAUUGCUGGUAAAUAAAUUACUGGUAUGGACGAUAAACCCGCACCAUACUUUAAAUAAAUGUAAAUGUGCGGUAAAAUAAAUUCAUAAAUUAAAUUGCUUGCUGUAUGGACGUUAAUCCCGCACCAUACCUUAAAUAAAUUUAAAUGUGCGGUAAAUUAAAUUCAUAAAGUAAACAUGCUUGUAUGGGCACUAAUUCUGCUCCAUACUUUUAAAUAAAAGUAAAGGCAUGGGCGAUAAACCCGCGCCACCCUUUUAAAUAAAUACUGUCGUAUGGGUAAUAAACCUACACCAUACAGUAAAUAAUGUACAGUAAAUUAAUUUCAUAAAGUAAAUUUCAUAAAGUAUGAGGGUCAAUUCCACAUCAUACUUUAAGUAAAAGUAAAUUUGCGAUAAAGUAAAGGUGCUUGUAUGGGCACUAAUUCUGCUCCAUACAUUUAAAUAAAAGUAAAGGCGUGGACGAUAAACCCGCACCACCCUUUUAAAUAAAUACUGUUGUAUGGGUAAUAAACCUACACCAUACAGUAAAUAAAAUAAAUAUGGGGUUAAAACCACCACCGAAUAAAAUAAGAAAAAUAUUAGUAUUAGUAACGGUCUCCCACUGAUAAUAUGUUUAGUAUUACCAAGGGUCCAUUUUUGUUAGUGGUUAGUAAUAGAAAAGUGAAUAGAUAUAGCAUAUUAUAUUACCACAUUUCAAUAUUAAUAUUACAUAUAUAUGUAUAUGAAUAUAUGAAUAUAUUUGUUUCGGUGGGUUCUUAUCAUGUUGGUGGAAAGCUAAAAGUGGCAAUAAAGUUAAAAGUUGCAGAAACCUCUAGCAAUAUAUAUUAUGUAUAUAAUAUAAUAUUAUUAUACUAAUAUAUUAGUGGAAAGCUCUAUAUAUCAGGUUGGCCUUUGCUUGUCCAUCUCAACCACAAACACAUGGCACAGAUCUAAUCACACCUACACCCGCCUCGGCUGGUCAUAAUUGUUAGAUAUUAGAUUAAUAUUAAAUAAUUGAGAUAGAGAAAACAGAGUGCUUAUCUCAUGGUCAUCAAGGCAUAUCCCACAUAGAGAGCGUCUCGUGCUGAUAACGUGUUGUAAAAUAACUGGGAUAUGUGCGAAUAUUGAGCUGCACGUAAAGUAGAUGAGACACAGCAUUUAACGAGGUUCGGCUAUGCCUACGUCCUCGGAGAGCAGCAACAGUAACUUUUCACUAUAUAAAAUAAUAUGGCUACAACUUUAGUGUUUACAACAUGUGUGGCUCACUGAAUUUUCUCUCUACGAGAAUUUCUCUCUGCUCUCUCUUUCCUCUUUCUUCCUUCUCUUCCUCUUGUCUCUUUCCUUUUUCUCUCUUUCCUCUUUUCUCUUUUUCCUCUUCUUUGUUUCCUCUUCUCUCUUUCCUCUCUUCUCUCUUUCCUCUUCUUUGUUUCUUUCCGUUUUUUCUUUCUUCUCUUUGCAGGCAGGAGGAUUGCCUAUUUAUAGGCAUGAUAAAUGGCACCCGUGAUGUUUCUAUCCAAUCAUCUUCACUAUUCACUAUUCACCCGUGAAUAAACUCAUGCACUAAAGUCUACAAACAAAUAGUAAGUGGGCUCCACUACUUUAUACUUUACAACACAAGGUUAUUUGACUUUUGUCUUAACCCAAAAGGGAUUGACGAAUGUUAAUCAAACCCAGUUGGGCAAAGCUCAUAAUUUGCGUCUUGUUCUGAAGGCUCUUUUUAACUCUUUUACCAGAAGACCCCAAAGGAAGGUUGUUGUGGAAUUGUAAAGAGAAAAAAAAGUCUUUAACUAACCAAUGAACAAACCAAUGAAAACAGGAUGUGAUAAAAGGAAUUAAAGUUAGUGCUAGACUUUAAUCUUAACAAAGUCUUCUCUGAUGUAUACUUCCCCUACUGCUUGAGUUUAACAUAUUAUUUAUUUAAGGACGGUGAGUUGUGAUUAAGGAAAUUUAAAAUUAUUUAAAUCAAUAUGCUAAACGACACUAACAAAAAAUUAAUCAAACUUAUCAAAUCAUCAGCCUUUCAAAUAAACAAAAGAAUGUCAUGGCACCAUUUUCUCCAACUCCAACUACUUCCUCUGUCUUUUUCUUUAAUUAUCAUCUUCUUUUGCAUUAGUUAAUGACAAAGGCAUCUUUUCCUCGCAACACACCAUGAUGAAACAUUGCUGAAGUCUUUGUCUUUGCCUCCCUGAAACCUCUCUGUGUUGAUUUUUCUUUUCCAUAUUUCAAUUGGUGCCAUUGAAUUACCAUCUUUCUAAUCAUUCUAGUUCCGCGAUCCGGUGCUGAGAAAAGAUUCCUUGGAACCACUUUCCAAUGGCAUUGAGCAGCCAAAGGGCCUUCACUUCUGCUACUGCAGUUUGUCCAUGGAAAUACCAAGUGUUUUUGAGUUUCAGGGGUGAAGACACUCGCAGGGGUUUUACUGACUAUCUAUAUAGACAGUUGGACUGGCGAGGAAUUAGAACUUUCAGGGAUGAUCCAGAUCUUGAAAGAGGGACAGAUAUCAAUCCGGAGCUCCUCACUGCGAUUGAACAAUCAAGGUUUGCAAUCAUAGUUCUUUCAACAAACUAUGCUACUUCAAGUUGGUGUUUGCGUGAACUAACCCAUAUUGUUCAGUCCAUGAAAGAGAAGGAGAGAAUUUUCCCAAUCUUUUAUGAUGUGGAUCCCUCUGAUGUACGACAUCAACGGGGGAGUUAUGGGGCAGCUCUCGUUAUCCAUGAAAGGAAUUGUGGGGAGGAGAGAGAGGAGGUGCUUGAGUGGAGAAAUGCUUUGAAAAAAGUUGCUAAUCUCGCUGGGUGGAAUUCAAAGGAUUAUAGGUAAGCAUGAAGCAACAACUGACACAUAGCUAAUAAGACCAAUUCUUGAAUAUUGCAUUUCAGUUUUGCCAUGCACUUUUAUAUACGAUAUAUUCAUAUAACCUCAUCUAAUGAUUUUUUUUUCCUACUUCUAGGUAUGAUACAGAGCUUAUCACAAAAAUUGUUGAUGCAGUGUGGGAUAAAGUGCAUCCCACAUUUUCAUUGUUAGAUUCCACAGAGAUAUUAGUCGGACUUGAUACUAAACUAAAGGAAAUAGAUAUGCAUUUAGAUACAAGCGCAAAUGAUGUGCGCUUUGUGGGGAUAUGGGGGAUGGGCGGAAUGGGUAAGACAACCCUAGCUAGAUUAGUUUAUGAGAGAAUUUCUCAUAGUUUUGAAGGUAGCAGCUUUCUUGCGAAUGUCAGAGAGGUUUGUGCAAGUGCAAGUGCAACACAUGGUCUAGUUCCUUUACAGAAACAGCUUCUUUCCGAUAUUUUGAGGAAAGAAAAUAUACAAGUUUAUAAUGCUCAUAUUGGAUUUACUAUGAUAAAGAGGUGUCUGUAUAAUAAAAAGGUUCUUCUCAUUCUUGAUGAUGUAGAUCAAUCAAACCAACUGGAAAUGUUGAUCAGAGAAAAAGACUGCUUUGGUUUAGGAAGUAGAAUCAUCAUUACAACUAGAGAUGAACGCUUGUUAGUCGAACAUGGGAUUGAGAAGAUAUACGAGGUCAUGCCAUUAACCCAAGAUGAAGCUGUUUAUCUCUUUAGUAUGAAGGCCUUUAGAAAAGAUGACCUUGAAGAAGAUUAUCUGGAACUGUCUAAAAAUUUCAUAAACUAUGCACGAGGUCUUCCAUUAGCUCUUAAAACUUUGGGGUCUUUUUUGUACAAAAGAAGUCGAGAUGAAUGGAUGAGUGCACUAGAUAAACUGAAGCAAGCUCCUGACAGAGAAAUUUUUCAAAUUUUGAAAAUAAGCUAUGAUGGACUAGAGGAAAUGCAGAAGCAAAUUUUUCUUGAUGUUGCAUGUUUCCAUAAGUCUUAUCUCAAGGAAGAAGUGAUUGAAAUACUAGACAAUUGUGGUUUUGUUGGCACUCGUAUUGUGAUACAUGUUCUUAUUGAGAAAUCUCUCUUGUCUAUUUCAGUUUUAGACAAUUGUGUGUAUAUGCAUGAUUUGAUACAAGAAAUGGCAUGGGAGAUUGUUCGUCAAGAGUCUUUUGAUAAGCCAGGUGGUCGCAGUCGCUUGUGGCUUCACAAUGACAUCGAUCAUGUACUCACGAACAAUACGGUAAGAAGUUGCACAAAAUAAAAUACCAAGGCCUUGGAUAACGUACUAUAAUUCCAUUAAACAUGAUAAGAGAGACUUGAUUAUGACAUUAACUUUUCUUUUAUUCCUAUUUACAAGGGAACGGAAGCCAUUGAAGGCAUAGUCCUACGCUUGCAUGAAUUUGAAGCGGCACACUGGAAUCCUGAAGCAUUCACUAAGAUGUGUAAACUAAGGUUGCUCAAGAUUAAUAAUUUGCGCCUUUCUUUGGGCCCAAAGUAUCUUCCCAAUUCCUUAAGGAUUCUGGAGUGGAGUUGGUAUCCCUCCAAAUAUCUGCCACCAAGUUUUCAACCUGUUGAGCUUGCUGAACUUCGUAUGCAGCAUAGCAAAAUUGAUCACCUUUGGAAUGGAAUAAAGGUAAGACUUUGCAAGCUAUUUCUUUUCAAUCUCAAUAAAUUGUACGGUUCUUGGAAGUUAAUUAAUUUAAUCUACCAUUUUCAUGUUUUGUACAGUACAUGGUGAAGUUGAAAUGUAUUGAUCUUAGUUACUCCGAGAACUUGACAAGGACCCCAGAUUUCACAGGUACUCAGAAUCUUGAGAGGCUGAUUUUUGAAGGUUGUACUAAUCUUGUUAAGAUUCAUCCAUCCAUUGCCUCUCUAAAAAGACUAAGAGUUUUGAAUUUUAAAAACUGUAAAAGCAUUAAGAAUCUUCCAAGUGAAGUAGAACUGGAAUCUCUUGAAACAUUUGAUCUUUCUGGGUGCUCAAAAUUGAAAAAGAUUCCAGAAUUUGUGGGAGAAAUGAAGAAUUUUUCAAAGCUUUCUUUAAGCUUCACUGCUGUUGAGCAAAUGCCUUCAUCAAAUAUACAUUCCAUGGCGAGUUUGAAGGAGCUUGAUAUGAGUGGAAUUUCUAUGAGAGAUCCCUCAUCUUCCCUGGUUCCAAUGAAAAAUAUCGAACUGCCUAGAUCAUGGCAUUCUUUCUUCAGUUUUGGCUUACUUCCAAGAAAGAAUCCCCACCCUGUGAGUCUGGUGUUAGCUUCCUUAAAAGAUUUACGCUUUUUGAAGCGUCUAAAUCUGAAGGAUUGCAAUCUUUGUGAAGGAGCAAUACCUGAAGAUAUUGGUUUAUUGUCCUCUUUAAAAGAAUUAAAUCUUGAUGGAAACCAUUUUGUUAGCCUUCCUGCAAGCAUCAGUGGGCUUUCUAAACUUGAGACGUUCACAUUGAUGAAUUGCAAAAGGCUUCAAAAAUUGCCAAGCCUUCCAUCAACCGGACGAAAUUUUUUUUCUUUAAAGACGGGUAAUUGUACUUCCUUAAAAGUAUUCCCAGAUCCAACACCGACGUGCGGUGGAAGUACCAUUUUGAUUGAUUUUUUCAACUGCUUCAGUUUGGUUGAUCAUCAAGGUUCCAGUUCCAUAAUAUAUUUAAUGCUGAAGAAAUUCCUUCAGGUACUUCCCUCUGUCCCUCCUUCCCUCCUUAGUUGUGUACGUAGUACUAUUUAUAUCCUUCCUUUGGUGCAGGAAAUUCCUCGUUCAUGGAAAAACUUCAGAAUUGUAAUUCCUGGAAGUGAAAUUCCUGAGUGGUUCAGUAAUCAAAGUGUGGGAGACUCAGUAAUUGAGACGCUACCUUCGGAUUCUAAUAGCAAGUGGGUGGGGUUUGCUUUUUGUGCUCUAUUUGUACCUGUUGAAGAAAUUUCAGCUACGGGACAUGGACGCAUCCUUUUCAAGAUGACUGAGUACGGGAGUUUUUUUAUUGAUGUAGUCAAUGAUGUAGCGUCCGAUCACCUUUGGUUGAUCCUCCUGUCUAGGGAAAGUUCCUUUGAUAAGGAACCAACCGGGAGACCUGAGACCUAUUGGUGGAAUGAAUGCUAUGAUCGUAAGAUUCGGUUUCAUUUCAAAGUCAAAGCAUCUGCAUCUUAUCCAGGAGAGAAGACGUUGGUGAAGGUGAAGAAGUGUGGAGUCCGCAUACUGUACGAACAAGAUGCUGAAGAGCUCAACCGAACAAUGAAACAAUAUUCCAACAGAAAGAAUUCUUUUUAUGAGGACGUUACAGAUUGUGAUUUUGACAAAUCAGACAAGGUACAAGGUGCCAUCACUAAGCGAACACGUGAGCAGUACUGUAUUGAGACAGGACCAAGCGGUAUUGUUACCCUUGGCAAAGAAUCACUCUGCAAAAGAAUGAAACUGUCCACUGCCUCAAAGGAAGAGUUGAAAGGUUGGUAUUGCUAACUCUUCCCAUAUUAUCAUAUAACAUUUUGUUUGAAAUCGAAAAAGUACUCUCUACAUCCCCAAACAAAUUUUUUGUUUUUUUUUGUAUGCGAACAUUUUAGCAUAUGAUUCACUCUCUUUGUUACUUUAUAUAUAUUUCUAAUUCAUUCACGUCAUUAGUUCACUUUCCCAUUAUCUUAUACAUAGUUAACUAGAACAAUUCAUGAAUUUGUUAUAGAUUUGGUAGAUUUUCCAAAAAUUCAUUGUUUCGCUUCCAUUUUAUCCUACUAGGUUAUAUUUAAAUUCAAUUGAAAUGCAUAUAUGCAGGAUGUGUUGUACUAGUGUAGUCUUGUAAAUUUUGUUUUGUUGCACCAAUCACUCUGGAAGCAGAACAAGUUUUGACAGUCUUUCUACUUCUUAUAAUCAGAUUCAAAUUUAGUUGGGAGCAGAGAGUUCCAUCAUCCGGAAGCCUAAUCGCGCAUUUUACCGACUGAAACAUUUAAACAUGGUUGGGGGACAUCUAUUUAUGCUUAAAUGGUUUGUUUCUUAGUUUAAAUUCCACAUGUGCUGUAUAAAUUUAGUAGGUUAAUUAGCGAAGCUCUAUUUGAGAGAUUCACAUUAACUAGGGCGUGGACAAGUCAAUCAACUCCAAAAUGACCUGUGCUGUAAUUCCACUACUACAUAUUUCCUUAUGCUAAAAGCUUUAUUUUAUUAUUAUUAUUUUUUUUUCAAGCAUCUGUCAUAACCCUUUCAAAUGACUCAUCAAAUGUUACAUUCAUCCAAAUAGUGACUUAAUGAAAUUCAAAAAUAGUUUCUCAAAUUUAAUUUUGCUUCCAAACUAAUUAAUGGUGUCAUGAACUUGAGCUUAAUAUCAUCAACUGACCUUAUUUGCAUACAUAUUCAAAAAAAUUGUGUUUAAAUUUUUAUUUUUAUUUUUUGAUAUAAGCAUAUGGAGAGAAGAGGAAUUGAACGUAGAACCUUGGAUGCACAGAUUAAUGCUCUUAAAUAAGACAAAAUGGUCAACAAGACCUAGCUCAAUGAAAAAGAUCUUGACUUUGCUGAUCAAUUAUCUCAAUUUUGAACUCUCAUGACACAUUCACAGUAUGUGUGUACGAAAACCCUCCACCUCCAAUAUAGCUUGAAUAGUAAAAAGACAAAAUUAUAUAACGAUGCUUCUUGAAACUUAUUCUCAACCAGUGGAUUUAAAUUGGCCAAAAUUGUGGUCGUACUUGGACUAUCCACGUUUGUUUCGAUGCUGGUAAAAGGAAGAAAGGUUUCUAGGCGGGGAGAGACCGUGGCGGCGAACUACGCGUUCGGGCCGCUCGAAGAUGACGUAAUCAUCAAGCACAGACUUCUCACUCGAAACCACAACCACAAGAGGCGAACCCCCAUUGAAGAAGCUCCAGAAGAAGUUCACAUCCCUGUUCGUCGAGCUCGACAAGAACGAGGACAACUAUGGCGACUGCGACAAGCUGGCCAAAGCUUUCCUCCAAGAGCUCAGCACAUUCGAGAUUCCGCUCCUCAAGAGCAAAGCGGUUGUGGAUGCAAAUCUCAGAGAGAAGCACAAUUUCGACGAGUUGAGGGAGGAGAUAAAUCGGCAGAUAGUGCAAGCGCAGACCGACAUUGAAUUACUGAAGAAGCAGCUUGAGGAGAGUAAAAUCGAAAGAAGGCAUAAGGAGGAGUGUGAGGCGAUCAGGAAAAUGAUCGCUACACAACCGCCUCGGUCCGAAACGCUCAAAAUCAUAUCCGAUUUGGAGAAAGAGAUCGUCGCUUUGGACGCUGAGAACACGGCAAGUUCGAGGAUGCUGGAGCUCCGAAAGAAGCAGUUUGCUCUGCUUUUGCAUGUGGUAUGCAGCUCUGUUAAAUUCGCCAAUUUUCGAUUAUGUUGCCUGCGUUAAGCAGUAGAACCCUUUUGAAACUAGAUUUAAUUUUCGUUGUAUUUGAUGUUUUUGCAGGUGGAUGAGUUGCAGAACACCAUAGAGGAAGAGCAGAAGAGUUUGAUUGAGGAGAAAGAGCACAAACACGGAAUCCGUGCAUGUUGAUUAGAGUAUGUAAUGCAUCUCUUGGUUUUGCAGUUGUAAGAUUGUGUUUUUCAUGAAUGGGUUUCUAUCUAUCUUGAAUCUUGAUUUAUAGAAACGGGAAUGUAGAGUGGUGCUCUACAGUUGGAAUAUGUCAGCGAUAUUUUGAAAUUCUUAAUUUUGUGCAACUUGUAGAUUUUCUUGCAUACUGCUUCACCAAGUUCACAUGAUGGGUAGAACUUUGCCAGAACUUCGUUCUGGAUCAAUUUCAAUUGAAAUUUUUAAUUGUCUAAACGUAAUGCUUGUGUGUACAUUGCAUUUGAGUGUAAUAUUACAGUUUGCAUCCAGAUAAAUAUUGAGAAGUUGGAAAUGCAUACUUAUUUUGGGUAGUGUCAAAUAAACUCUUGUGCUUUUCCUUUUCCGUGUACAAUGGCUACUGUUGCUUUACUCAAGUUGUUGAUGUGUAACCCUUUGAGCAGAGCUAAAAUCCCUUUUGCCGCCUAAUCUCAUUUCAUUCAAAUGUUUCUGUUUUUAGUUUUAAAACUUUUUCGAUUUUUCUGCUGUGUAAAAUAAGAACCAUUGGAUUAGAGUCCAAGUGGCUUCUUAAGUGAGGUGUUAGAUUGAGACAAGUGUAAUCAUCUUAUAGGAUGAUAGUUCAAUGGCUAGGAUUGAGUUUGGUAUUGAGGCAGUUAGAGAAGAAUCUCUCUUCUCUCUCCUCAACGGUUAUAUUUCCUGUUUGGCUUGUAAUGAAAAGUAGCAGAUUUCAUUCCUUCAUUUUUUUUUCAGUUCUUUCACAGAGAGCAACGUUCUCUCAUUUCUCUCCCAAACACAUCCAAAAACUAUGAAUUCUAUCAUGGCCUCAGAGCCAGGUUCGAUUGUUUGAGCUGGGCGUGAUCUGUGAACAGAAAAUCGAGCUCGAUCUGAGCUAUCGUUGAGCUGAUUUGGAAAUCGAAGUAGCGAGCUCUUGCAUCAAAGUGUCUCAUAUGGCAGGAUCUGGAGCAGCUGAGCUUCGAACACCAGUUUUCAAUGGAGAAAACUACGAAUUCUGGAGUAUUCGAAUGAAGACUAUUCUGAAAUCGAAUGGUUUGUGGGAUCUGGUCGAGAAUGGGCUAAAUGACUCAGACAUGAAGAAGGAAAAAGAGGAGGCUGCUGAUACUGAGAAGUCCAUGGUGGCUCAGAUUCUGAUGAAGGAUGCUCGUGCACUUGGAUUAAUUCAAAGUGCAGUUUCAGAUCAGCUAUUUCCAAGGAUUGUGAAUGAGGAGACCUCGAAGGGAGCUUGGGAUAUUCUGAAAUUGGAAUUCAGAGGAGAUAAACAGGUACGAAAUGUUAAAUUGCAAGGGUUGCGUAGGGAAUUUGAAUAUACUCGCAUGAAGGAUAGUGAAUCUCUAUCUAUCUAUCUGGUUAGAUUGUUUAAUAUGAUGAAUCAAAUGAAGAGUUAUGGUGAGGAGUUAUCUAGGGAGAGAAUUGUGCAGAAGCUAUUGUUUAGUCUGCCUAAGUCCUAUGAUUCUAUAUGCUCUGUGAUAGAGCACUCUAAGGAUCUUGAAACUCUGGAAGUUCAAGAAGUGGUUGCCUCCUUGAAGAGCUUUGAGCUCAGAUUGGAUAGGCACACUGAGAAUUCUUCAGAAAGAGCUUUUGCUAGUCUGAAUGUAAAAGAAAAGAAGCCUAAGAAUGAGAGUUUUUCUGAAAAUCAGAGUUUUCAGAAAAGUGCUCCUGGAAAUCAAAGCUUUCAAAAACAUUGGAAGCCUAAUGAUGGUAACAUAGCAGCUUGUAAGCAUUGUGACAAGUUACAUUAUGGCAAGUGCUGGUAUGAAGGCAAGCCUAAAUGUCAUGGAUGUGGAAAAUUUGGACAUAUGGUCCGAGAUUGCAAUGGAAAUAGGAAUGCACAUAGGGUGAAUUAUGCAAAUGAGAUGGAAGAAACUGGUACACUAUUCUAUGUCUGUAAUGCUGCAACAGAUGUAAAGGUUAAUCACUCUUGGUACAUAGACAGUGGGUGUAGUAAUCACAUGACAGGAGAUGAGGGACUUUUAGUAAAUGUUCAAAGGGAUUUGACUUCUAAGGUGAAGAUGGGGACUGGAGAAGUAGUUUCAGUUACUGGAAAAGGAACUUUGGUGAUAAAAACCAAGUUUGGUAAGAAGCACAUUCAUGAAGUAAUGCUUGUACCUGGUCUUGAAGAAAAUUUGCUCAGUGUUGGGCAAAUGAUGGCACAUGGCUACCAUCUUGUGUUUGGAGAGAAUAUGGUGAGAAUCUAUGAUGAUCAGUCACUGGAAAAUCUGAUUGUGAAGGUGCAAAUGACAAACAACAGAUGCUUUCCAUUGACAAUGAUGCCUGCCAGUGAGUUGGUUCUAAAAGCAAGUGUCACACAUUGCUUGCAGACAUGGCAUAAGAGACUUGGGCAUUUAAAUGAAAGAAGUAUGAAGCUGCUUGAAAAUCAAGGGAUGGUUCAUGGAUUACCUCACUUAGAACAAAUGUCAGUGGUGUGUGAUGGAUGUAUGCAAGGAAAGCAGCAUAGGGAUUCAUUCCCUUUGGAAUCCACUUGGAGAGCUUCUAAUCCCUUGGAAUUGGUUCACACAGACAUUUGUGGACCAAUGAAAACAGAAUCCCUCUCUGGAAACAGAUAUUUUCUCCUAUUUACAGAUGAUCACACUAGGAUGUCUUGGGUGUAUUUCAUUAGAAACAAAUCAAGUGCAUUGGAGUGUUUCAUGAAAUUCAAAGCUAUGACUGAGCUGCAAAGUGGGUUCAAGAUAAAGAGUUUGAGAAGUGAUAGGGGUGGAGAAUUCUUGUCAGGAGAGUUUAACAGUUUCUGUGAAGAAUCUGGCAUUCAAAGGCAAUUAACAGUGGCUUACUCCCCUCAGCAGAAUGGAGUAGCUGAGAGGAAGAAUAGAACAAUGGUUGAAAUGGCUAAGUCAAUGCUGCAUGAGAAAGGUAUCCCUUAUGAGUUUUGGGCAGAGGCUAUCAAUACUGCAGUCUAUUUGCUGAAUAGAUGUCCUACCAAGGCUCUCAAUAAGAUAACACCAUUUGAGGCUUAUACUGGCAGAAAACCAGGGGUUGCACAUUUAAAGAUAUUUGGAUCCCCUUGUCAUGUGCUUAUUCCUUCAGCAUUGAGGCAUAAGCUUGAAGAAAACAGUCACAAGUGUAUUUUUGUAGGCUAUGGUCUUUGUGAAAAGGGAUAUAGACUGUUUGAUCCAAGAAAUAGGAAGAUUAUUCUGUCAAGGGAUGUGAAAUUUGAUGAAGAAAGCUUAUGGAAAUGGGAGAAUGCUAGAGAAGGAGAAAUGACUGUGCUUGUGCCUACUGGAAAUCAAGACUAUGCUCUAAAUCCAGAUUUGAAUGCACCACUGCAAAUACAUGAAGAAGUCAUAGCUCCAGAAGAACCAAGUCAAAGCUUGGAGACACAAACACAAGCAGAUGGAGAUCCUACCCUGCAGGAUGAGAGCAUUGAAGGAAGUUCUCAAGCUAUUGAUCAUACACCAAAGAAAUGGAAAAGCAUUAAUGACAUUAUGGCUUAGUGUAAUAUGUGCAUUAUGGAGCCUGAGAAUUUUGAAGAGGCUGAUCUAGAUGAGUCAUGGAGAAGGGCAAUGGAAGCUGAGUUAGAAAUGAUUGAGAAGAAUAACACUUGGCAGCUUGUGGAAAGACCUUUUAACAAACCUGUCAUUGGUGUCAAAUGGAUCUAUAAGACCAAGCUUAAUCUAGAUGGCACUGUACAGAAGAAUAAGGCUCGAUUAGUAGCUAAGGGCUACUCACAAAAACCUGGAAUCGAUUACAAUGAGACUUUUGCCCCAGUAGCAAGGCUAGAUACCAUUAGGACUUUGAUAGCUCUGGCUGCACAGAAGGAAUGGCAUUUAUACCAACUGGAUGUCAAGUCUGCAUUUCUGAAUGGAGUUCUAAAAGAAGAAGUAUAUGUGGAGCAGCCACAGGGUUUUGAGAAAAAGAAUGAAGAAAUCAAAGUGUAUAAGCUGAACAAGGCCUUGUAUGGAUUAAAACAAGCCCCAAGGGCAUGGUAUGAUGAGAUAGAUUCCUACUUCAACAAGGCAGGAUUUAAGAAAAGUCCAAGUGAAGCUACACUUUACAUUAAAACUGAUGAAGGCUCAGGUAUUCUCAUUGUUUCUCUCUAUGUGGAUGAUAUUGUUUAUACUGGAAGUUGUGUAAAAAUGCUUGAAGAGUUCAAAAAUGACAUGAUGAGGCAUUAUGAGAUGACUGAUCUCGGGCUACUCUAUCAUUUUCUUGGCAUGGGAGUUGUGCAGACUGAGAAAUACAUAUUUCUCCAUCAGAAGAAGUAUGCAAUGAAAGUAGUUGAGAAGUUUGGUUUAAAAGGCUGUAAGUCUGUGGCAACCCCCUUGGUUGCAAAUGAAAGGCUGUGCAAAGAAGAUGGAAGUGAAAUGGCUGAUGAGAGUGAAUAUAGGCAGAUUGUAGGCAGUCUGCUGUAUCUGACAGCUACAAGACCAGACAUCAUGUUUGCCUCAAGUCUGCUUGCUAGAUUUAUGCAUAAUCCUACUAGAAAGCACAUGGGAACAGCCAAAAGGGUGUUGAGAUAUGUUCAAGGCACACUGGAUUAUGGAGUUGAGUUUAAAAAGGGCAAGGCAGCUACCUUAAUAGGCUACUGUGACAGUGACUGGGCAGGCAGUGAGGAUGACAGAAGAAGUACCUCAGGAUAUGUGUUUACUCUGGGAUCUGGUAUGUUUUCUUGGGCCUCAAUCAAACAGAAUACAGUAGCCUUGUCUACUGCUGAAGCAGAAUAUGUGAGUGCUGCUGAAGCAACAUCACAAGCUAAAUGGCUAAGGUUUAUACUUGAGGAUUUUGGAGAAGAGCAAGUGGAAGGCACACCAAUUCUGUGUGACAACACCUCUGCCAUAGCAAUGGCAAAGAAUCCUGUCUUUCAUCAGAAAUCCAGGCACAUAAGCAGGAAAUUCCAUUUCAUCCGAGAAGCUAUCCAAGCAAAGGAGAUUGAGCUAAUCUACUGCAAAUCUGAAGAUCAAAUUGCAGAUAUACUAACCAAGGCUUUAUCCAAGGAUCGUUUUGUGCAUCUCAGAGAUUUGCUUGGAGUUAAAUCAGUCAAAGGGUUAGAAGGGAGUGUUGAUGUGUAACCCUUUGAGCUGAGCUAAAAUCCCCUUUGCCGCCUAAUCUCAUUUCAUUCAAAUGUUUCUGUUUUUAGUUUUAAAACUUUUUCGAUUUUUCUGCUGUGUAAAAUAAGAACCAUUGGAUUAGAGUCCAAGUGGCUUCUUAAGUGAGGUGUUAGAUUGAGACAAGUGUAAUCAUCUUAUAGGAUGAUAGUUCAAUGGCUAGGAUUGAGUUUGGUAUUGAGGCAGUUAGAGAAGAAUCUCUCUUCUCUCUCCUCAACGGUUAUAUUUCCUGUUUGGCUUGUAAUGAAAAGUAGCAGAUUUCAUUCCUUCUUUUUUUUUUCAGUUCUUUCACAGAGAGCAACGUUCUCUCAUUUCUCUCCCAAACACAUCCAAAAACUAUGAAUUCUAUCACAAGUGGAGAAAAUGCUUUCGUAAGUAUCUUAGGAUGCAACAUUGAUGCAUCACAAUGUUUUGAAUAUUUGAUGCUAGUUUUUGAACGUAAAACAAAUAUAUAUUUGUUGUCGCAUGUGCUACAAAAUGCUAAGGGUUUUUUCUUUUGUUUUUUUCUUUUUUCAAUCACUCCAGUUGUAUUUGUGUUUGCUUUACAAAGAGAAAGGUUUGACUAUUGAUCACCAAAGAGGGUAGUGGGGAGACUAACGUUUGCUAAACAAUUCUUCCUCCAUGGUAGAUUUGCUUUCCCUGUUCCUCUACAUUGAGAGAGUUCAUAUCUGUUAAAUAUAUAUUUUUUAUAUUUUUUAGAUGAGAUGAAUACCUGUUACAUUCAUGUUUCAAGUGAGAGGUUUUUGGUUAGUUCCUGGGAAGCAAAGGGGCAUAAUUUUCCCUAUAGCUUGGGACAUCAGGAAGCAAUGAAAUGGGGAUAGUUUGAGGCUUCGUAUUGAAUUUGGUGUUUAUGUUCUGGUACCUUUUUAUUUUUAUUUUUAUUUUUUUAUGGUUUUAGAUAGUGAAUAAUCCAUUUUGCCUAUGGACUGUGUAUAUAGAUGAAGUUUCACUAUGUCACAUUAGAUUUUGUUUCCUUAGUAUUUGUGAUUGAUCUUGAUAUUGGAUGUAGGCUGUACUUUUAGAGGUGCCAAAGCCCUAUUCAAUUGGGUAUGGUUUUUCAGGGUUUAGUAUUUGUGAGGUAAGAAGUACAGGAAUAAGGUUGUAGGCUGUACUUUUAGAGGAGGUGAAUGUGUUGGGACUUCCUCAUUAUCCAAGCAUACUUAUACUUCUUUUAGUGGUAACUGGUCUUCGAAAAAUGAAACAAAAAGUAUGUUAGUUUUUUGUGAACCUCUUGAUGAGGCCUUGAUGGCUUAUUGGAAGCAGAUUUUUGAUAACGUAUUUGAAGUCGAUUUUAAUGUAUCAGAAGUAGAUUUUAACGUAUUGGAAGUAGAUUAGAACACAUGUGCAUGUUUGAUAAGGUGUUGUGAGGUGGUAUGUAUGUAUCUAGGUUCCUCUCCAGAGUUUAUUGGUUGAAUUGAAGUAGAUUACGACAAAACAUUCCUUAUGUUACAGAGGAAAAAAAACAGAAAUAUAAAGUACAACUUAGAUCCUAACCCUUCUUUGCAUCCUGGUCACACACACUGAUCAUUACAUAGAACGUGUCUUGUACAUUGUCUAGAAAUUGGACAUAUGCAUAUCUCCAUGUCGUCGUUAACAUUAAAGGACCACAAACUCCCCAAAAUCCCACAAUGAAUCCAAGUGCAAGGGAAAUAUAAAACCAUAGGAUUUCAUGCCCAUUGUCCACAUCUUGAUUAUUCUAAUUACCUGCAUCAAUCCCAUUAGUUCCCAGGCACUCAUUUGGGAGGGGAGCGCCACAAAGUUUCUGGUUCCCUCAAAAUGCAGAGGCAUUGAAGCCUUGGAACUGAGUAGUUGUUGGUAUUGGUCCUUCAAGAUUAUCGUAGGGGACAUUGAAAAAUGACAAGAAAAUAAGACUCCUCAUGAUGUUGGGAUUUUUCCAGACAAAUGAAACAUCGUACACUGCAAUUGUUGAACCACGGAUGAGUUGGAUGGCUAUUAAAGUAAGGGGAAUCUUCGUCAGCCAACCAAAUUUUCUAAUGAACAUCGUAGCACAAUUCAUAAAAUGUAAACUCUCAAAAGAAAAAUGAAAAUUUACAUUACGUGUGAUGCCAUGGCCAAAACAAUUUCCACAGAAAGGAGACUCAAAAGUCAGAGCAAGAAACCGAAGAAGAAACGGAAAAAAAAAAAAAAAAAAAAAAAACCGAAGAAGAUCCUCAAGAAAGAGCUCAACACGUCCAAUGCUCAGGAUAAAGGACAAGGUGGGAAAAAAAAAGGAAAGGAAAAAUGUGAAAGUGUUUUACAAAGUGAAAGGACGAAUGUUUUCAACAAAAAAAGGAAAAGGAAAUUUCAAGGUAAGCUUCCAUGGUUUGGGGGACAUGUCAUUUUUCUUUACCUGUUUCUUUUCUUACCAAAGUGAACUGGCUCUGGUCUGAUCCAUGUUUGCUUACUAAAGUUAAUUAAUUCACAGGAACGUUGAGAUGAAAGAGAGAGGAGAAAGGAAAUAAUGAGAAAGGACUGUUUUCCACAACGCCCUACCGAAACUUCCUUGCUGGGAUGCGUUCUCUUUCUUCUCACCAAAGUGAUUGUGUCCUGCUUACUGAUGCCGAGGGAAUUGAACACAUAAUUGCUGAGUUAAUGGCUUGAGUUAUAAGUAAUUGCACUCUUAGUUCAAUUGUUAGAAUAUUUAACAAACCCAAUUGUGUAGUUGCGUUAAUUAUUGAAGAUAUUUUGUAGUCAACACUCUACCUAAUUGUUGAGUUGUGAUUACCACCUUUUCCUUGAUUUGGGUUUCAUUAUAAUUAGUGUUGGCCCUUACAGCUUAAAUUUGUGGCAUGUUGUCUGGUGGUUUCUUGCCCUCACUCUCUCUCUCUCUCUCUCUCUCUCUCUCUCUCUCUCUCUAUAUAUAUAUAUAUAUAUAUAUAUGUUUAUGUACUGUGUAAAUCUCCUCAUGAUGGAAUAUACAAACAUUCAUUGAAAAUCAACAUUAAUACUUAUCUGCGUAGCUUCCUGGAACCUCUCUUUCUGCUGAUUUUCUUUCUAAUUCUAGUUCCACAAUCCCGUGCUCAGAGAAGAUUUCUUGAAACCACUUUCCAAUGGCAUUGAGCAGCCAAAGGGCCUUCACUUCAGCUACUGAGGUUUGUCCAUGGAAAUACGAAGUGUUUUUGAGUUUCAGGGGUGAAGACACUCGCAGGAGUUUUACAGACUAUUUAUACAAACAAUUGGACUGGCGAGGAAUCAGAACUUUCAGGGAUGAUCCAGAUCUUGAAAGAGGGACAGAUAUCAAUCAGGAGCUUCUGACCGCGAUUGAACAAUCAAAGUUCGCAAUCAUAAUUUUUUCAGCAAACUACGCUUGAUCAAGUUGGUGUUUGCGUGAACUAACCCAUAUUGUUCAGUCCAGGAAAGAGAAGGAGAGAAUUUUCCCAAUCUUUUAUGAUGUGGAUCCCUCUGAUGUAAGACAUCAACGGGGGAGUUUUGGGACAGCCCUCGUUAACCAUGAAAGGAAUUGUGCUGAAGACAGAGAGGAGGUGCUUGAGUGGAGAAAUGCUUUAAAAAAAGUUGCUAAUCUCGCUGGGUGGAAUUCAAAGGAUUAUAGGUAAGCAAGCAUGAAGCAACAACUGAUACAUAGCUAAUAAGACCAAUUCUUGAAUAUUGCAUUUCAGUUUUGCCAUGCACUUUAUUUACGAUAUAUUCAUAUAACCUCUUCUGAUGAAUGUUUUUUUCUUCUACUUCCAGGUAUGAUGCAGAGCUUAUCACAAAAAUUGUUGAUGCAGUGUGGGAUAAAGUGUAUCCCACAUUUUCAUUGUUAGAUUCCUCAGAUAUAUUAGUCGGACUUGAUACUAAACUAAGGGAAAUAGAUCUGCAUUUAGAUACAAGCGCAAAUGAUGUGCGCUUUGUGGGGAUAUGGGGGAUGGGCGGAAUGGGUAAGACAACCCUAGCUAGAUUAGAUUAUGAGAGAAUUUCUCAUAGUUUUGAAGGUAGCAGCUUACUUGCAAAUGUCAGAGAGGUCUAUGCAACACAUGCAUGGUCUAGUUCCUUUACAGAAACAGCUGCUUUCCAAUAUCUUGAGGGAAAAUAAUAUACAAGUUUAUGAUGCUUAUAGGGGAUUUACUAUGAUAAAGAGGUGUCUAUGUAAUAAAAAGGUUCUUCUCAUUCUUGAUGAUGUAGAUCAAUCAGACCAACUGGAAAUGUUGAUCAGAGAAAAAGACUACUUUGGUUUGGGAAGUAGAAUCAUCAUUACAACUAGAGAUGAACGUUUGUUAGUCGAACAUGGGAUAGAGAAGGUAUAUAAGGUCAUGCCAUUAACCCAAGAUGAAGCUCUUUAUCUCUUUAGUAAGAAGGCCUUUCAAAAAGAUGACCUUGAAGAAGAUUAUCUAGAACUGUCUAAAAGUUUCAUAAACUAUGCAGGAGGUCUUCCAUUAGCUCUUAAAACUUUGGGGUCUUUUUUGUACAAAAGAAGUCGAGAUGAAUGGAAGAGUGCACUAGAUAAACUCAAGCAAGCUCCUGACAGAAAAAAUUUUCAAAUGUUGAAAAUAAGCUAUGAUGGACUAGAGGAGAUGCAGAAGAAAAUUUUUCUUGAUGUUGCAUGUUUCCAUAAGUCUUAUGACAAGGAAACUGUGAUUAAAAUACUAGACAGUUGUGGUUUUGUUGGCACUCGUAUUGUGAUACAUGUUCUUAUUGAGAAAUCUCUCUUGUCUCUUUCAAACAAGCGUCUGUCCAUUCAUGAUUUGAUACAAGAAAUGGCAUGGGAGAUUGUUCGUCAAGAGUUUUGACGAGCCAGGUGGUCGCAGUCGCUUGUGGCUUCACAGUGACAUCAUUCAUGUACUCACGUACAAUACGGUAAGAAGUUGCGCAAAAAAUAAAAUACCAAAGCCUUGGAUAACAUACCAUAAUUCCAUUAAACAUGAUAAGAGAGACUUGAUUAUGACAUUAACUUUACUUUUAUUCCUAUUUGCAAGGGAACGGAAGCCAUUGAAGGCAUAGUCCUAUGCUUGCAGAAAUUUGAAGCGGCACACUGGAAUCCUGAAGCAUUCACUAAGACGUGUAAACUCAAGUUGCUCAAGAUUAAUAACUUGCGCCUUUCUUUGGGCCCAAAGUAUCUUCCCAAUUCCUUAAGGUUUCUGGAGUGGAGUUGGUAUCCCUCCAAAUGUCUGCCACCAAGAUUUCAACCGGAUGAACUUGCUGAACUUAGUCUGCAGCAUAGCAAAAUUGAUCACCUUUGGAAUGGAAUAAAGGUAGACCUUUGUAAAUCCAUUUCUUUUCAAUUUCAAUAAAUUGUAAGUUUAUCGGAAGUUAAUUAAUCUACCAUUUUCAUGUUUUAUACAGUUCAUGAUCAAGUUGAAAUCCAUUGAUCUUAGUUACUCCGAGAACUUGACAAGGACCCCAGAUUUCACAGGUACUCAGAAUCUUGAGAGGCUGGUUUUUGAAGGUUGUACUAAUAUUGUUAAGAUUCAUCCAUCCAUUGCCCCUCUCAAAAGACUAAGAGUUCUGAAUUUUAAAAAUUGUAAAAGGAUUAAGAGUCUCCCAAGUGAAGUAGAACUGGAAUCUCUUGAAACAUUUGAUCUUUCUGGGUGUUCAAAAGUGAAAAAGAUUCCAGAAUUUGUGGGAGAAAUGAAGAAUUUUUCGAAGCUUUCUUUAAGCUUCACUGCUGUUGAGCAAAUGCCUUCAUCAAUUGUACAUUUGAUCCCGAGUUUGAAGGAGAUUGAUGUGAGUGGAAUUUCUAUGAGAGAUGCGUCAUCACCCCUGGUUCCAGUGAAAAAUAUCGAACUGCCUAAAUCAUGGCAUUCUUUCUUCACUUUUAGCUUACUUCCAAGAAUGAAUCUGCACCCUGUGGGUCUGGUGUUAGCUUCCUUAAAAGAUUUACACUUUUUGAAGUGUCUAAAUCUGAAUGACUGCAAUCUUUGUGAAGGAGCAAUACCUGAAGAUAUUGGUUUAUUGUCCCUUUUAGAAAUAUUAAAUCUUGGUGGAAACCAUUUUGUUAGCCUUCCUGCAAGCAUCAGUGGGCUUUCUAAGCUUAGGUGGUUCAUAUUGAAGAAUUGCAAAAGGCUUCAAAAAUUGCCAAGCCUUCCAUCAAACAGACGACUAGAGUUUAUUGUACAGAUGGAUAAUUGUACUUACUUGAAAAUAUUCCCAUAUCAACCAUGGAUGUGCAGCGCAAAAGACGUUUUUAUUACUUCUUUCAAUUGCUUCAGUUUGGUUGACCAUGAAGGUUCCAGUUUCAUAAUAUAUUUAACGCUGAAGAAAUUCCUUCAGGUACUUCUCCUUCUCCCUCUCUCCCUCCUUCCCACUUUAGUUGUGUAGUACUAUUUAUAUCCUUCCUUUGGUGCAGGAAAGUCCUCGUUCUUUGAGCUUAUUCAGUAUUAUAAUUCCUGGAAGUGAAAUUCCUGAGUGGUUCAGUAAUCAAACUGUGGGAGACCCACUAAUUGAGACUCUACCUUCGGAUUCUAAUAGCAAGUGGGUGGGGUUUGCUUUUUGUGCUCUAGUUGGACCUGUUCAAGAAAUUUCACCUACCGCUGAGGAGCUAAUUGGUUUAGAACGUCAUUCAAUCUAUUUUCGCUGCCUUUUUGAUUUAAACACCCCUGCGUGCCCGGGUUGUUGUAUUGGGGUAGACGAUGUAGCGUCCGAUCACCUUUGGUUGCUCCUCAUGUCUAGGCAAGAUGUCUUUUUGGAACCAAACGGGAGACCUGGGACCUAUUGGAGGGAGAAAUGCGAUAAUAAGAUUCGGUUUCUUUUCUACGCAAGAUCUAAUCUAGGAGAGAAGUCGGUGGUGAAGGUGAAGAAGUGUGGAGUCCGCGCACUGUAUGAACAAGACGCUGAAGAGCUCAACCGAACAAUGAAACAAUAUUCCAACAAAAAGAAUUCUUUUUAUGAGGACGUUACAGAUUAUGAUUUUGACAAAUCAGAAUGGUACAAGGUGCCAUAACUAAGCGAACACGUGAACAGUACUGUACUGACACAGGACCAAGCGGUAUUGGUAGCCUUGGCAAAGAAUCACUCUGCAAAAAAAUGAAAGAAGACUAACUGUCCGGUGCCUCAAGGGAAGAGUUGAAAGGUUGGUAUUGAUACCUCUUCCCAUAUUAUCAUAUAACCUCUUCCCAUAUUAUCAUAUACCUCUUCCCCAAACAAUUAUAUAAUUUUUUUUUGUAUGCGAACAUUUUAGCAUAUGAUUCACUCUCUUUGUUACCUCUACAUAUUUCUAAUUCAUUCACGUUAUUAGUUCACUUUCCCAUUAUCUUAUAUAUUUUAGAUUGACGAUCUAAUACAUGGUUAACUAGUUCAAUUCAAGAACCUGUCAUAUAAUUGGUUCCUUAUGCAAAAAGCUUUUAUUUGUUUUUUUUUUCUUUUUUCAGGCAUCUGUUAUAACCCUUUCAAUGCGUUAGUGUGUUAGAGUUAAUAUGUAUAUGAUGCAUAAUUUUACUACUUAAAAUUUAGAUAGUUAAAUUCAAUAAAUAAACUUGCAAGCGCACAAGGUUAAUGCAUUAUAACUAGGGGUGCAAGUUGGAUUGGAAAAUCCGAUUCCGACCGAUUCCGGUCCGAAUAUUUCCAAAAAAAUCCGGCUCCGACAAAUCCGAAUUCCGUAAAUGCCGAAAUCCGAAAUUUCCGAAAAAAAUUGGAUCGGAUUCGGAAUGUACAUGGAACUUCCGAAAUUUCCGAAAUUUUCGAUCCGAAAUAUUCCAAAAUGUUCCGAACUCAUUCCGAUCCAAUAAUUCCGAUAUAUUCCUAAUAUAUUCCGAUUUUAAAAAUUCCGAAUAUUUGAAAAACAUUCCGAUCGAGAAAUUCCGAUUUAUUCCGAAAUAUUUUGAAUUAAUCCUACAAAAGUUUAGACAACAAUCAAUAUAUUUAAUUUAUAUGCAAGACAUUUAAUGCAUUCCCACAAUUUUUAAUUUGUCCAUAGUUCUGUCACAACCAACCAAAGACACAAGUUUUCUUUAAUAUUAUUGGCGAACAUUAUAUAUACAUUAUACAUACAUAAUGAAAAAAAUUUAAGUACAUUUAAAAAUAUUAGUAAAAGGAAAAAAAAAAAUUUGUAAUGCAACCAAUUUUGAAUUGAUCUAAAAUACGUAGUGUAUUGAUUUUUUUUUCUUUUAAUUCUAACUCAAUUUCUUGAAUAGGACUCAUUGGGGUAUGAGGUCAUGCAUUUAAUUAUAAACUUAUUUUCUUUAUAAUCAAUUGCCCAGGUGCUAAUGUAGUACUAUUUUCUUAAUAAUGUGAACAUAAACAAUAGGGGGUUGCAAAAAAGUUAGGUACAUCAAUAGGUAACUUACCCUUAAAAAAGGUAGGACAUUGACAUGUUGUAUCAAAUACAAAUUGGUAUCAAACUCUUGUUCAUGCAUAAAUCAUGAUUAUGAAAAUUAAAAAAUAGCGAUGAUCAUAGAAACACAUUAGGAUUGAACCCUAAUAGUAAGUAUGUAGUAGUAUCCAAGAUAAAGUUUAUAUAACAUUAUUUUUUAUCAAGUAUAUUCACAUGAUAUAUAUAUAUAUGUAAAAUAUAAUAUAAUAUAAAUUUGUAGAUUUUUUCCUGUUUGGUUGGCUUAAUCAUGAUUCACAAGAAAAUUUCAAAAUUUGAUUUCCAAAAUUAUUAUCCGAAAAUGCCGAAACUAUUAUCCGAAAAUUCCGAAAAUAUUAACUUCCGAAAAUUCCGAUAAUGCCGAAAAUUCCGCAUCAGAAUAGAGUUAGUACAUUCCGAAAUUUCGGAAUCGGACUCGGAACUAAAAGGUAAUUCCGAAAAUCUUCGGAACGGAAUUCGGAACAGUGGUUUCCGAUCCGUUCCGGCCGAAAAACACCCCUUAUAACCAAGGCAAGUACAAGGUCGUUCCCACAGAGACUGAAUUAAUUCCCAAGUUGUUGUGAAUUAUAAACUAAUUUAAAUCUUAAAUUAUUCUAGGCACCUAACUAAUAAAAUAAAAACUAAUGACUCAACUAAAACUUAAUAAAGGAGUUUUGAAAAAAUUUCUUCAAAAGAACGUUGAAAACAAGAAAAUUAAAAAACAAGAUAACAAAGAAAAACGUGAACUAAAUAAGUUUGUGAAAGAUUUUAAAGAAGCUUACCAAGACAACAAUUUCACCACAAUUCCUCUUAUCCAAACCUUAACAUGCAAAUUAUCAAAAUUCCAAAGUUAUGUUGAUGAUUAGCUAUCCAAAAUUAUGAUUAUCUCUUUUCACAGCAAUUAACCAUUUCUUCUUACACGCAAUGUAUCAUUGGCGUGAGACAUAAAUAUAAACAUAUAAAAAGACCAUAGGUUCGAUGAGAACUUCACACAAUCACACAAACCCUUAAGAGUAUGGUGUUUACCUUAGGCGUUGUUUACCUUAAGCUAUUGACUUUGAUCAAGUGAUUGUGAAUUUCGGUGAGGAAUAUCUCCCAAGUAAGUUCUUUUCUUGACUCAGACAGGUGAUGACUUUAUAAUUUCCCAUAGUAAAACUGGUAAGUCUAACCAAAAUAAAUGUUGAAAAUAAAACAAACUAGUUCAAAGAGAACCAUUUAUUACACAAUCAAACAAAAGAGAACUGUCAAGUCCGGAAGGACAUCAGAACAUUAGAAUUCAAUUUCUGCUUGGAUUGUUAUCUGUGACUUAGGCUGGACUGGAUAUAUUUGUGCUGGAAUUGCACGUCAGCACCUUCAAUUAACGGGGAUCAGCUGGAAAUCGAUAUGAAUGUUGAGAUUGACUGAGCUAUAAUCAGAUUUAACCGUGGAGAGCCUUGUCGAGUGGGCAGAACUGAGAUCUCCUCGGUCUGGACUGGAUUGGAAGCGGCUGGAUUGGCAAUUGCUGACCUGGAAUCACACUUCAGUACCUGUUUUGCUUGGCUAAGGGUCACCUGAGGACUAUUCUGGUGAUUUUGGGACAUCAAGAUGUCUCUGAAAAUUUGUUGAGGUUUUCAUAUUAUGAAAAAUCCAAACUCCACUUUCACACCCAAAAAAAAAAAAAAAAAAAAAAAAACUCAAACUCAACUUGGUUCAUCUGUUUUGAACCAAAUUUGUAACGAGAGAAAUCUCGUUUCCUUUGUGAACUGCUUCUUUGAACUGAAUUGAAGUCAGAAAUCUGAGUUCUGCCUGUUUUGUUUGAAGCUGGAUGGCUUUUACAAACCAAAUAGCUUGAUUGCUUCUCAGUUUGGAGACUUUUGGGACCGUAUGAUCUUGCUUGAUUUUUGUCAGUAUGACUGAGAGUUUUUGUCUUGAUUGGAUUUUUAGCUGUCGUUUAUCCAAUUCACAUCCUCAUAUAUUUAUAGGAAAUCUGCAUGAGUGAUGAUUCCUUAAUAUCUGGAGGUUUAGUUAUUCUGACAAGAAAAACCCACGUCAAGAGUCAGUUUUGUGAUGAUCAGUUUUGAGUUUCUUGACAACCAACUCUCCGACUUCUUGUCCAUCCCCUUGCAAACUGAAUUUGUACUGAGGGACCUUCAUGAGUAUGGGAAGGAAACUUAGCCUGUUUUUCUAGCAUUUAAUGGUUAUGGGGAGUGGUUUUUGAUUUCACCUUUCUACCAACUCCCCCAAAUAUCCUCAGUCUGUUUCCUGUUGACGUCUUGUCAUUAGAAUCAUGUGGGUAUUGAGGGGAAAGACUCCUUCCCUGUAUCUGUUGAUCUGAUUUUGAAUUGGUAAUCAACGAUGAUGAUCAAACCUUGAACCUUUAGGAAAAAAAUCUAGAAGCUGGGUAUGAAUUAAACAAAUUAAAUUUGGCUUUUUCAGAUUAAAUCACAAUUUAAUGGCAAUUAACCUUUAUCUUGUGAAGUGUAAUUUCGUAAUUGGUUUCAUUCCAUUUUUCUUCUUUCAAAAUGGCUUAGGCUGGCUCCCAAUUUUGGUAAAACAUAGCCCAAACCUGUAUCAUCAAUCUAGCCCAAUAGCCAGAUAGGCCGGCGCAUAGAAAUUAGGCCUAAACAAGCGCAUUCAUGAAUUUAAUCACAAGAAGCAAAACUCAUAUUAAGCAUGGCGUAUACCCUAACAUGCAUCAAAUUACUUAACCAAAAACCUAGAUGGUAGCUAAGCUUCAAGAUCAUUAGUUAAGAAAAUAAGCACAAUGAUUAAAUUUUAACAACAUGGAAAUUCUAAUAGCAUGACAUAACUAAGCUUUGAAUAAUUAGAAAAGAUUUACAUUAUGUCUUAGUAAAAGAAAAUUGGUUACUCAUAGUCAUGAUAACAAAGCAAAAAUAAAACAUGGAGAAAGAGAUAAGAAAAACCCUUAAAGUUUAGAGGCACGAUCGUUCUUCCUUACUCCACUAGUUAAUUCUAAAAUUUCUCCCAUCUCCCCGUCUAAAAAAAGAAACCUAAAACUAGUUAGACUGAGCCUAAACAAGUGGCCUUACACGAAGACUUGAUUUCCAAGUCAGUUCCUAACUAGAAAAUGUAAUUAAAACUAAUUUUCCUAAAACUUCCAGGAAACUGCAUGUGAUCCUCUUUGCGAAUGCAAUUUGAACACAUUCCUGACCUCCGAAAAUUGCGUACGUCAGUAUGUUCUGGAUGUCUUCUUUUCAGCCAUAUUACGUCUACACUAUGACCUUAAGACGAAUUACGCCCCACACUAGUGCUUAUGGUUCACUAGCGUUCGCCUCCCAGGAUACAACGACUCCCCUCCUUAUGAAAGAAGCACUGCAAUUCACAAGGAACUUUGAACCAAAAUUAUGCAGGAAACUCUCUUUAUGCAAACUCUAAUGCUCUCUAUAUAUGAAAGUAUGUAUCUAGAGAAUUGAUUGAAUGAAUAAAACUGCAGGAGGAUUGCUCUAUUUAUAGAUGAUGAAAUACCCUUUCCAAAAAGGUAUCCCAAUCUGAAAAGGCAAACAGUGCAUCCUUUGGCCUUGAAGAGUUGUCACCCCAAACAAUGUAUCCCUUAGUUUGAAGAGUUGUCACCCCCCAAUUGAAGAUGUCUUUACCCAAGGGUCAUGUCUUUAACCCAAUGGAUUUUAUUAAUUUCCAUUCAAAUAGAAAAUUAAUAUUAAAAAUAAUAUUAAAUUUCUCACAAUCCCCCACAUGAAUGGAAAUUAGUUUCAACAAUAUGCAAAUGAUAAUGCAGACUUAGAGAGAGUUCCUAUUAGAAGAAUAUGGCAUCUGGAUAGGUAGCUUUUGGCUUUGAACCUUCCAUAGUGAAGUACUAUCGGAUUUACUUGGCUAAUCAGUGAACGUGAUGUCUUGAACUGUUCAGCCGUUUGUGUAAACCCAGACAAUAAUACUCACACAAUACCCUUCUAGACAUAUCUGGUUCGAUCGGUUGUGCCCGUUUUGGCCCUGAGCAACUCCUGGCAUUCAUAAGUGCUUUAGAGAAUUUAGCCCUAAAAAUUCUCAUGGAAACGGCCCUAUUUCACACUUAUAUAGGUGAUUUCCUAUUGGUAAUAUCCUCUCAUAUCUUACUCGGAUAAUCAAGGUAUAGGAAUCAUUAAAAGCAUAGCUUAACCUAAACACAUUUCAUACAACACUGUAUCAUCAUAGGAUAUGGGUAGGAGAAUAUAUCUCUGCAGUGUUAUUUUUGAGUUAUCAUAAUUUAGUUGUCCCUUUUGAACCUAGAUCUUGGGAUCUCCAGUCAACUAGGUUGGGUUUCCACUAUGACUACUCAUUUGACAUGGGCUUUAACCCCAUUCCCCUCGAUGAUCUAUAAACUUGUUCUCCGUUCAAACCUUUAGUAAAUGGAUCCGCCAAAUUAUCUCUUGACUUUAUGUAGUCAAUGGUAAUUAUACCACUGGAGAGCAGUUGCUUAACGGUGUUGUGUCUUCGACGUAUAUGUCGAGACUUGCCGUUGUACAUAUUGUUUUGUGCCCUUGCAAUUGUAGAUUGACUAUCACAAUGUAUACAUAUAGCAGGCACAGGUUUUGGCCAACAUGGAAUAUCUUCUAAGAAAUUACGUAGCCAUUCAGCUUCCUCACCAGCUUUAUCUAAUGCUAUGAACUCAGAUUCCAUAGUAGAUCUAGCUAUAAUAGUUUGCUUAGUAGAUCUCCAUGAUAUAGCCGCACCUCCAAUUGUAAAGACAUAUCCACUUGUAGAAUUGGAGUCUUUUGCAUCAGAUAUCCAAUUAGCAUCACUAUAUCCUUCAAGUACAGCUGGAUAUCUUGUAAAAUGCAAUCCAACAUUUUUGGUGUAUCUUAAGUAUCUUAGAACUCUGACUAUAGCUUUCCAAUGAUCCCUUCCAGGAUUACUAGUGUAUCUGCUUAAUCUAUUAACAGAGUAAGCUAUAUCAGGCCUUGUGCAAUUCGUAAGAUACAUGAGACUACCAAUAAUACGAGCAUAUUCUAUUUGUGAUACACCAUGACCUAUAUUCUUCACAAGAUUAAGACUUGGAUCAUAAGGAGUUCUUACUGGACUAGUAUCAUACUUGCUAAACUUCGCAAGUAUUUUCUCAAUAUAAUGUGAUUGGGAUAAAACUAGUCCAUCAGAUGUUCUAGAAAUUUUAAUUCCUAGAAUCACAUCUGCUACUCCCAAAUCUUUCAUGUCAAAAUUUUUGGUCAACAUUUUCUUGGUAGAUUUAAUCAUCCCAAUAUUGCUACCAAUAAUUAACAUAUCAUCAACAUAAAGACAAAUAAUGACAAAACCAUCUUGAGUGCUUUUCAUAUAAACACAUUUAUCACACUCAUUGAUCUUGAAACCAUUUGACAUUAAUGCAUUGUCAAAUUUCAGAUGCCAUUGUUUUGGUGCUUGCUUUAACCCGUACAAGGACUUAACAAGCUUACAUACUUUCUUUUCUUGUCCAGGAACAAUAAACCCUUCAGGUUGUUCCAUAUAAAUUUCCUCAUCUAAAUCACCAUUUAGAAAGGCCGUUUUCACAUCCAUUUGAUGUAUCUCAAGAUUAUGCAAUGCUGCAAUUGCAAUUAACAUUCUUAUUGAUGUUAUUCUCGUAACUGGUGAAUAUGUGUCAAAAUAAUCCAAUCCUUCUUUUUGUUUAUAACCUUUGACAACAAGCCUUGCCUUAUAUUUGUCAAUUGAUCCAUCAGCUUUCAUCUUUUUCUUAAAAAUCCAUUUAUAACCCAAUGGUUUAUUUCCAGGAGGAAGAUCCACAAGUUCCCAAGUGUGAUUCUGCAUGAUGGAUUCAACUUCGGCAUUAAUAGCCUCUUUCCAUAAAAGAGCUUCAGGAGAAGUCAUGGCUUCUUUGUAAGUUUGAGGCUCAUUUUCUAACAAAUAAGUUAGAAACUCAGGACCAAAGGAUUUGGUUGUCUUAGCUCUCUUACUACGCCUGGGUUCAUGUCCAGGUUCUGGUUCUGCAGUCUCUUGGUCUAUAUUUUCUUGAUGACUUUCUUGGUUAUCGCUAUUAACAGUAUCUAAGGUUCUUUUAAGUGUAUUUCUUUCUUGUGCAUCCUUAUAAGGAAAUACAUUUUCAAAGAAAGAUACAUUCCUUGAUUCAAUAAUCGUAUUCACAUGUACAUCUAAUAUAUCAGAUUUGUGUACAAGGAAACGAUAUGCACUACUGUUAAUGGCAUAACCGAUAAAUAUACAGUCAAUAGUUUUGGGUCCUAUCUUAACCUUUUUAGGGGUUGGAACCGCAACUUUAGCUAGACACCCCCACACUUUCAAGUAUGUAUAGGAAGGCUUGUGACCUUUCCAUAACUCAUAAGGUGUUUUGUCUAACUUUUUAUGUGGCAAUUUGUUGAGAAUGUAAUUAGCAGAAAGUAAAGCUUCCCCCCACAAAUUCUGGGGUGCUCCAGAACUUACUAGCAACGCAUUCAUCAUUUCUUUUAAAGUACGAUUUUUACGUUCAGCAAUACCAUUUUGCUGAGGUGAGUAUGGGGCAGUUGUUUGGUGAAUAAUUCCGUGUUGGGAACAAAACUCACCAAAAGGUGAUUCAUAUUCACCACCUCUAUCACUUCUUAAUUUCUUUAUUUUCCUGCUAAGUUGAUUCUCAACUUCACUUUUAUAAUGUUUGAACAUUUCUAUGGCCUCAUCUUUGCUUCUUAGCAAAUAUACUUGACAAUAUCUUGUACAAUCAUCAAUAAAAGUAAUAAAAUACUUUUUACCACCUCUAGUUUGUACAAAUUUCAAGUCACAAAUAUCACUGUGAAUUAAUUCUAGAGGUUCUGUACUUCUUUCUAUAGACUGGAAUGAUGAUCUAGUUAGUUUUGCUUCAACACAGGUUUCACAUUUAUUAUGGAAAUCAAUAUGAAACUUAGGUAUUAGUUCCAUGUUAAUUAAUUGACGCAAUUUGUCAUAAUUAACAUGCCCUAAUCUUCCAUGCCACAAAUCAGAUAACUCAAGCAUAUAAGCAGAACUAACUUUAUUAUUAUUAACUUUGUGUACAACAGUCAUUACAUUCAUCUUGAAGAGUCCAUCAGUAAGGUACCCUUUCCCCACAUACAUUCCAUUCUUUGUAAGUACAAACUUAUCAGACUCAAAGACUAGUUUGAACCCAUUCUUGCUAAGCAGUGAUCCAGAAACCAAGUUCUUCCGGAUCUCAGGGACGUGAAGUACAUUAUUGAGAGUGACUUCCUUUCCAGAUGUCAUCUUUAGAACUAUUUUCCCUUGGCCAUGAAUUUUGGAGGUGGAGGAGUUUCCCAUGAAUAAAGGCUCUCCUUGAUCAUUUGCUGCAUAGGUAGAAAACAUCUUCCUUUCAGAACAUAUGUGGCGUGUAGCUCCAGUAUCCACCCACCAUUCCUUGGUGUUGCCCACCAAGUUCACUUCAGACACAACUGCAGAAAGAUUAAUAUCUGACAAGUCAGUUGAAAGCUUGUCUUCUUCAGUCAUGUGUGCCUCAGUCUUGCCCUUUUUCUUUUGGUUGCCUUGUCCAUUUCUACUUCGGCAAUCCACAGCUCGAUGGCCUUGCUUGUUGCAAUUGAAACACUUUCCCUUAAACUCCUUGGAUUUCUUGGAGUUCCCUUGACUUGAGCCUUCUCCAGAGUGCUUCCUCUUCUUGUUAUUUCUUGACUCUUUUUCCACUAUGUUAGCCUUAGCUUCCAUUAUGGAUCCAGACUUUUUGUCAGCACGGCGAUUGUCCUCUUCGAUCCUUAGCCUUACUAUCAAAUCCUCAAGUCCCAUCUCCUUACGCUUAUGCUUAAGGUAGUUUUUGAAAUCCUUCCAAGAGGGUGGUAAUUUUUCAAUGACAGCAGCCACUUGAAAAGACUCACUCAAUUCCAUCUUUUCUGCAUGUAUCUCAUGUAGAAUGAGUUGCAGUUCUUGGACUUGACUUAUGACAGUCUUGGAGUCUACCAUCUUGUAGUCAAGAAACCGACCGACAAUGAAUUUCUUCAUUCCUGCAUCUUCGGUCCGAUAUUUCUUAUCUAGUGACUCCCAUAAAGCCUUGGCCGUCUGAAUUGGACAAUACACAUUGUAUAGUGCAUCACUUAAACCAUUUAGGAUGUAGUUCCUGCAAAGGAAAUCCGACUGGUUCCAUGCAUCAGAAGCAGCCACUGUUUCUAUUGUAUCACCAGGUCCAGGAGGAUCUGCUUUCAGGAUAUGAGCCAAAUUCAAUGUGGUGAUGUAGAACAACAUCUUUUGUUGCCAUCUCUUAAAAUCCAUCCCAUUAAAUUUUUCAGGCUUCUCUGCAUGAUUAUGGGAUGAAGGCAACACUACAGCAGGUGCACUUGUCUUCACAGAAGGACCCACUUUCUGUAUCUCAUUCGACAUUUUCCUUAAUUGAGUGAACAAUCUCAAUGUCAAUAAACAAAUAUAUGGUAGUCUUUAAUAGAUAAAUAAUGAAUCACAAUAGUGUGUUACAACAAAACACACAGAAAUUAAUAAUACAAUACCGAUAAGAAGUAUAGCAAACGCAAUAUGCAAUUUAUUCAAGAUAACAGUAAUACAAAAUGCUAUAUUUCACAGAUACAGUGAAUUUAAUGUAUGUAGAUAAAUAUAAUCAGAAUUUAUAAACAGAAUAAUAAAAAAUGAUGCCAAACAGAAAAUAGAAUCCAAAUAAAUAAAUAAAAACGAUGCUGUAUAUUUAGACUUUGUCUAACAAAAGAAACAGAAGGCAAUCAGUGUUUGUGGCAAUCUUUAUUGAAUGGUCCUGAUUAUUAUAACUUAGCUUUGGUUAACUUCGAAUUGUAUAAAACAAAGGAAACUAACAGGAAACCAAUUCAAUAGAAUAAACAACUAAUAAAAAGAUGUUUUGCUGUUUGUACCAAAAUCAAACCUUUUGCAGCGUUAACAAUUAAAUGCACAAACACAGAUUAAUGUAUAUAGCAAUUAACACAUAUACUAAUUCGUCUUAAGAUUGUAGGAAAAAAUAGUGCUAAAUUGCUAUAAAAUAAACAAAUAAACACUGCAAACAAAACAAAUUUUUACAACAGUAGUAUGUAAUUAAAAGAACCUUAAUUGAGUCGAGGCAAGUGUUGGACACUCUGACCUUAAGACGAAUUACGCCCCACACUGGUGCUUAUGGUUCACUAGCGUUCGCCUCCCAGGAUACAACGACUCCCCUCCUUAUGAAAGAAGCACUGCAAUUCACAAGGAACUUUGAACCAAAAUUAUGCAGGAAACUUUCAUAUAUAUCUAGAGAAUUGAUUGAAUGAAUAAAACUGCAGGAGGAUUGCUCUAUUUAUAGAUGAUGAAAUACCCUUUCCAAAAAGGUAUCCCAAUCUGAAAAGGCAAACAGUGCAUCCUUUGGCCUUGAAGAGUUGUCACCCCAAACAAUGAAGAUGUCUUUACCCAAGGGUCAUGUCUUUAACCCAAUGGAUUUUAUUAAUUUCCAUUCAAAUAGAAAAUUAAUAUUAAAAAUAAUAUUAAAUUUCUCACACAUUUGUCUUCUCUAAAUUUGCAUUUCCUUUUCUUAUAUUGAGAACCAUCCCAAACAUGCAGGAUGUCUUUUGUCAUUAGCCCUUAUUUCUUUUACCGAACUCCAUACUUUGGUAGGUAGUCAAUACCCUUAUUAUAUGCGAAUAAUAAAUUUCAAAGAUACUUUACACUUUAAAGGUUAUUUAGAUAAAGCGAUUUCAACUCUAGAAGAUAUUAUAAAGUUUAAUUGUUUGUUUAAACUAUUUAAUUGGAUAGUUACUUUAAUACUUGUAUGCUUACACACACACACACAAAACGUGUUGGAGUUAUAGUUGGAGUCCCACACAAUUUUAGUAGGGAGCUUCACAAAUAAAAACCCUCUAAACAGGUUUUUUUUUUUUCGGUUUGAAUGUUUCAUAUUUUGAGCUCUCUCUCUCUCUCUAUGUUUUAUUGAUUAAUAAUACAUUUUUUAUAACUUUAAUUCAGUGAUGAAACCAUGAAAGAAAGAAAACUCUAACUAUUUCAUUAAUAAGAAGGAAUCAAUACAAACAAACAAUCAAUGAUGAAACAUUGUUGUACUAUACACUCUGGUCGUACCAAAACAAUUUCCGCACAAAACAGGGCCAAAAUACAUGGAAGAAGAAACGAGGGAAUACCCAAGAAAGAGCUGAACACGUCUAAUGACAAAAAGGUUAAGAGGAAAAACAUGAAAUAUACUGCCAAAGUGAAAUGACCAAGACCAACAAAAUGAAUGAAAUUUCAAGGCAAAAGUGUCUAGUCCAAGCAAGUUCCCAACUUUCGUUUUAUUUUCUAGGGAGGAAGAUAUUUACAUGACAUCUUGAAGCUGUCCACUUUAGUAAGGAAUCAAAUCAAUACGAACAAACACUUUAGUAAGGAAAUCCACGUCACCCCACUAUAGAAAGGAAAUAAUGAGAAAGGACAAGUGUUUUCCACUUGGUGGGAUGCGUUCUCUUUCUUCUCACAAAAGUGAUUGUGUCCAGCUUACUGAUGCCGAGGGAAUUGAACACAUAAUUGCUGAGUUAAUGGCUUGACUUGAGUUUUAAGUAAUUGCAUUAAUACUUACCUGCGUAGCUUCCUGGAACCUCUAUCUGUACUGAUUUUUCUUUUCUUUCUAAUCAUUCUAGUUCCACAAUCCCGUGCUCAGAGAAGAUUUCUUGAAACCACUACUUUCCAAUGGCAUCGAGCAGCCAAAGGGCCUUCACUUCAGCUACUGCAGUUUGUUCAUGGAAAUACGAAGUGUUUUUGAGUUUCAGGGGUGAAGACACUCGCAGGGGUUUUACAGACUAUUUAUACAAACAGUUGGACUGGCGAGGAAUUAGAACUUUCAGGGAUGAUCCAGAUCUUCAAAGAGGGGCAGAUAUCAAUCCGGAGCUUCUGACCGCGAUUGAACAAUCAAGGUUUGCAAUCAUAGUUCUUUCAACAAACUAUGCUUCGUCAAGUUGGUGUUUGCGUGAACUAACCCAUAUUGUUCAGUCCAUGAAAGAGAAGGAGAGAAUUUUCCCAAUCUUUUAUGAUGUGGAUCCCUCUGAUGUACGACAUCAACGGGGGAGUUUUGGGACAGCCCUCGUUAACCAUGAAAGGAAUUGUGGUGAAGACAGAGAGGAGGUGCUUGAGUGGAGAAAUGCUUUAAAAAAAGUUGCUAAUCUCGCUGGGUGGAAUUCAAAGGAUUAUAGGUAAGCAAGCAUGAAGCAACAACUGACACAUAGCUAAUAAGACCAAAUCUUGAAUAUUGCAUUUCAGUUUUGCCAUGCACUUUAUCUACGAUAUAUUCAUAUAACCUCAUCUGAUGAUUUUUUUCUUCUUCUUUUACUUCUAGGUAUGAUACAGAGCUUAUCACAAAAAUUGUUGAUGCAGUGUGGGAUAAAGUGCAUCACACAUUUUCAUUGUUAGAUUCCUCAGACAUAUUAGUCGGACUUGAUACUAAACUAAAGGAAAUAGAUCUGCAUUUAGAUACAAGCGCAAAUGAUGUGCGCUUUGUGGGGAUAUGGGGGAUGGGCGGAAUGGGUAAGACAACCCUAGCUAGAUUAGUUCAUGAGACAAUUUCUCAUAGUUUUGAAGGUAGCAGCUUUCUUGCAAAUGUCAGAGAGGUUUAUGCAACACAUGGUCUAGUUCCUUUACAGAAACAGCUUCUUUCCAAUAUCUUGGGGGAAACAAAUAUACAAGUUUAUGAUGCUUAUAGUGGAUUUACUAUGAUAAAGAGGUGUCUAUGUAAUAAAAAGGUUCUUCUCAUUCUUGAUGAUGUGGAUCAAUCAGACCAACUGGAAAUGUUGAUCAGAGAAAAAGACUGCUUUGGUUUGGGAAGUAGAAUCAUCAUUACAACUAGAGAUGAACGUUUGUUCGUCGAUCAUGGGAUAGAGAAAGUAUAUAAGGUCAUGCCAUUAACCCAAGACGAAGCUCUUUAUCUCUUUAGUAGGAAGGCCUUUAGAAAAGAUGACCUUGAAGAAGAUUAUCUAGAACUGUCUAAAAAUUUCAUAAACUACGCAGGAGGUCUUCCAUUAGCUCUUAAAACUUUGGGGUCUUUUUUGUAUAAAAGAAGUCGAGAUGAAUGGAAGAGUGCACUAGAUAAACUGAAGCAAGCUCCUGACAGAAAAAUUUUUCAAAUUUUGAAAAUAAGCUAUGAUGGACUAGAGGAGAUGCAGAAGAAAAUUUUUCUUGAUGUUGCAUGUUUCCAUAAGCUUUAUGACAAGGAAGAAGUGAUUGAAAUACUAGACAGUUGUGGUUUUGUUGGCACUCGUAUUGUGAUACAUGUUCUUAUUGAGAAAUCUCUCUUGUCUAUUUCAAACACGCAUCUGUCCAUUCAUGAUUUGAUACAAGAAAUGGCAUGGGAGAUUGUUCGUCAAGAGUCUUUUGACGAGCCAGGUGGUCGCAGUCGCUUGUGGCUUCACAGUGACAUCAUUCAUGUACUCACGAACAAUACGGUAAGAAGUUGCACAAAAAAUAAAAUACCAAAACAUUGGAUAACAUACUAUAAUUCCAUUAAUAACGAUAAGAGAGACUUGAUUAUGACACUAACUUUUCUUUUAUUCCUAUGUACAAGGGAACGGAAGCCAUUGAAAGCAUAGUCCUAUGCUUGCGUGAAUUUGAAGCGGCACACUGGAAUCCUGAAGCAUUCUCUAAGAUGUGUAAACUAAAGUUGCUCAAGAUUAAUAAUUUGAGCCUUUCUUUGGGCCCAAAGUAUCUUCCCAAUUCCUUAAGGUUUCUGGAGUGGAGUUGGUAUCCCUCCAAAUGUCUGCCCCCAAGUUUUCAACCUAAUGAACUUGCUCAACUUAGUCUGCAGCAGAGCAAAAUUGAUCACCUUUGGAAUGGAAUAAAGGUAGACCUUUGUAGAGCUAGUUCUUUUCAAUUUCAAUAAAUUUUGCAAGGUUCUUGGAAGUUAUUAUUAUUAUUUUUUUGUCUGAGUUCUUGGAAGUUAAUUAAUCUACCAUUUUCAUGUUUUGUACAGUACAUGGUGAAGUUGAAAUCUAUUGAUCUUAGUUACUCCGAGAACUUGACAAGGACCCCAGAUUUCACAGGUACUCAGAACCUUGAGAGGCUGGUUUUUGAAGGUUGUACUAAUCUUGUUAAGAUUCAUCCAUCCAUUGCCUCUCUCAAAAGACUAAGAGUUUUGAAUUUUAAAAACUGUAAAAGCAUUAAGAGUCUCCCAAGUGAAGUAGAACNNNNNNNNNNNNNNNNNNNNNNNNNNNNNNNNNNNNNNNNNNNNNNNNNNNNNNNNNNNNNNNNNNNNNNNNNNNNNNNNNNNNNNNNNNNNNNNNNNNNAUUUUUCGAAGCUUUCUUAAGCUCACUGCUGUGAGCAAAUGCCGUCAUCAAAUAUACAUUCCAUGGCGAGUUGAAGGAGCUGAUAUGAGUGGAAUUCUAUGAGAGAUCCCCCAUCUUCCCUAGUUCCUGUGAAAGAUAUUGAACUGCCAAGAUCAUGGCAUUCUUUCUUCACUUUUGGCUUAUUUCCAAGAAAGAAUCCCCACCCUGUGAGUCUGGUGUUAGCUUCCUUAAAAGAUUUACGCUUUUUGAAGCGUCUAAAUCUGAAUGACUGCAAUCUUUGUGAAGGAGCAAUACCUGAAGAUAUUGGUUUAUUGUCCUCUUUAGAAGAAUUAAAUCUUGAUGGAAACCAUUUUGUUAGCCUUCCUGCAAGCAUCAGUGGGCUUUCUAAUCUUUGGAACAUCACAUUGAAGAAUUGCAAAAGGCUUCAAAAAUUGCCAAGCCUUCAAUUAAACGGACUACUAGAUAUGUGUGUAAACACUGAUAAUUGUACUUCCUUGAAAAUAUUCCCAGAUCCAACAUCGACGUGCAAUGGUUUAAGUUCUAUGUCGAUUAGUUCUUCCAAUUGCUUCAAUUUGAUUGGCCAUCAAGGUUCCAGUUCCAUAAUAUUUUUAAUGCUGAAGAAAUUCCUUCAGGUACUUCUCCUUCUUCCUCCUUCCUCUUCCCUCUUUAGUUGUGUAGUACUAUUUAUAUCCUUCCUUUGGUGCAGGAAAUUCCUCGUUCUUUGGGCAUCAUCGAUAUUAUAAUUCCUGGAAGUGAAAUUCCUGAGUGGUUCAAUAAUCAAAGUGUGGGAGACUCAGUAAUUGAGCCACUACCUUCGGAUUCUAAUAGCACGUGGGUGGGGUUUGCUUUUUGUGCUCUAUUUGUAGCUACUGCUACGAAACAUAAUUCAAUCACUUUUCGUUGCCUUUGUGAUGAUUUAAACACCCCUGCGGGCCUGGGUUAUACUGUUGCCAUAGACUAUGUAGCGUCCGAUCACCUUUGGUUGAUCCUCCUGUCUAGGCAACAAUUCUUUUGGAAACCAAGACAGAGACCUGAGACCUAUUGGAGGGAGAAAUGCCAUGAUCAGAAGAUGAGGUUUCAUUUCGAAACAAGAUCUUAUCCAGGAGAGAAGACGGGGGUGAAGGUGAAGAAGUGUGGAGUCCGCACACUAUACGAACAAGACGCGGAAGAGCUCAACCGAACAAUGAAACAAUAUUCCAACAGAAAUAAUUCUUUUUAUGAGGACGUUACAGAUUAUGAUUUUGACAAAUCAGACAAGGUACAAGGUGCCAUCACUAAGCGAACACGUGAACAGUACUGUACUGAGGCAGGACCAAGCGGUAUUGGUACCCUUGGCAAAGAAUCACUCUGCAAAAGAAUGAAAGAAGACUAAUCAGAUCCAAAUUUGAUUGGGGGGGGAGAGUUCCGUCAUCCAGAAGCCUAACGGGCGCAUUUUACCGACUAGAGCAUUUAAACAUGGUUGGGAAACAUCUAUGUAUGCUUAAAUUGUUUCUUUCUUAGGCUAAAUCUCACAUGUGCUGUAUAAAUUCAAUAGGUUAAUUAGUGAAGCCCUAUUUGAGAGAUUGACAUUAACUGGGGCGUGGACAGGUCAAUCAACUCCAAAAUGACUUGUGCUGCAAUUCCAGUACUUCAUUUUUCCUUAUACAAAAACUUUUUUUUUUUUUUUUUUUUUCAGGCCUGUUAUAACCCUUUCAAAUGACUCAUCAAAUGUUACAUUCAUCCAAAUAGUGACUUAAUGACAUUCAAAAAUAGUUUCUCAAAUUUAAUUUUGCUUCCAAACUAAUGGUGUCAUGAACUUGAGCUUAAUAUCAUCAACCGACCUUAUUUGCACACAUAUUCAAAGAAAUUAUGUUUAAAUUUUUAUUUUUAUUUUUUGGCAUAUAGAGAGAAGAGGAGUUGAACUUAGAACCUUGAAUGUACGGAUUAAUGCUCUUAAAUAAGACAAAAUGGUCAAUAGGAUCUAGCCCAAUGGAAAGGGCUUUGACUUAUGUGUGUGAAAAUCCUCCACCUCCAAUAUCGCUUGAAUGGAAAAAAAGACAAAAUUAUAAAACGAUGCUUCUACAUAUAUAUAAUAUACAUAGUGGUUUUAAAUUGGACAAAAUUGAGGUCGUACUUAGUAUAUAUUUGUACCCAAAAAAUAAAAAUCCACAAAGACUAUCUAUCCCCUUGGACGAAAAUUUCCCAAUUACUAUCCCCUUACUAAAGCCACAAAGACUUCAGCCCGUAGACGUUCCCAAUUGAAGGUACCUCCCUUUUAUCUUCCAUUAUUUGUUUUAGUUAUUUAUUUAUUUAUUGGUCUUUUUUUAUUUUUUUUUAUUUUCAUAACUCUUAAAAAUUCUGGAUCCGGUGUAGGUGUAGAAGUGUUUUCCUUUGAAAUACACUAAGAAACUACCGUUCGAUAAACCUUGUGCAGACACAACAAACGUCAUCCUUCACCGUUGGAUCCCACAAACAGAAUUAGGAUUUGUGUUUCUGAGGAUUCGAAUUAGGGUUUGACGGCAAAUUGCAAAUCGAAUUUAUCCGACACUACAAUCACCACGUUUGUAUCGAUGCUGGUAAAAGGAAGAAAGGUUUCUGGGCGGGGAGAGGCCGUGGCGGCGAACUACGCGUUCGGGCCGCUCGAAGAUGACGUAAUCAUCAAGCACAGACUUCUCACUCGAACCACAACCACAAGAGGCGAACCCCCAUUGAAGAAGCUCCAGAAGAAGUUCACAUCCCUGUUCGUCGAGCUCGACAAGAACGAGGACAACUAUGGCGACUGCGACAAGCUGGCCAAAGCUUUCCUCCAAGAGCUCAGCACCUUCGAGAUUCCGCUCCUCAAGAGCAAAGCGGUUGUGGAUGCGAAUCUCAGAGAGAAGCACAAUUUCGACGAGUUGAGGGAGAGGAGAUAAAUCGGCAGAUAGUGCACGCGCAGACCGACAUUGAAUUGCUGAAGAAGCAGCUUGAGGAGAGUAAAAUCGAAAGAAGGCACAAGGAGGAGUGUGAGGCGAUCAGGAAAAUGAUAGCUACGCAACUGCCUCGAAACGCUCAAAAUCAUAUCCGAUUUGGAGAAAGAGAUUGCCGCUUUGGACGCUGAGAACACGGCAAGUUCGAGGAUGCUGGAGCUCCGAAAGAAGCAGUUUGCUCUGCUGUUGUAUGUGGUAUGCAGCUCUGUUAAAUUCCCCAAUUUUCGAUUAUGUUGCCUGCAUUAAGCAGUAGAACCCUUUUGAAAUUAGAUUUAAUUUUGGUUGUAUUUGGAGGUGGAUGAGUUGCAGAACACCAUAGAGGAAGAGCAGAAGAGUUUGGUUGAUUAGAGUAUACAAUGCAUCUCUUGGUUUUGCAGUUGUAAGAUUGUGUUUUUCAUGAAUGGGUUUCUAUCUAUGCAUUAUCUCUCUUGAAUCAGCGAUAUUUUGAAAUUCUUAAUUUUGUGCACCUUGUAGAUUUUCACCAAGUUCACGUGAUGGGUAGAACUUUGCCAGAACUUCUUUCUGGAUCAAUUUCAGUGUAGUUAAUUGUAUAAACCUAAUACCUGUGUACAUUGCAUUUGAGUGUAAUAUUACAGUUUGCAUCCAGAUAAAUAUUGAGAAGUCGGAAAUGCAAUACUUUUUUUUGUUGGGUUUAGGGUUUGCAUCAAAUAAACAGUUGUAUUUGUGUUUGCUUUACAAAGAGAAGGGUAUAACUAUUGAUCACCAGAGAGGGUAUAAGUGUUAAAAGUUAUUUAGUUAAGUUUAAUUAGUUUGUUAAUUAAAUAAUGCUGACAUGGCCAUGUAGAGACCAAGUCAAGCUGAAAUCCUAGAAUGUAGAAGUAGUGGUUUAGUCUGUUCACCACGUUCAAAUUUGCUUCCGUUGCUUAAGGUAGUUGAACUCCACAAAAUCUGCACUCGUGUGUUAGUGGUUAUUGUGGAGAUUGUUAUUUUGUAAGCUUUGUUAUUUCAGGUAUAUAUAAGAGAGGAAAACUGCAGUAUUCUUGAGCUGUGAAAUACGUUUGCUCAAAGAAUCCUUUUACGUUCAAGUUAAUUUCAGUUUCUCAACAUCUGGUAUCAGAGCCCUUCUGGGCCUGAACAAACUUGAAAAAGGUGAAAGAUUGUGUCUUGCAGCAGCAAGAAACAGUGGCAACAGAGAAAGCCACUGAGAGUUUUAUUCAACCAGCGAUUCCACGAUUUGAUGGUCACUACGACCAUUGGAGCAUGCUGAUGGAAAAUUUUCUCAGGUCAAAGGAGUAUUGGAAUCUUGUGGAAUCAGGAAUUGACGCCCCAGCAGAGGGAGUUGUGUUGACUGAACAACAACAAAAGAGGGUUGCUGAACAGAAGCUGAAGGACUUGAGGGUGAAAAAUUACCUUUUUCAGGCACUUGAUCGAUCUAUCUUGGAGACGAUACUCGAGAAGGAGACCUCCAAACAAAUAUGGGAUUCUUUGAAGAAGAAAUAUGCAGGGUCAGAGAGGGUGAAGCGUGCAGUGCUUCAAACUCUAACAAAGGACUUCGAAACUUUACAAAUGAAAUCAGGAGAGUCCAUCACUGAUUUCUUUGCUAGAACUCUGGGAAUAGCAAGCAAGAUGAGAUCCAAUGGUGGCACCAUGGAAGAAGUCAAAGUUGUGGAGAAAAUUAUGAGAUCAUUGACUCCAAAAUUUGACUACAUUGUCUGUUCAAUUGAAGAGGCAAAGAACGUUGCUGAGUUACGAGUUGAUGAACUACAAAGCUCUUUGUUAGUGCAUGAACAAAGACUUAACCGCACCACUGCCAGUGAAGAACAAACAGCUCUGAAAGCUUCCAUUGUUUCUGAGUCCUCAAGUUCUCGAGGAGGAAGAGGUCGUGGAAGAGGAGGACGUGGUAGAGGAAGAGGUGGUCGAGGUCAUCAAGGAGGUGGACGGUCUGGACAUAGAGAUGACAGCAAGUCAUCUCAUGUUUUCAAAAGAGAUGAUGACUUUGAAGAAAAAGGAACGUACCACUUUGAUAAGUCAAAAGUGGAGUGUUAUAGAUGUGGAAAUUUUGGGCACUACAAGAAUGAGUGCUACACGAAGUUACCAAAAAAAAAAGGUGAAAGAUUGUUUCUUGCUGCUGCAAGACACAAUCUUUCACCUUUUUCAAGUUUGUUCAGGCCCAGAAGGGCUCUGAUACCAGAUGUUGAGAAACUGAAAUUAACUUGAACGUAAAAGGAUUCUUUGAGCAAACGUAUUUCACAGCUUAAGAAUACUGCAGUUUUCCUCUCUUAUAUAUACCUGAAAUAACAAAGCUUACAAAAUAACAAUCUCCACAAUAACCACUAACACACGAGUGCAGAUUUUGUGGAGUUCAACUACCUUAAGCAACGGAAGCAAAUUUGAACGUGGUGAACAGACUAAACCACUACUUCUACAUUCUAGGAUUUCAGCUUGACUUGGUCUCUACAUGGCCAUGUCAGCAUUAUUUAAUUAACAAACUAAUUAAACUUAACUAAAUAACUUUUAACACCCUCCCUUAAACUGAUUUUACGAAAAACAGUUUAGGAUCUCUACACCAUCACAUAAUCAUCUUCCUGUUCAAUGCUUUGAAAUGAACAAACUCCCACCAUCACAUAAUCAUCUUCCUGUUCAGUGCUUUGAAAUGAACAAACUCCCAACAUGCUUCUCAGCUUCUCAAACGCAGGUUGCUUCAAAGGCUUAGUUAAGAUGUCUGCAACCUGCUCCCCACUCUUGCAAUAUUCAAGUACAAUCUUCUCAUCACUGCACAGAUCACGCAAGAAAUGAUGAGAGGAAAACUAAUCGUGUCGUGCCUCGCAACUGGGGCAAACACCUCUUUGUAAUCAAUGCCAUGCUUCUGCUUGUAGCCCUUAGCUACCAAACGAGCUUUGUGCUUGUCAACCUCACUUUUUUCGUUCAACUUUGUUCUAAACACCCAUUUAACACCAAUGGUUUGCUUUCCCUUUGGAAGAUCAGUUAACUCCCAGGUUUGAUUCUUCUCAAUGGACUUGAUUUCAUUGUCCAUUGCUUCCCUCCAUUUCUCCUCUUUAACAGCCUCAGAAUAUGUGAUUGGAUCACUAUCUACAAGUAAUGCAAAGUGAGCAUUUUCAUCAUCAGAACUUGAAUAACUUACAUCGUAGUCCAUCAUCCAUGCUGGCCUCUUCCUUGAGUUCUCAUCUCUCAGAUUGUAUCUCUCUUCUUCAAACUGUUGAGAUGACUGAACUUCAGGUUGAGGUGGCUGCUGGGCUUGAGUCUCAGGAGCUGCUACCUCUUCAUUGUCUGAAUCAUCAUAAACUGGAAUUUGUUGUUGAACCGAUCUGUUCUCAGACCAAUUCCACAUAGUGUCUUCAUCAAAUAUCACAUCCCUGCUUACCACUAUCUUCUUUGUAACUGGAUUGUACAGUUUGUAUGCUUUUGAGACUUCACUUACACCAAGAAAAACACAUUUUUCACUUUUGUCAUCCAACUUCUUUCUUUUCUCAUCGGGGAUGUGUGCAUAUGCUAUGCACCCAAACACCCUAAAGUGAUCAACCGCAGGCUUCAAUCCACUCCAAGCUUCUUGAGGAGUCAUAUUCUUAACAGAAAAUGUGGGACUUCUGUUUAAAAUAUGAACUGACCAUAGCACAGCUUCAGGCCAAAACUUCUUGGGAAUUCUUCCUUUGACUAGCAGACUUCGAACCAUGUUGAGAAUGGUGCGAUUUUUCCUUUCACUUACACCAUUUUGUUGUGGUGUAUAGGCAGUGGUCAGCUGUCUCUUGAUGCCUUUCUCUUUGCAAAAUGCAUCAAAUUCCUUCGAACAGUACUCUCCCCCACGGUCAGUUCUUAGAAUUUUAAUCUUCUUUUCUGAUUCAUUUUCAACUAGAGCUUUGAAGCUUUUGAAUGCUUCAAAUGCCUCUGAUUUUUCCUGCAAGAAAUAUACCCAUGUCUUUCUACUAAAAUCAUCAGUAAAGGAGAUGAAAUAUUUCUUGUUACCAUUUGAGAUGGGAUUUAUUGGUCCACAUAGAUCAGAGUGAACCAUCUCCAGGAUUGAUUGAGCCCUUGCUGCCUUGCCACUUGGAAAAGAGUCUCUUUUGUGCUUCCCAGUGAUGCAUUCUUCACACAUCUUUGAUGGAGGAGUUAUCUCAGGUAGGCCAGUGACCAUCCCUUUCUGGUGAAGUGUUCUCAAGCCAUUAAAAUUCAAAUGGCCAUAUCUGUAGUGCCAUCUCCACGGGUCAUCUUCUUUGGCAAAUAAGCAAGCCUGCAGAGUCUUGAUUUUCAAAGGAAACAAUCUGUUGGAAGACAUUUUUACAACAGCAAUGGACCCUCUUUUUGGGUCGUACACUUCACACUCUCCUUUAUAGAUUGUAAUCCUGUAGCCUUUAUCUUGUAACUGACCAGCACUCAGCAAAUUUGUCUUCAAAUCAGGAAUAUAAAAAACAUUUGAGAUAGUUUCAAUAAAGUCAUUUUUAGUUUUGAUUUGAAUAUCUCCCUUACCCAUCACUUUCACUGUUGACUUGUCACCAAAACUCACUACCGUGUGAAAGCUUUCAUCCAAAUUAAUAAAGGAAGACUUACAUCCACUCAUGUGAUUGCUGCAGCCUGUGUCCACAUACCAUGUCUCCUGAUCAGUUUCUGUCAGUGCAUGAAAAGCCAUCAAAAGUGUCUCUUCCUCCUUCUUUUUCUCCACAAAAUUUGACUUUUCUCCUUUUUCUUUUGGUAACUUCGUGUAGCACUCAUUCUUGUAGUGCCCAAAAUUUCCACAUCUAUAACACUCCACUUUUGACUUAUCAAAGUGGUACGUUCCUUUUUCUUCAAAGUCAUCAUCUCUUUUGAAAACAUGAGAUGACUUGCUGUCAUCUCUAUGUCCAGACCGUCCACCUCCUUGAUGACCUCGACCACCUCUUCCUCUACCACGUCCUCCUCUUCCACGACCUCUUCCUCCUCGAGAACUUGAGGACUCAGAAACAAUGGAAGCUUUCAGAGCUGUUUGUUCUUCACUGGCAGUGGUGCGGUUAAGUCUUUGUUCAUGCACUAACAAAGAGCUUUGUAGUUCAUCAACUCGUAACUCAGCAACGUUCUUUGCCUCUUCAAUUGAACAGACAAUGUAGUCAAAUUUUGGAGUCAAUGAUCUCAUAAUUUUCUCCACAACUUUGACUUCUUCCAUGGUGCCACCAUUGGAUCUCAUCUUGCUUGCUAUUCCCAGAGUUCUAGCAAAGAAAUCAGUGAUGGACUCUCCUGAUUUCAUUUGUAAAGUUUCGAAGUCCUUUGUUAGAGUUUGAAGCACUGCACGCUUCACCCUCUCUGACCCUGCAUAUUUCUUCUUCAAAGAAUCCCAUAUUUGUUUGGAGGUCUCCUUCUCGAGUAUCGUCUCCAAGAUAGAUCGAUCAAGUGCCUGAAAAAGGUAAUUUUUCACCCUCAAGUCCUUCAGCUUCUGUUCAGCAACCCUCUUUUGUUGUUGUUCAGUCAACACAACUCCCUCUGCUGGGGCGUCAAUUCCUGAUUCCACAAGAUUCCAAUACUCCUUUGACCUGAGAAAAUUUUCCAUCAGCAUGCUCCAAUGGUCGUAGUGACCAUCAAAUCGUGGAAUCGCUGGUUGAAUAAAACUCUCAGUGGCUUUCUCUGUUGCCAUUGUUUCUUGCUGCUGCAAGACACAAUCUUUCACCUUUUUCAAGUUUGUUCAGGCCCAGAAGGGCUCUGAUACCAGAUGUUGAGAAACUGAAAUUAACUUGAACGUAAAAGGAUUCUUUGAGCAAACGUAUUUCACAGCUUAAGAAUACUGCAACAGAAGCUGAAUAUGUAGCAGCAGCUGCAAGCUCCUGUCAAGCUAUGUGGCUUAGGAAAAUAUUUGAAGUGCUUGGUAAUGUUCAAAAGGGACCAACAACCAUCUACUGCGACAACAUUUCAACUAUAAAGCUAUCGAGGAAUCCAGUCAUGCAUGGGAGAAGUAAACACAUUGAUGUACGUUUUCAUUUCUUGCGUGAUCUGUGCAGUGAUGAGAAGAUUGUACUUGAAUAUUGCAAGAGUGGGGAGCAGGUUGCAGACAUCUUAACUAAGCCUUUGAAGCAACCUGCGUUUGAGAAGCUGAGAAGCAUGUUGGGAGUUUGUUCAUUUCAAAGCACUGAACAGGAAGAUGAUUAUGUGAUGGUGGGAGUUUGUUCAUUUCAAAGCAUUGAACAGGAAGAUGAUUAUGUGAUGGUGUAGAGAUCCUAAACUGUUUUUCGUAAAAUCAGUUUAAGGGAGGGUGUUAAAAGUUAUUUAGUUAAGUUUAAUUAGUUUGUUAAUUAAAUAAUGCUGACAUGGCCAUGUAGAGACCAAGUCAAGCUGAAAUCCUAGAAUGUAGAAGUAGUGGUUUAGUCUGUUCACCACGUUCAAAUUUGCUUCCGUUGCUUAAGGUAGUUGAACUCCACAAAAUCUGCACUCGUGUGUUAGUGGUUAUUGUGGAGAUUGUUAUUUUGUAAGCUUUGUUAUUUCAGGUAUAUAUAAGAGAGGAAAACUGCAGUAUUCUUAAGCUGUGAAAUACGUUUGCUCAAAGAAUCCUUUUACGUUCAAGUUAAUUUCAGUUUCUCAACAUCUGGUAAUCAAACCUGGGAGUUAACUGAUCUUCCAAAGGGAAAGCAAACCAUUGGUGUUAAAUGGGUGUUUAGAACAAAGUUGAACGAAAAAAGUGAGGUUGACAAGCACAAAGCUCGUUUGGUAGCUAAGGGCUACAAGCAGAAGCAUGGCAUUGAUUACAAAGAGGUGUUUGCCCCAGUUGCGAGGCACGACACGAUUAGGUUAGUGAUCUCUCUUGCAGCUCAAAAUUCCUGGCAAAUUUUUCAGUUAGACGUGAAGUCAGCAUUCCUGCAUGGAAACCUGCAAGAGGAGGUGUACAUUGAUCAACCACCUGGUUAUGAGAGAAAAGGAGAAGAAGAGAAGGUGUUCAAACUAAAGAAAGCACUCUAUGGACUGAAACAAGCACCUCGAGCUUGGUACAGUCGCAUAGAUGCUCACUUUGCUAAGCUUGGAUUUCACAAAUGUCCUUUUGAGCACACACUUUAUGUCAAGACUGAGGAAGAAGGUAAAAUACUCAUGGUUUGCUUGUAUGUUGAUGACUUGAUAUUCACUGGAAGUGAUGCUAAAAUGUUUGAUGAAUUCAAGAAGUCUAUGAUGAUGGAGUUUGAAAUGACUGAUCUAGGAUUAAUGCACUAUUUUCUUGGAUUGGAAGUCAUUCAAACUACUGCUGGUAAUUUCAUCUACCAGAAAAAAUAUGCACAGGACAUUCUUAACAGGUUUCAGAUGGAUGACUGCAAGCCAUUUGGAACUCCAGCUGAAUACGGCUUAAAGCUAUGCAAAGACAAAGGUGGAAAGGAGGUUGACAGCACUUUCUAUAAACAGAUAAUUGGGAGUCUCAUGUAUUUAACAUACACGAGGCCUGACAUCAUGUAUGCAGUGAGUCUUGUGAGCCGAUAUAUGGAAAAACCAACUGAAAUGCAUCUCAAUGCAGCAAAGAGAAUUCUCAGGUAUGUAAAGGGGACAAUUGAUUAUGGUGUGUUUUAUAAAAGGGAAGAUGGUUCUGGUUUUGUUGGGUACACAGAUAGUGACUAUGCAGGUGAUAUAGAUGAUCGUAAGAGCACUUCCGGUCACAUAUUUCUGCUCAACUCUGGUGCAAUAUCGUGGUCCUCAAAGAAGCAACAAAUUGUGACGCUUUCCUCAACAGAAGCUGAAUAUGUAGCAGCAGCUGCAAGCUCCUGUCAAGCUAUGUGGCUUAGGAAAAUAUUUGAAGUGCUUGGUAAUGUUCAAAAGGGACCAACAACCAUCUACUGCGACAACAUUUCAACUAUAAAGCUAUCGAGGAAUCCAGUCAUGCAUGGGAGAAGUAAACACAUUGAUGUACGUUUUCAUUUCUUGCGUGAUCUGUGCAGUGAUGAGAAGAUUGUACUUGAAUAUUGCAAGAGUGGGGAGCAGGUUGCAGACAUCUUAACUAAGCCUUUGAAGCAACCUGCGUUUGAGAAGCUGAGAAGCAUGUUGGGAGUUUGUUCAUUUCAAAGCACUGAACAGGAAGAUGAUUAUGUGAUGGUGGGAGUUUGUUCAUUUCAAAGCAUUGAACAGGAAGAUGAUUAUGUGAUGGUGUAGAGAUCCUAAACUGUUUUUCGUAAAAUCAGUUUAAGGGAGGGUGUUAAAAGUUAUUUAGUUAAGUUUAAUUAGUUUGUUAAUUAAAUAAUGCUGACAUGGCCAUGUAGAGACCAAGUCAAGCUGAAAUCCUAGAAUGUAGAAGUAGUGGUUUAGUCUGUUCACCACGUUCAAAUUUGCUUCCGUUGCUUAAGGUAGUUGAACUCCACAAAAUCUGCACUCGUGUGUUAGUGGUUAUUGUGGAGAUUGUUAUUUUGUAAGCUUUGUUAUUUCAGGUAUAUAUAAGAGAGGAAAACUGCAGUAUUCUUGAGCUGUGAAAUACGUUUGCUCAAAGAAUCCUUUUACGUUCAAGUUAAUUUCAGUUUCUCAACAAUAAGUACUUGUGUUUGCUCAUAUAAGAGGACCGCCUUGAAUAAUCCAAAAGACUAGCUUACUUAAUUUUAAAAAAAUCAGUUUUGAAAACUGUUAAAUGUAACUUUAUGCAAUGUUAAAUCAAACAUAUCAAAAGAAAUAAAUAUCAUAAAACAUGUGAAAUUUGAAAUAUGAAAAAAAGUGAAAUCAUGCGAUUUGGGGAUUGGGUUCUAUUGGGUUGGAGGCGAAGCGGGUUACGAGCUGCAUUUUGGGUUUUAAAAGCCCAAUUCCGGAUUGAAAACCCAUCCUUGACUGGAAGGUUGCAAAUUUCUAUAUGGGGAAUAUUCGCUGGUAGAUUCUUCAUCCUCCUAAGUGUAGUAAUGGAGGGGUGUUAGACAAAAGAUCUCUUCUUAGCACAACGUUACACAAUUAUCAUCUUAAUAAGGGAGAAUUUAUGAACAUUGGAUUAUAAAAUGCACAUCCAUUGUUAAUUCCUGCAUAAGCUUCGCGAUUGAGUUUGAUAAUUUUUUAAUUCUCAUUUGCAUCAUCGAUGGGAUUUGAAGUUUUGAACCCACAUACUGUCUUUCUCUGCCAUUUUGGAAAAUAAAUUAUUAUUCUUCCAUUGUAAUGGACAAAUUUAAACGUUGCUCAUCAAAAUAUGUCUCAAUCACUGCCUUAAUAUAUAAAUGCUAGGCAAAAGAACCAGAGCAGCGUCCAGUUUAUUAAAUCAGAUACUAGCUACAAGCCUAGGACAGAGAAAAGCAGAAGCUUCACGGAAGCUAAGCGGCUGAGCUCUUUGGUGGGAAAGUAGGGGGUUCAAAAAGAUUUCAAAUUCCUGCAUAAUGCGGCUCCUGCUACAAUAGUGGGGAGACUAAACGUUUGCUAAACAAAUCUUCCUCCAUGGUAGAUUUGCUUUCCCUGUUCCCCUACAUUGAGAGAGUAUGUAUAGCUUGGGACUUUAGGAAGCAAUGAAAUGGGGAUAGUUCGAGGCUUGGUAUUGAAUUUGGUGUUUAUGUUCUGGUACAUUUUUUUUUAUUUCUUUUUUGUUUUAGAUAGCGAAUAAUCCAUUUUGCCUAUGGACUCUGUAUGUAGAUGGAGUUUCGCUAUGCCACAUUAGAUUUUGUUUCUUAGUAUUUGUGAUUGAUCUUGAUAUUUGAUGGGGAUCGGGAUCCGGACACAGGUCACCAACCACAUACACGAGCACCGAAAUCUAGGGCUAGUGCAAACUCACAUAUAUCGUAGCAAAUCCAUGCCACAAAUAAACUAUUUUAUUAAUCAUCAACAUAUCUCUAUCCUACAACUAUUACAUUAGCCUUAUUUAUAGGCUUUACAAGACUUGGGCACCAAGGCUACUUGGUCCAAAAGUAAACUAAUUAGUUAUAAAAUCACACAUAAAUAAUAAAAGAUAUCCUAAAACUACCUAAAUAAGAAAAUAACAAUAUAUCAUAAAAUAACUAAUUAAAUGUAAAAUAUCUAUCUUGAUCCACCACUAUGCUCUUGCAUCAGACUCCCAUGGUUGGAAAGAAUUCGUCCUCGAAUUCAAGCCUUUGAUUGAGGAAAAUCCGAGUAGAAUCUUCAAUUGCUUCAUAUUAAUUCUGGAUCUUUUAGCAUCCAAUUGAAAUCUUCCUUUCCAAAUAAAAAGAUAUUUGGAAUAUUUCGUUAUUCUUGGCUUCUUCUUACUCCCUCUAAGAAUGCAAAAGUUUCUCUCUAGGAUCUUCAACCGAUUGACAAAAUCAACUAGAUUUUUGGCAACCUUCCAAGUGAAAAUAUUAAUGCCCAUAAAAUCAAUAAUAUCUUCAAAAAUUUUCUCAAUUCUCAUCUCUUCACUGUGCUGGUCAAUAAAUUGCUUAUCAAAAUUGCUCUGAACACCCAAACAAUUUUCAUUGCAAUUUUCACAGUUACAAGGAUCAAAUAUUGGAGGUAAAUCUAAAUUUAAUAACUUUGAUGAAUAACAAGAUGCACCAAAAUUAUCAAAUUUAUUUAUACCUUCAAAGACACAAUGAGAAUAACCGUGCCCCUCUUCACUUGACUCACACAGCGGAGCGCAAUAAUGAAAAGGGUUAUCUCUCUCGUACUCCCCGUCGAGACUCUCACGGCUUAGAGUGUCGAUGCGAGCUACUCGGUUCAGAUAAGGGUUCACACAUCCCUCCCCGUCAGAACUCUUACCUAUCUGGGUUCGAGCUUCAAUGCGAGCAAUGCGUUCCGUAAGUUGCCGUAGCAUCCUCCUAAUUUCCUCCAUGUCGUUGUAGUUGUUAAAACGACCCUCCAUCCAAAAACGUCCCCGAUAUAGCAGAUCUUGAGCCAUAGCUCUGAUACCAAUUGAUGGGGAUCGGGAUCCGGACACAGGUCACCAACCACAUACACGAGCACCGAAAUCUAGGGCUAGUGCAAACUCACAUAUAUCGUAGCAAAUCCAUGCCACAAAUAAACUAUUUUAUUAAUCAUCAACAUAUCUCUAUCCUACAACUAUUACAUUAGCCUUAUUUAUAGGCUUUACAAGACUUGGGCACCAAUGCUACUUGGUCCAAAAGUAAACUAAUUAAUUAUAAAAUCACACAUAAAUAAUAAAAGAUAUCCUAAAACUACCUAAAUAAGAAAAUAACAAUAUAUCAUGAAAUAACUAAUUAAAUGUAAAAUAUCUAUCUUGAUCCACCACUAUGCUCCUGCAUAAUUGAUGGGGAUCGGGAUCCGGACACAGGUCACCAACCACAUACACGAGCACCGAAAUCUAGGGCUAGUGCAAACUCACAUAUAUCGUAGCAAAUCCAUGCCACAAAUAAACUAUUUUAUUAAUCAUCAACAUAUCUCUAUCCUACAACUAUUACAUUAGCCUUAUUUAUAGGCUUUACAAGACUUGGGCACCAAGGCUACUUGUUCCAAAAGUAAACUAAUUAAUUAUAAAAUCACACAUAAAUAAUAAAAGAUAUCCUAAAACUACCUAAAUAAGAAAAUAACAAUAUAUCAUGAAAUAACUAAUUAAAUGUAAAAUAUCUAUCUUGAUUCACCACUAUGCUCCUGCAUAAUUGAUGGGGAUCGGGAUCCGGACACAGGUCACCAACCACAUACACGAGCACCGAAAUCUAGGGCUAGUGCAAACUCACAUAUAUCGUAGCAAAUCCAUGCCACAAAUAAACUAUUUUAUUAAUCAUCAACAUAUCUCUAUCCUACAACUAUUACAUUAGCCUUAUUUAUAGGCUUUACAAGACUUGGGCACCAAGGCUACUUGGUCCAAAAGUAAACUAAUUAAUUAUAAAAUCACACAUAAAUAAUAAAAGAUAUCAUAAAACUACCUAAAUAAGAAAAUAACAAUAUAUCAUGAAAUAACUAAUUAAAUGGUAAAUAUCUAUCUUGAUCCACCCCUAUGCUCCUGCAUCAGACUCCCCUGGUUGGAAAGAAUUCGUCCUCGAAUUCAAGCCUUUGAUUGUGGAAAAUCCGAGUAGAAUCUUCAAUUGCUUCGUAUUAAUUCUAGAUCUUUUAGCAUCCAAUUGAAACCUUCCUUUCCAAAUAAAAAGAUAUUUGGAAUAUUUCGUUAUUCUUGGCUUCUUACUCCCUCUAGCAAUGCAAAUGUUUCUCUCUAGAAUCUUCAACCGAUUGACAAAAUCAACCAGAUUUUUGGCAACCUUCCAAGUGAAAAUAUUAAUGCCCAUAAAAUCAAUAAUAUCUUCGAAAGUUUUCUCAAUUCUCAUCUCUUCACUAUUCUGGGCAAUAAAUUGCUUAUCAAAAUUGCUUUGAACACCCAAACAAUUUUCAUUGCAAUUUUCACAGUUGCAAGGAUCAAAUACUGGAGGUAAAUCCAAAUUUAAUAACUUUGAUGAAUAACAAGAUGCACCAAAAUUACCAAAUUCAUUUAUACCUUCAAAGACACAAUGAGAAUAACCGUGCCCCUCUUCACUUGACUCACACAGCGGAGCACAAUACUGAAAAGGGCUAUCUCCCUCGUACUCCCCGUCGAGACUCUCACGGCUUAGAGUGUCGAUGCGAGCUACUCGGUUCAGAUAAGGGUUCACACAUCCCUCCCCGUCAGAACUCUUACCUAUCUGGGUUCGAGCUUCAAUGCGAGCAAUGCGUUCCGUAAGUUGCCGUAGCAUCCUCCUAAUUUCCUCCAUGUCGUUGUAGUUGUUAAAACGACCCUCCAUCCAAAAACCUCCCCGAUAUAGCAGAUUUUGAGUCAUAGCUCUGAUACCAAUUGAUGGGGAUCGGGAUCCGGACACAGGUCACCAACCACAUACACGAGCACCGAAAUCUAGGGCUAGUGCAAACUCACAUAUAUAUCGUAGCAAAUUCAUGCCACAAAUAAACUAUUUUAUUAAUCAUCAACAUAUCUCCCCUACAACUAUUACAUUAGCCUUAUUUAUAGGCUUUACAAGACUUGGGCACCAAGGCUACUUGGUCCAAAAGUAAACUAAUUAAUUAUAAAAUCACGCAUAAAUAAUAAAAGAUAUCAUAAAACUACCUAAAUAAGAAAAUAACAAUAUAUCAUGAAAUAACUAAUUAAAUGGUAAAUAUCUAUCUUGAUCCACCCCUAUGCUCCUGCAUCAAUAUUGGAUGCAUAUGUGCCUCUCCUUAAUCUUUUUAUUUUUUUUUAUAACAAGCGGUGCCGAAGCCCUAUUCAAUUGGGUAUGGUUUUUCAGGGUUUAGUAUUUGUGCUGUAAGAAGUACAGAAAUAAGGUUGUAGGCUGCACUUUUAGAGGAGGUGAAUGUGUUGGGACUUCCUCAUUAUCCAAGCAUACUUAUCCUUCUUUUAGUGGUAAUUGGUCUUCGAAAAAUGAACAAAAAGUAUGGUAGUUUUUUCUGAACUUCUUGAUGAGGCCUUAGUGGCUUACUGGAAGCAUAUUUUUUAUAACGUAUUUGAAGUGGAUUUUAAUGUAUCGGAAGUAUAUUUUAACGUAUUGGAAGAAGAUUAGAACCAUGUGCAUGUUUGAUAAGGUGUUGUGAGAUGGUAUGUAUGGAGAGAAUGUAUCUAGGUUCCUCUCCAGAGCUUAUUGGUUGAAUUGAAGUAGAUUACAACAAAACAUUCCUUAUGUUACAGAAAGGAAAACAGAAAAAAGAAAUACAAAGUAUAAAGUGCAAUCUAGAUCCUAACUCUUCUUUGCAUCUUGGUCACACACACUAUGAUCAUUACAUAGAACAUGUCUUGUACUUGUCUAGAAAUUGGAAAUAUGCAUGUCUUCAUGUCUUAAAACACUAAAGGACCACAAACUCCCCAAAAUGUAACACCCCGACUCCAAAUUUAAUAUCUAUUUUAAUUGAUUUAAAGUAAAAUUACGAAUUUACCCUUGGGGUAGGGGUAAAUUGGUCAUUUUCUCAUCCAAAAGGAUUUUGGGACAACGACUGGUAUUUUUGGGUAGGUUGUACUGAGACGGCUUCGUAGACACGCGGUAGGCUUGAAGCGGAGUUGUAACGAAGAUUUGGCGAUCAAAACAUUAUCAGUGGCAAACCUGUAAUUAUUUUGAAAAGAGUUAGAGUAAAAAUCUGAUUUUUCAUUUUUACCUCACUCUCUGAUUCUCUCUCUCUCUCUGCACGCGCGACCUCCCCCUCCCCUUUACUGUUCACGGAGACGGAAACCACCGCACCGCCGCCACAUCCGACCACCCCAGCCCUCGAGACCAGUCCCCUUCGACUCGUCCUGAAGCCCUAAACUAGAAUCACCCAGUCUCCCAGUAGGAAAACUUGAGAAUCGCUGACGAUCUCGACUGGUUCAAACUGGAGACUUUCCAUCGUCGCGCCGCCGUCUCCGCCGCCCAAACCCGGUGAUUGAGGUGAGGAUUCUUCCUCUUUUUCCGAGUUCUAGGUGACUGAUGCAUAGGUUUGGAUCAAUUUGCUGGGUAGAAACUGAUUUUGUAAACCUAGGUUUUGGUCGGAUUUUAAGUGAAAUUCCGGCCAGCUGCCGUCCGAAUUGGACCUCCCCGUAGUUGAAUGAAGUGAUCCUGACCUUGAGUAGAAGCUAGGAUAGGAAGGGUGAGCUCGGGUGUGGAGUUUUUCCGUCACCGAAAUUUACUCUACACACCCACGCGCUGCCGGCGCGUGAGGCGGCAUGUGGGCGAGGCUGGUGAAGUUGCAAUUUGACCCGAUGAGAUCUUUAGGUUGUUACGAGUGCAUAGGAUUCCACGGAUCUCAAUUCAGGUGUCGUUUGACUAUCGAACGGAUUUUCGCAUAUUGUGCGUUAUCCGGGUUCGAUAGGUUAUAACCGUUAGAUCUUUUUUCAAGUAAAAUAUGUUGUUAUAGGUAUUCCCAGGACCGUGUAGGACUUCACAGAUUAUGAAUCGAAGCCCCGAAUGUUUCGAUUCAAUAAUGCAAAGUUUGUGGGUUAGCGAUAACCGUACAAUCGUGAACAAUUCUUAAACCUGUAAUUGAACCUUAGGAUACCUCCUUCAACGUGCACAUACUGGGAAUUUGGGGAUUUAAGUAUUUAAUUUGUGAUUUUCGCUUCGAAGUAAUUUUAUAUUAAUUAAGGGUUCGUAUCUCGAAAUAGGUGUUCCGACUACACGUACUCAGCAGGCAGGACCCUCUCGUGGUCUGGCAGCGUGGGAAUAUUUAUGAGUGGACUUUGUUUUCAAUUAUAUGCAUGAUUUUAUUGAUGAAAGAUUUAUGCAUAAUGUUUUUAAUGGUUUAUUGAAUAUAUUAUAUUCAUGAGUUGAAUUCGAUGUUUGUACAGCGCUUUGGUAAUAUAUUGUGGGUUGGGCAUAUUUGGGUAUCGAGAGUAUAUUUUAUAUGGAUUUUGGGGAAGUAUAUAUAUAUAUAUUCUCUAUAAGUGAGAUACUUGGGUUGUUGAAGUGAGUUGUGGAAGAACUUGAAUAUGAGGGGUUGUUGAGAGAAGUUGUAUGAUUACACUAUGUAAGUACCUUCCCCAGUUAUUAGACUUUUCACACGUGGCGUUGGAUGUUCCGGCGUGUGGGAAGAAUAGGUUAUCCGUCUCACACGCGGCUUGGAUGUUCCGGAGUAUGGAAAAACUAUGUAUAUUGUUUAGGGUCAUCACCCAUGGCGUUGGAUGUUCCGGUGUGUGAUGAUCCAGUCUGCGCGCGUAUGACAUAAUUUGGGAGCUACACAUGGCGUUGGAUGUUCCGGUGUGUGAGCUAUGGAGUUUCGUCCCCCGGUUGGACAGCUCAUCCCUAGACGCAUGAUAGCACCUGAAAAUCCUGCGGGCUAGUCAAACGAUCCCCUAGUUGGAUUGUUUCCCCGGUACCUAGGUAGUGUGAUGAGUAUAUCAUAUAGCUAUGUAUAGUUGUAUUUAUAUAUAUAUAUGUAUGUAUGUAUGUAUAUGUAUAGUUGGGAUAGUGAAGAAUUAGAGUUUUUCAGUGGUUUGGAAGGAGUUGCAAGAUUGUAAGAAUGAGGUUUAUGGAUGAGAUGACUUGUGUUUUAAAGAAUUUUAAAUGAAAUAAGUUUUGAGUAAUUCAAUAAUGAAUUGUGAACCUGCAUGUCUUGAGCAUUAUUUUUACACGGUGGGGUUACUAUAUUGUUUUAAAUGCAAAUCUUGUUUUUGUCCACUCACAUGUUUUCUGUUUUGCCCCCCCCAACUAGUAGUCGCUCUAGGAAGCGUGCAAGUGGUGUACGAGGCUCGAACCGUGAACUUUCCUAGUUAGGAUUUGAGUAAUUUAUUUUACUCAACUAUUCUUGUAAUCUAAAUUCAGUAGAUGCUCUGUUAUCGCCCAUGGUAGAUUUUAAUUGUGAGGCCGGAGGCCAUUUAGUAUGUUUUGAUGAAUUAUGAAAGCAUGCUGCUGGUUAGGAUUAUUAUUUUACGUUUAUUGCAGGUUGAAAUUUUUGUUGGGUUUGCUUAGUUUACAGGGGAGACUCUGCCAAAAUUGUGGUAGAGAGUCUCGGUUUUUAGUAAGUGGGCCCGGCAUCGGGAAGAUGUCGGAACAAAGACGGGGUCCGCUUUGGCUUCUGGGAAAUUCCGAAGCGGGUCUUGUCACAAAAUCCCAUAAUAAAUCCAAGCGCAAGUGAAAUAUAAAACCAUGGGAUUUCAUACCUGCAUCAAUCCCAUUAGUUCCCAGGCACUCAAUUGGGAGGGGAGCACCACAAAGUUUCUGGUUUCCCUCAAAUGCAGAGGCAUUGAAGCCUUGGAGCUGAGUAUUUGUUGGUAUUAGUCCUUCAAAAUUAUUGUAGGAGACAUUGAGACAAGAAAAUAAGACUCCUCAAUGAUGUUGGGAUUUUUCCAGACAAAUGAUUCAUGGAUGAAACACUGUAGUACACUGCAAUUAUUGAACCACAGAUAAGUUGAAUGGCUAUUAAAGUAAGCGAAAUCUUCCUCACCCAACCAAAUUUUCUAAUGAACAUCAUAGCACAAUCCAUAAAAUGUAAACUCUCAAGAGGAAAAAGGAAAUUUACAUUACAUGUGAUGCCAAAACAAUUUCAAUAGAAAAGAGACUCAAAAGUCAAGGCAAGAAACCGAAGAUUCUCCCUAAGAAAGAGCUCAAUACGUCCAAUACUCAGGAUAAAGGACAAGGUGAAAAAAAAAAAAAAAAAAGGGAAAGGAAAAACAUGAAAGUCUUUUACAAAAUGAAAGGGCAAAUGUUUUCCACCAAAAAAAAAUAAAAGAAAUUUCAAGAAAAGCUUCCGUGGUUUUGGGGAAGUAUCAUUUUUCUUUACCUUUUUCUUUUCCUACCAAAGUGAACUGGCUCUGGUCUGGUCCAUGUUUGCUUACUAAAGUUAGUUAAUUCACAAGAAAGUUUAGAUGAAAGGGAGAGAAGAGGGCGCUGUAGAGGUGGAAAACCACAUCAUCCCACAAUAAAAAGGAAAUAAUGAGAAAGGACUAAUCACUAAUGUUUUCCACAACACCCCACUGAAACUUCGCUGGGAUGCGUUCUCUUUCUUCUCACCAAAGUGAUUGUCCCUUUUUUUAUGUUCUUUUUUUCUUUCUUUCUCUCUUAAGCUUAUCAAUUCCUUUCUGUGACCAAAUGGGGUCUUUAGGACACACAGGAGGCCAAGAAAUCCAAAAAGUCCCCACGUGUUGUAAUAGUGGAGUCCCCAAAAUGCCCCCUUGAAUGCCUAUAAAUACUCCCCCCCUUCCUACUUGUAAAUUGAACAACAGAAACGAGAUUGAGAAAACAUUCUCUUCUCUAAUUCCUUAUCUUGCUCUUUCUCUUUGCUCUCUACAAUUCCCCCUAAUUUAUAACACGUUAUCAGCACGAAUUCGCUUUCAAAAAUACCAGCUGAGAAAUUCUUCAAAGCUUCCAUCUUUUUCUUCCACCAAUGAAGACUUUCCUGCCCAAAUUAUUGAAAAGACAGAGAGGCCUUCCAAUCUCUCUCCAGAAAUUUCAAAACACGGAAUCGCUUCAAUUUCCAUUUCCUUUGAAGAUUCAAAGCUGCAAACCCAAGAUCACCGUCAUCGACAACACCUUCACAUUGAGUAACCACCACCACAAAAGCCAAAAGCUUUCGUUUCAUUGACCCAAAUUGGUUGUGCCCAGUUGUUUUGUUUCUUCGAAUUUCAUGGCUUCGGCGGCGAUAUUCUCAUCGCUGCAGUGGCGAAGGUCGCCUCGCCGAUUCCAAACCGAUGCUGGCCUCCACAACCCGCCCAGAUAUUGAAGUAGCAGUUGUUGACAUUUCUGUGUCACGGAUCAAUGCCUAGAAUAGUGAUCAGCUCCCCAUAUAUGAGCCAGGCCUUGAUGAUGUGGUGAAGCAGCGCAGGGGAAAGAACCUAUUCUUCAGUACAGAUGUUGAAAGACAUGUUAUGGAGGCAGAUAUUGUCUUUGUUUCUGUAAACACACCUACCAAAACCCAGGGUUCCUGUGCUUGACCACCAUGGGCGUCGUCGUCACCUUCUACUCCUACUACCUCAUGUCCAAGGUGCUCGACCACUGCGAGAAGGCUGGCCGCCGCCACAUCUGAUUCCCCAGACUCACAGCCCUCCACCACCACCGCGCUUACCAUGGACUUUCGCAUCCGAGUUCGCCGUCUCUAAGGCUGCCUACUUCCUGUGGCUGCUGGUGUUAUUGGGGGUAAUGGGUCUUCUUGGAAUCUGUUUAAGUACAAGCCCAGGAAGAAGAAGACGGUGAAUAAGGUUAUGGUGUCUUGUGUUUAUUCUUCCGUGAUGAAAAAAAAAAAAAAAAAAAACACUAUGAUUUGGUCAACUUCGCAGUCCUUCAUCGGCAAUUGAUGUUUAAGGACCAGUACCUGGAGAUUUCGACGGUGUUUAAGGACCCGACCUUAGCUCAGUUGGUAGAGCAGCAGGACUGAAGAAGGAGGGAGGGACUUGGUGGUUGCUUUUCGGGCCACGACCGAAAUGAUGAGCAGCACCCACUAAUAAAGAACAGCACCCACCGAAAUGAUGAGAUUCCCACCACUUUUCAAUUAUUAUCAUUCUAUAUUAUUUAAUAUUAAUAUUAAUGCGUGUGCUAAUGGCAGGUCAAAUGAAAAUACAGUGACAAGCGUGAUACCUUACAGCAAAUUAGCACUAAGUUGCAGAUGGCCCUGCUUCUAUAAUAAUAAUAUACUAUUUGAUUGUGGUGUUGAUAUGAACCCACAAAUAAUUGCCUUUACUUUAUCGCAAAUUUACUUUUACUUAAAGUAUGAUGUGGAAUUGACCCUCAUACUUUAUAAAAUUUCAUUUACCACACAUUUAUUUUAUUUACUGUAUGGUGUAGGUUUAUUACCCAUACAACAGUAUUUAUUUAAAAGGGUAGUGCGGGUUUAUCGUCCACGCCUUUACUUUUAUUUAAAUGUAUGGAGCAGAAUUAGUGCACAUACAAGCACAUUUACUUUUAUUAAAAGUAUGAUGUGGAAUUAACCCUCAUACUUUAUGAAUUUACUUUACUGCAAAUUUACUUUUAUUAAAAGUAUGAUGUGGAAUUAACCCUCAUACUUUAUGAAUUUACUUUACUGUACAUUUACUUUUAUUAAAAGUAUGAUGUGGAAUUAACCCUCAUACUUUAUGAAUUUACUUUACUGCACAUUUACUUUUAUCAAAAGUAUGAUGUGGAAUUAACCCUCAUACUUUAUAUUUCUUUUUAUUUAAAGUAUGGUGCGAAAUUAACGUCCAUACAGCAAGUAAUUUAUUUUAUGGAUUAAAUGUGCUGUAUGAUGAGUUUUCACAGUAUGCAGAUCAGGACCAGAAGUUCCUUGAUCCUCAUCAUACAAUUACAUCAGGACUUGAAGAUCCUUGAUGAUGAUGUUAAUAUGAGAGCUGGCAGUCUCUCCGGUACUAUAUUGGUAAACAUGUGAUUGGACUUGAGGAUCCUUGAUCCCUGACAUGUACAUAAGGACCUGGGGUUCCUUAAUGAUGUAACAGUACUGUAUUGUUUCAUAAUGCCGUACACAUGGAUGAUAACUGUACUAGCAAAUGUACUGUCCACAUGAAUAGAUACGUAUUCAUGACUUGAUGAAUAGUACCGGAUAUAUGAAUAGUGACAUAUACAUAAAUAUUAACCAUUUUGGGUAAACCGUCACUAUAUUCAAAAGGGAACCUGCAGUUCCUUAAACUCAUGAAUGAGCAAUUAAAUGAGAUGCCAGAAGUUCCUCAAGAUAUGGACAAUUAUGUAAGGACUUGAAGUCCAGAAAUGUGUACAGAAAAUUGUAAAAAUGUCCAUACCAUGAGAAUAUGUGAUUUUGGCCCGAAGUUCAAAAUCUAAGGGGAUUGAAUGUCCAUACCAUGAGAAUAUGUGAUUUUGGCAAGAAGUUCAAAAUCUAACAGUGUUGAGAACCUAAAGUUCCAACAGUUAAAUGGACAAUCCUUGAGGUAUUAUUGCAAAUUGUGGUACACCACAUAUUUCUUUGGCAUAAGAGAAUGAUGAAUUUAAUAAAGUUCGAUUAUGUUAUAAUCGACACCUCAAGGAAGAAAUAUAUUUUGUGAAUUCCGGUUGUUAAGAAUACACCGUGAAAUGGAUAAUAUCAGUAUAAAUCUCAAAUGAUGAAUUGAGGCUCCCCACAUAUUUUGAUAUAUCUGGGCCGGAAGCACAUGGAUUCAAAUAUAUGAGAAAUCCAGAAUUUGAGAUUGUGGGUAUAUAGUAGUUAAUGAUCUUCACUACUAUAUUGCGAUAUUAUCGUAGCUUUUACUCAAUUCAUAUUUCAUGUCCAUUUGAAAAGGGUGAAUAAAUUUUGAGAUUUGUGUUUAGCUCAGGCCAAAAGUUCCGGGCUACCAUGCGUUAAAAUAUGAAAUUUUGGAAAGUCGAUGUGGUUAUUUGAACCUAUAAGGCACAAGGUUCCAAACCGUCAUUUUGAAAAGACGUAAAAACCACAGAUGCAAGUUUAAGAAUGUGCGCAAUUAUUAUUACAGGAACAUACAACAGAUAGAUUUUUUCCUGCAAUGAAGGUGCAGGCCCUGUAAAAUCUAUAAAAAUACAUUAUGUUCUAGAAGCCUCUGAAGGAAGAGGACGACGCCUCUUAAGCUUAGCCAUGAGCCUUUCAUGGUCUCCCAAAAUUCUUUCAUUGGAGACUUGCAACAUGUCUAGCCUCCUCAGUGUAUCAACAGAGUACGAACUCACCAGUUUCAACAAGGCAUUAUUCUCUCCUUUAAGUUUCUCAACCUCCUGUUGAGACUCAUGAAGCAUUCUUUGGAGAGACGAAUUUUCAGUUGUUAAAAUCUGAACCUCGUUUGCUCUAGCACGCAAACGAUCAGCCAUGUUAGAAACAGAAACAACACUCUGAAUGCUAAAAGCCAAUGAGUCAUCAAUAGCCUCUUCCUCUGAUCUCCCUGUCAACAACAUUUCAUCCAUUGGAGUAAUGAAAUUCCUAGCUACUAUGACAGCAGUAGCAUCAUUCAUCAUCACAGAAUCAUUAACUGUGAGAUGACGAUUUUUGGAUACAAAGGAUGGACGCCAAACUUGGGCGUCACUGGUUGUUGUGGGAGUAUCAUUUAAAUUGAAAUAAUCUGGGCAGGAAGAAGAGGAAGCCAUUUUUAAGAAAGUUUUCGAAGAAAGUCUUGAGAAAACUAAAGUUUCAGAAAAUGAAGGAAGUUAAAUUGCAACGCAGUUGCUCCAAUCAAGUUUUGCAAAGGCAAUAUCUAUAGGAGGAAAUAUGGCUACAGUUUUUCAGGAUCCCAAUAUCUUUUCGGAUCCCCAUAUUCUCUUUUUCUUUCCCAGAUUCCAAAACUUCGCAUGGCCUCCAUUAAUGUUUGUCGGCACUUUCGGCGUUUUCAAAGUAUUAUUUUCGUCAAAAGCCGAUCUUGCUUUGCAGAUUUCACGGAGCUACUUUUUCAAAAGUAUCCCGAGUAUCUCGCAAUUUUCCUAUGGUUAAUUUGAAAUUCACCGGUUCUACCUAUUCAUUAUAUUUGUGUAUAAAUGUGUUACUAACGAAAUUCUCUUUGCAGAAGACAUUCAGUUUUCUGCAUACCUAGGGAUGCGAUAUCUACUUGUUUUUCUUAUUAGUGAGCACUUAAUAUGCCUGAGAAGCAAGACUAUCUCUGAUCAUCCAUUCAGGAAGCGAGACUAUCCCUGAUCACGUUUCCGCUACAUCAGGGAACUGUGAAGGCAACCUUAUACUCUAAUCUCCGGAAGUUCUUCUAGACUAGAAGAAAUGAGAGCUGGUUGUUUGCUCCCACCAGCUUCCUUCCUUGAUUGCUGAGCUUGUUGUCUGCUCCCACCAGCUUCCUUCCCUGAUUGCUUACCUUCUCUUGCAAUCAAUAUCACAAUUUUUUGCAUUUUUUCUCUUUUUGUAACUCUCUGAGGAUUAUUUGUUUUUGACAGAGAAAAGAGUUGUGAUGUUGCUCUUGCAGGAUAUAACUAGAUCAUUAAGCGCUACAUUAUAUUUACUGGGCCGAUACGAGCUUGAAUGAUACUUGAGAAAAGUUUCUCCCCCCUAAGGAUGUAAGCAAUACUUGUGUUAUUAUAUGCUUACACACUUAUUUGAUAUUUUAUCUUGAAAGGUAACCAAAUGGGGAGAUAAGUCCGUUCCAAAAGAAUGGCUUGUAUGUAUCCAUGAAUUAUUAAUUCAAAUUUUACAGAUUGCAAGUUGGAUACAUUGAUAAUACGCUGCACAGAUUAAAGUCCCAUAAGAACAUAAUAUGGGUAUAGCAGUGAUCAAUAUGAUGCACGCCUAUUGCGUAGCAAAUAAUGUGGAUUGAAGUCCCGAAAGGACAAUCCUCUGACAUGUCAAUAUUGAUAUUGUGCACGCCUAAUGCGUAGCAAAUUAUAUGGGUUAAAGUCCCAUAAUAUGGGUUAAGGUCCCAGAAAUUAAUUGACAUGUAUGUAUUAAUCUGUGGCAUGCCUUCAGCAUGACAGAUAUAUGGGUUCUAAAUGUUCCAACUCCCUAAAUGGAGAUUAUCCACGCCCUACUGCUAAAUAACGCUCCAAUGGAGGUUAUAAUCCACAUUCUCACAUAAUAAAAGCCCCAUGAAGUGGCUUGGGUACCCAAAAGCAAAGAAAUGCUUAUAAUUGAUGCAUGCGCAUGCAAAUGAGAAUGGUGGGAUCAUGAAUUGAUGAAUGACAAUUUUUGGUUAUGGAGUAGCUACUCAAAUCAUCAAUGGGCUGUGUUGAUUGGAACCACGUUCAAUUAUUAAAUGUCGACAAUAUCAUUGGCCAAAAUGGAGUGAGGUAAUUCCAUUAUAAAUGAGAAUGAACGUGAAAGAACAAACCCACAAUACGAACCCCAAAAGAUGUUAAUACUAAAAUUUAUACUUGGGUGUUCGGAAUAAAAGGGAAUAUACCUACUUUGUCUGACACACUGUUUCUGGCAUAAACAAGGAAUGUUGGGUUUUUCUCCAUAUUUACAGAUUCAAUUGUGCCCCCUUAUUACACAAUUACGGAGACCAACAUAUUAUCUUUAAGGGUUAUUAAAUGCACAGAGCAUAUCGCUAGAAGCGAUUCCCUAAAGAUGUAUAAAUAGCUGGGUUAAAGCUAUAUAAUGUGUCAUAAAGUUUAAUCCCUUUUAAACAAAAUCCGUUGAGAGGAUUGACAUUGCAUAAAGCAAGUCCCUAAAGGACAUGUGCUUGAAGCACAAAACUUGUACUCAAUAUUAAUAUGCAUAAAUUACCUCAGUGAGUACAUUGAUUAUAAUGUGAUUGCAACACAUUAAAGCUUCUGCAGAAUUCAAGAAAUAUUUGUCUCGAUCGAGCAUUAUGCCAACGAGAUUCUUGCUUAUACUAAGAAAGUAUUGAAGCAUUUUUAUGAGUCUUAUCCGUUGGUCCUUAAAUGUUUUUCCGAAAGUAUACUAGACCAGAUAGAGCUCAGCUCCACACUGUACUCUUUUUCCUUCAUCCAGGUUUUUAUCCCACUGGGUUUUUCCUGGUAAGACUUUAACGAGGCAGUGUCGCUCAAGGGUUUAAGGUAUACUAUGAAAAUUUUUAUGGUCGCUUACUGGACAAAAGCUAGUCCUAAAUUUUUCAGGGGGAGAUAUUCAUCAGGGGGAGCGUGGUUUUAAUAAAGACCUUCAUACACUGUACUCUUUUUCCUUCAUCCAGGUUUUUAUCCCACUGGGUUUUUCCUGGUAAGGUUUUAACGAGGCAGUGUCGCUCAAGAUUGACUCACAGAAGCAGUGUCAACUACGAUAUUCAGAAAGGUGAUCAACAGUAUGACUUAAAGAUAUUUUGCCAAGCAUCAGGGGGAGCGCGCUAUCAAUAAAGAUCUUCAAACACUGUACUCUUUUUCCUUCGUCCAGGUUUUUAUCCCACUGGGUUUUUUCCUGGCAAGGUUUUAACGAGGCAGUGUCGCACGCACGUCAAUAUAUAUAGAAUUUUAUGUUACACGUUGUUAUGUACUCCUUUUCCCUUUGACCAGUUUUUGUCCCACUGGGUUUUUUUUACUGGCAAGGUUUUUAACGAGACAUAUUCUGUAUCAUUUGUGGUCUCCAAGGGGGAGUGUUGUAAUAGUGGAGUCCCCAAAAUGCCCCCUUGAAUGCCUAUAAAUACUCCCCCCCUUCCUACUUGUAAAUUGAACAACAGAAACGAGAUUGAGAAAACAUUCUCUUCUCUAAUUCCUUAUCUUGCUCUUUCUCUUUGCUCUCUACAAUUCCCCCUAAUUUAUAACACCACGCCAUUAGUAUAGAUAUACCUGUCCAUUUUUAAGUAACAUUAAAAACCUCACAUGUGAAGAGGUCAUAGUCCUAUCCUAAAACGCAAUAAUUUGAUCCAAAAAUUCCUACAACACAAUAUGUUGGGGCUCAGUAUCAGAGGUGUGAAGGAAGUUGAGGUUCUACAUCAAAACUAAUUGGCAAUGAGAGGGUUGCCGAACUCCUUAUAAACUCAAGUUAUGUUCCUUUAACUUUUUAAUGUAGGAAGCCUAACACGUGGAUAAGACAUAUUGGCCUCGCUUGGUUCACGGAACGGAUUUGAGGGGAAAUCACUUCACAUGUCAUUUCCUAAGGAAUGGGAAAUGGAAGAUUCCUUUUCUAUGUUUGGUAAUAUUGGGAAAGUAACCAGGGGAUAUCACUUUAUUUCAUUUUUCAUGUUUGUUUUGAGUAGGAAUAGAACACAAAGUUCGUAUAAUUUUCCAAAUAUACCCAUAUUAAAUCAAAUAAAAAAAUGCAUUUAAUGAUAUAUUGUAAUUCUAAAUUGUUAAUGAGGACCAAAUGGGCAUGAAAAAUAUGUAUUUAAUGUUGGCUCAUUUCAAGGAAAAACAUGAAAUAUACUGCCAAAGUGAAAUGACCAAGACCAACAAAAUGAAAUGAAAUUUCAAGGCAAAAGUGAUCUAGUCCAAGCAAGUUCCCAACUUUCGUUUUAUUUUUCUAGGGAGGAAGAUAUUUACAUGACAACUUGAAGCUGUCCACUUUAGUAAGGAAUCAAAUCAAUACGAACAAACACUUUAGUAAGGAAAUCCACAUCACCCCACUAUAGAAAGGAAAUAAUGAGAAAGGACAAAUGUUUUCCACAACACCCCACUUGGUGGGAUGCGUUCUCUUUCUUCUCACAAAAGUGAUUCGUUUUAUUUUUCUAGGGAGGAAGAUAUUUACAUGACAACUUGAAGCUGUCCACUUUAGUAAGGAAUCAAAUCAAUAGGAACAAACACUUUAGUAAGGAAAUCCACGUCACCCCACUAUAGAAAGGAAAUAAUGAGAAAGGACAAAUGUUUUCCACAACACCCCACUUGGUGGGAUGCGUUCUCUUUCUUCUCACAAAAGUGAUUGUGUCCAGCUUACUGAUGCCGAGGGAAUUGAACACAUAAUUGCUAAGUUAAUGGCUUGACUUGAGUUUUAAGUAAUUGCAUUAAUACUUACCUGCGUAGCUUCCUGGAACCUCUAUCUGUGCUGAUUUUUCUUUUCUUUCUAAUCAUUCUAGUUCCACAAUCCCGUGCUCACAGAAGAUUUCUUGAAACCACUACUUUCCAAUGGCAUCGAGCAGCCAAAGGGCCUUCACUUCAGCUACUGCAGUUUGUUCAUGGAAAUACGAAGUGUUUUUGAGUUUCAGGGGUGAGGACACUCGCAGGGGUUUUACAGACUAUUUAUACAAACAGUUGGACUGGCGAGGAAUUAGAACUUUCAGGGAUGAUCCAGAUCUUCAGAGAGGGGCAGAUAUCAAUCCGGAGCUUCUGACCGCGAUUGAACAAUCAAGGUUUGCAAUCAUAGUUCUUUCAACAAACUAUGCUUCAUCAAGUUGGUGUUUGCGUGAACUAACCCAUAUUGUUCAGUCCAUGAAAGAGAAGGAGAGAAUUUUCCCAAUUUUUUAUGAUGUGGAUCCCUCUGAUGUACGACAUCAACGGGGGAGUAUUGGGGCAGCCCUCGUUAACCAUGAAAGGAAUUGCGGGGAAGACAGACAAGAGGUGCUUGAGUGGAGAAAUGCUUUAGAAAAAGUUGCCAAUCUCGCUGGCUGGAAUUCGAAGGAUUAUAGGUAAACAUGAAGACCAGUUCUUGAAUAUUGCAUUUCAGUUUUGCCAUGCACUUUAUCUACGAUGUAUUCACCUUAUCUGAUGAUUUUUUUUUUCCUUCUACUUCUAGGUAUGAUACAGAGCUUAUCACAGAAAUUGUUGAUGCAGUGUGGGAUAAAGUGCGUCCCACAUUUUCAUUGUUAGAUUCCUCAGACAUAUUAGUCGGACUUGAUACUAAACUAAAGGAAAUAGAUCUGCAUUUAGAUACAAGCGCAAAUGAUGUGCGCUUUGUGGGGAUAUGGGGUAUGGGCGGAAUGGGUAAGACAACCCUAGCUAGAUUAGUUUAUGAUAGAAUUUCUCAUAGUUUUGAAGGUAGCAGCUUUCUUGCAAAUGUCAGAGAGGUUCAUGCAACACAUGGUCUAGUUCCUUUACAGAAACAGCUUCUUUCCGAUAUCUUGAGGGAAAAAAAUAUACAAGUUUAUGAUGCUUAUAGUGGAUUGACUAUGAUAAAGAGGUGUCUAUGUAAUAAAAAGGUUCUUCUCGUUCUUCAUGAUGUAGAUCAAUCAGACCAACUGGAAAUGUUGAUCAGAGAAAAAGACUGCUUUGGUUUGGGAAGUAGAAUCAUCAUUACAACUAGAGAUGAACAUUUGUUCGUCGAACAUGGGAUAGAGAAAGUAUAUAAGGUCAUGCCAUUAACCCAAGACGAAGCUCUUUAUCUCUUUAGUAGGAAGGCCUUUAGAAAAGAUGACCUUGAAGAAGAUUAUCUAGAACUGUCUAAAAAUUUCAUAAACUACGCAGGAGGUCUUCCAUUAGCUCUUAAAACUUUGGGGUCUUUUUUGUAUAAAAGAAGUCGAGAUGAAUGGAAGAGUGCACUAGAUAAACUGAAGCAAGCUCCUGACAGAAAAAUUUUUCAAAUGUUGAAAAUAAGCUAUGAUGGACUAGAGGAGAUGCAGAAGAAAAUUUUUCUUGAUGUUGCAUGUUUCCAUAAGUUUUAUGACAAGGAAGAAGUGAUUGAAAUACUAGACAGUUGUGGUUUUGUUGGCACUCGUAUUGUGAUACAUGUUCUUAUUGAGAAAUCUCUCUUGUCUAUUUCAAACACGUGCCUGUCCAUUCAUGAUUUGAUACAAGAAAUGGCAUGGGAGAUUGUUCGUCAAGAGUCUUUUGACGAGCCAGGUGGUCGCAGUCGCUUGUGGCUUCACAGUGACAUCAUUCAUGUACUCACGAACAAUACGGUAAGAAGUUGCACAAAAAAUAAAAUACCAAAGCCUUGGAUAACAUACCAUAAUUCCAUUAAUAACGAUAAGAGAGACUUGAUUAUGACACUAACUUUUCUUUCAUUCCUAUUUACAAGGGAACGGAAACCAUUGAAGGCAUAGCCCUACGCUUGCAUGAAUUUGAAGCGGCACACUGGAAUCCUGAAGCAUUCACUAAGAUGUGUAAACUAAGGUUGCUCAAGAUUAAUAAUUUGCGCCUUUCUUUGGGCCCAAAGUAUCUUCCCAAUUCCUUAAGGAUUCUGGAGUGGAGUUGGUAUCCCUCCAAAUGCCUGCCACCAAGUUUUCAACCUGUUGAGCUUGCUGAACUUCGUAUGCAGCAAAGCAAAAUUGAUCACCUUUGGAAUGGAAUAAAGGUAAGACUUUGCAAGCUAUUUCUUUUCAAUCUCAAUAAAUUGUACGGUUCUUGGAAGUUUAUUAAUUUAAUCUACCAUUUUCAUGUUUUGUACAGUACAUGGUGAAGUUGAAAUCUAUUGAUCUUAGUUACUCCGAGAACUUGACAAGGACCCCAGAUUUCACAGGUACUCAGAAUCUUGAGAGGCUGGUUUUUGAAGGUUGUACUAAUCUUGUUAAGAUUCAUCCAUCCAUUGCCUCUCUCAAAAGACUAAGAGUUUUGAAUUUUAAAUACUGUAAAAGCAUUAAGAGUCUCCCAGGCGAAGUAGAACUGGAAUCUCUUGAAACAUUUGAUCUUUCUGGGUGCUCAAAAGUGAAAAAGAUUCCGGAAUUUGUGGGAGAAAUGAAGAAUUUUUCGAAGCUUUCUUUAAACUUCACUGCUGUUGAGCAAAUGCCUUCAUCAAAUAUACAUUCCAUGGCGAGUUUGAAGGAGCUUGAUAUGAGUGGAAUUUCUAUGAGAGAUCCCCCAUCUUCCCUGGUUCCAGUGAAAGAUAUCGAACUGCCUAGAUCAUGGCAUUCUUUCUUCACUUUUGGCUUAUUUCCAAGAAAGAAUCCCCACCCUGUGAGUCUGGUGUUAGCUUCCUUAAAAGAUUUACGCUUUUUGAAGCGUCUAAAUCUGAAUGACUGCAAUCUUUGUGAAGGAGCAAUACCUGAAGAUAUUGGUUUAUUGUCCUCUUUAGAAGAAUUAAAUCUUGAUGGAAACCAUUUUGUUAGCCUUCCUGCAAGCAUCAGUGGGCUUUCUAAUCUUUGGAACAUCACAUUGAAGAAUUGCAAAAGGCUUCAAAAAUUGCCAAGCCUUCAAUUAAACGGACUACUAGAUAUGUGUGUAAACACUGAUAAUUGUACUUCCUUGAAAAUAUUCCCAGAUCCAACAUCGACGUGCAAUGGUUUAAGUUCUAUGUCGAUUAGUUCUUCCAAUUGCUUCAAUUUGAUUGGCCAUCAAGGUUCCAGUUCCAUAAUAUUUUUAAUGCUGAAGAAAUUCCUUCAGGUACUUCUCCUUCUUCCUCCUUCCUCUUCCCUCUUUAGUUGUGUAGUACUAUUUAUAUCCUUCCUUUGGUGCAGGAAAUUCCUCGUUCUUUGGGCAUCAUCGAUAUUAUAAUUCCUGGAAGUGAAAUUCCUGAGUGGUUCAAUAAUCAAAGUGUGGGAGACUCAGUAAUUGAGCCACUACCUUCGGAUUCUAAUAGCACGUGGGUGGGGUUUGCUUUUUGUGCUCUAUUUGUAGCUACUGCUACGAAACAUAAUUCAAUCACUUUUCGUUGCCUUUGUCCAGAAGAGAAGACGUGGGUGAAGGUGAAGAAGUGUGGAGUCCGCGCACUAUACGAACAAGACGCGGAAGAGCUCAACCGAACAAUGAAACAAUAUUCCAACAGAAAGAAUUCUUUUUAUGAGGACGUCACAGAUUGUGAUUUUGACAAAUCAGACAAGGUACAAGGUGCCAUCACUAAGCGAACACGUGAACAGUACUGUACUGAGACAGGACCAAGCGGUACUGGUACCCUUGGCAAAGAAUCACUCUGCAAAAGAAUGAAAGAAGACUAAUCGUAUCCAAAUUUGGUUGGGGGAGGAGAGUUCCGUCAUCCGGAAGCCUAACGGGCGCAUUUUACCGACUGAAGCAUUUAAACAUGGUUGGGAGACAUCUAUGUAUGCUUAAAUUGUUUCUUUCUUAGGCUAAAUCUCACAUGUGCUGUAUAAAUUCAAUACGUUAAUUAGUGAAGCCCUUUUGAGAGAUUGACAUUAACUCCAAUAUGACUUGUGCUGCAAUUCCAGUACUUCAUUUUUCCUUAUACAAAAACUUUUUUUUUUUUUUUUUUCAGGCCUGUUAUAACCCUUUCAAAUGACUCAUCAAAUGUUACAUUCAUCCAAAUAGUGACUUAAUGACAUUCAAAAAUAGUUUCUCAAAUUUAAUUUUGCUUCCAAACUAAUGGUGUCAUGAACUUGAGCUUAAUAUCAUCAACCGACCUUAUUUGCACACAUAUUCAAAGAAAUUAUGUUUAUAUUUUAUUUUUAUUUUUUGGCAUAUGGAGAGAAGAGGAGUUGAACUUAGAACCUUGGAUGUACGGAUUAAUGCUCUUAAAUAAGACAAAAUGGUCAAUAAGAUCUAGCCCAAUGGAAAGGACUUUGACUUUGCUGACCAAUGGUCUCAGUUUUGAACCUCCAUGACACAUUAACAGUAUGUGUGUGAAAACCCUCCACUUCCAAUAUCGCUUGAAUGGAAAAAAAGACAAAAUUAUAAAACGAUGCUUCUACAUUUAUAUAAUUUACAUAGUGGUUUUAAAUUGGCCAAAAUUGAGGUCGUACUUAGUAUAUAUUUAUACCCAAAAAAUAAAAAUCCACAAAAACUAUCUAUCCCCUUGGACGAAAAUUUCCCAAUUACUAUCCCCUUACUAAAGCCACAAAGACUUCAGCCCGUAGACGUUCCCAAUUGAAGGGACCCCCUUUUAUCUUCCAUUAUUUGUUUUAGUUAUUUAUUUAUUUAUUGGUCUUAUUUUAUUUUAUUUUAUUUUCAUAACUCUUAAAAAUUCUGGAUCCGGUGUAGGUGUAGAAGUGUUUUCCUUUGAAACACACUAAGAAACUACCGUUCGUGCAGACACAACAAACGUCAUCCUUCACCGUUGGAUCCCACAAACAGAAUUAGGAUUUGUGUUUCUGAGGAUUCGAAUUAGGGUUUGACGGCAAAUUGCAAAUCGAAUUUAUCCGACACUACAAUCACCACGUUUGUAUCGAUGCUGGUAAAAGGAAGAAAGGUUUCUGGGCGGGGAGAGGCCGUGGCGGCGAACUACGCGUUCGGGCCGCUCGAAGAUGACGUAAUCAUCAAGCACAGACUUCUCACUCGAACCACAACCACAAGAGGCGAACCCCCAUUGAAGAAGCUCCAGAAGAAGUUCACAUCCCUAUUCGUCGAGCUCGACAAGAACGAGGACAACUAUGGCGACUGCGACAAGCUGGCCAAAGCUUUCCUCCAAGAGCUCAGCACCUUCGAGAUUCCGCUCCUCAAGAGCAAAGCGGUUGUGGAUGCGAAUCUCAGAGAGAAGCACAAUUUUGACGAGUUGAGGGAGGAGAUAAAUCGGCAGAUAGUGCAAGCGCAGACCGACAUUGAAUUGCUGAAGAAGCAGCUUGAGGAGAG
This 97702-nucleotide long non-coding RNA is filed under the name Prunus persica (peach). Its description in RNAcentral is "long non-coding RNA (PPER_LNC007655)". Lineage: Eukaryota; Viridiplantae; Streptophyta; Magnoliopsida; Rosales; Rosaceae. The record is from RNAcentral.